This 97130-nucleotide long non-coding RNA is filed under the name Citrus maxima (pomelo). RNAcentral describes it as "long non-coding RNA (CMAX_LNC000079)". The record is from RNAcentral. Lineage: Eukaryota; Viridiplantae; Streptophyta; Magnoliopsida; Sapindales; Rutaceae.
UUUUUUUUUUUUUACUCCCAUAAUAAUAAUAAUCAUAAUUAUGGACAAGGCCUCAACAGCCAGGCUUGCAGUUUUUGUGUGAAUUAUUAAGCUUCUAAUGACAAUCAUUAAGCCCCAGAGCCAGCCGAAAACCACUAUCAGCCGAAGCGGCCAAGUGUGUGAGCCUACGACUACGAGACAAAAGCUUGCGUGAAAGGAAAGCAAGAUAUCCCAGUGAUCGCAUCAUUCGAAAAUCAGCAGCAAAUCACAGCCGUCCAUAUGUUAAGAGAAUUAACACCACAGCCGUCCAAGUGCUUGAACGCGUGUAGGAAUUUUUGCGUUAAGCUGCCGUCACCCAAUAGCCAAUGUCACCGGCAACACGUGGCGGAACCCCAUGAGUGGUACGAGCACUAGAUGGAAAAGCUCCCCUGACAGAUUAACUUAUGUAACUGAACGUGAAAGCUAUGGAUUAUAGCAUACGCGGAUCGUAAUUGGCUGUCAUUUAUUGGUCUGUCUUUUGUUUUUUUUUUUUACUUUUUUGUCCCUUUUUUAUAUUAUUUUUUACGAUCAUUUAAUCACAUUGUAACACUUUGAUUGCUUAGGUUGUAAAAGUUUGAAGUGAAUUGUGGAUAAGACUUGACGUUCAAGAAAAUGCAAGCAAGCAAUGGCUUAUACUUUUGAUUGUUAGUUAUGGAUUGAAAUCUAACAACGUAUUCAAUAAAGCUGGUGCUAAGUUACGUGCCCCUCCCAUUCAAUAAUUCCCCAAAAUAAUAAUAAUAAUAAUAAUAAUAAUAAUAAUAAUAAUAAUAAUAAUAAUAAUAAUAAUAAUAAUAAUAAUAGGGUUAAUUUCAUCCCGCCCCCAAAUGUUUCAACAUAUUCCACCGCGCACCCAAAUAUUUCAAUAAUGCUCAAUCCACACCUAAAUUCGUUAAUUUGAUCAUUAAUUCUAACGGUCAAAGGGUAAAUUUGGAAGUUCAUGCCUUAAAUAUUAUUUGAUAAUGAUAAAUUAAAUUUAUUUGAUAAAUUAAUUGAUGAAAUUAUUAUUAAUUACUUUUAAUUAAGAAUUUUUAAUGUAAAUAUUAAUUAUUGGAUUAACAUUUUAUCUCAUUUAAUUCUUUUCUAAUUUAAGAUAAGGGGUAUUUCAGACAUUUCAUUAACUUUCAAAUAGCUCCGUUAAAAAUAACGGUCAAAUUAAUGGAAUUGGGUGUGCGGUGGAAAAUGUCGAAAAGUUUGGGUGCGCAGUAAAAAAUGUUGAAAGAUUUGGGGGUUAGGUGGAAAUAACCCAUAAUAAUAAUAACAACUGUUGAUGUUGGAAUCUGAUCGUCUUAUGCCUGACCAGGCUGACUCACUAACGGUUAUGCUAAUUUUGACUGGAUCAUUGCACUCCUAACGCUUUCCCUAAUUAUACAAGCCAAAUGACUUAAAUCAACCUCCUUCUCCCUUCAUAACCUGCUCUCACAUAAACAAAUCAGGGGUGCCGGUAGUUUUUUCGGCGAAAAUCCUUCGAUAUUUAAGUCAGUACGUGGGGUUUUGGAAAAACGUUGUAUUUUUAGACUGGUGCAAAUUAAAAACUAUUGAAUAAAAUAAAAGUGUUUUAGAAGUUAAAUUUUAUAAUCAAAUUGGCAGAGUUUUCCCCAUCUUUUUUUUGUCUCCUUUUCUUUAUAUUUUUUCCGAGAUUUUAUAGGCAAUCAUCUCAUAUCUCUAGAACAUUUCCCACGUCCAUCAUACUCGGGUGAUCAAGGGUCCUUACGGAUCUCAACAAUCAAACGUGGGCAAAUGUGGGGUGUCGUGUUUUUCCCAGCAGUUUGCGGCGUGGUGAAAUUGUCGUAUUGACGUGAGAUCGUGUCCUCUUUCUAAAUGACAGGUUUCUGGUUGGUACUUGUCUCUGGUCGGUUAUCAAGUGAACCACAUAGAAUACUUUCACCAGGAAUCUGCUCAUACCCUUUAGCCGAGGAGGUUCGUCCUCGGCUAGAAAAUGGGGACUACCCAGCUGGUGCUCUUUUAAUACCCAAACAACAACAACAACAAAAUAUGAAGAAAAAAAAGAACUAAUUUUAAAACUAUAUAAUAUUAGUGUUAUACAAGAACGUUUUGAAAUUAUCAAAAACCAAUCAACUCGAUCCAAUUUAUGCUAAUAAAGGAUUUAAAAUUAAGAGUAAAUUCUCGUUUAAUUUAUUUAUUUUAUAUUCAUUAUUCAUUUAGUUUCUAUAUUAAAAAAAAAAGUACCUCAAUACGCCCCUACUAUUAUAUAUGACUAUAUGUUACACUUCUAACCUUGUUUUUUCUUUGAUUUUAUAAUAAUAACCUUGCAACAAUAUUAUUGGAUGUUAAUAAAAAAAUUAAUAAUUUUUCAAAUUAAUCUUAAAAGUAACAUAAAAAUUUACACAAAUCUUUAUAUUAUUAUUUUACUUUUAGGAUUAAUUUGAUCGUCGUAAAGAUAUUAAACAUUACUUUAAGUUGAAUCAUAUUAAUUUAUUUAUAAAUCAUUAUUAGUAAGGCUAUUGUAUAGAUACAAAAAAACUAGUUAUUCCACACCGAUCUUUAUUGGUUAAUUCAUUAACAAAUAAUUAUUGGUUGAUUUACUAAUUGAAUUAUUUUUAUAGAUAAAUUAAUUAAUGUCAAUAAUAUUGUUGGAAGGGUAUUAUUGUAAAAUGAAAGAAAAAUAAGAGUAAUAAUGUAAUAUAUUUAACUGCAUUGAUGUUUUGAGAUACUUUGUAAAAUAUAAGGCAGAUACUUAAACUAAAAUUUAAAGACUAAAUAAGUAUUUAUCCUUGAAUUGAUUAGAUGCAUUAUACAUCAUGAGUCGAAAUUGGUAUGAUUGGUAUAUAACAGUAUGGUAUUCGUUCGCUAUCAUUUACCAUAUUACUAUAAUUGUUUAUGAUAUAGUAUGUCAAAAUUGACCUAAUAACUUUACAAAUUCAUCGUCCAAGUUUGACACUAAGUGCAUUUUACAACAAAAUAGAGUAAUACACAAUACUCGUCCGAUAUUACCAGCUAUUUAUGGAUCUUUGAGUUUCCUCCUCCGUUGCAUGAUUGCAUCGUUAGGAUGGUAUUUGUUGUACAUAUAGGAUGUAGUGUACUUGUACUUAUUCACAACAUCAUAGAUAGAUGCAUUGAUAGAAGUUGAAAAACUUUGAGAUGCAUCAUGUUAUCUAUUUGUUGCUAAGCUAUUUAUGGAUUUCCCAGUAACAUUUAUUGGUUGAUUGAUUAUUCAUGCCUGUUGACCGAUCGCUGGUAUUUUUUGAAGAUUUAAUGACAAGAAAUUCUUCCAUGGCUGCUUGUUGACAAAAGACAAAAAGAUCCCAUCAGUUGAUUAUACUAAAUUACUAAUGACUAAACAAAACCAAAAAAUUUGAUGGCAAAGAGAACAGAAAGUCUUUAAAAUAUAUACUUAUAUAGUAAAUAAAUAAAUUAGUAUCGAAUUUCCCUUUUUAUUAUAUUCGUGUUUAAGAUUUAACAAAUCUAAUGAGGAGGAAAAAGAAGAGGCAAUUGUAUAUUGAUUGAUUGAUUGGUAUGAGCACGGGAGGAAAUGAUGGAACGUGGGUCCAAAGUGUCCAAUCAAAACGAAAAGCUUUGGCCAGCUCCAACCAUUGAUUGAGGUGUGCCAUGAUGAGAUGAUGGUGUGAUGAACGGUGAUGAUGGUGUUGCUCAGAAUGUUCAUGAACCCCGGUAGCAGUACCAGGCAGGUGUCUUAUCCAUGUCUUUGCCGCGUGCAACACGGCUCAGAUGGCGUGCUUCUUGUUGCCCAUCCGCGUGCAUACAGAAUAUAUGCCCUAGUCUUUAUCCGGAUUCACCGCUGCAGUUGAUUGAUUUUUUCACUGUGUGUUCGAGAUUUCACGUUCAUCUUGUGCAAAUGUUGUGUUAUCAGAAAGAGAGUUUUGCUCAGUACCAAAAAUGCAGAAGAACAAACAGUUCAAUGACUGAUUUUUUUUAUGUAUGGUUUGAUUUUGUGGGGUAGAUUUAAAAGACUUCAAAGUAUGCGAUUUGUAUAUAAAUAUCACAUAUAUUAUACAAUUUGUGUGAUUUGUACCAUCUACUUGGGAUAAAAUCUAUCAUUUCUCAUUUCUUGUGUCUGUACAAAAUGAAUAAUUUAUGAUUGCAUUGGUUAUUUGCUACAGAUAUAUGGACGCGUAAGAGCGAGCAGUAAUAUCUAACAAGUCGAGGCUAGUGUCGGUCAUAUAGAACACCAACACGUAGAAAAAGGGCUGAAGAAACCACUCCAUGAUUUAACAUCAGUAAAAUGCUACCUCCAAUUCCCUGUAUGUUCUUAAUUUUGAGUUCUAGUUAUCAAGUAGAACUUUCUUAAGUAUGAAAUAAAAACUCUAACUAUUAAGUAAUUAAAACUUGAUAAAAUAUUUGAUAAACAUGAGUUAGAAAUUUAGGUAGAUUUUAAUUUAAAGUUACGUUGAAAAAUUCUAAUAUUUAAUUUAUUAAAGUUUAUCAACAAUCAGUUCAAUCAACUUUAUUUCAUUAGUCUCGAAUUUAAAUUCUGAUGAAGAUAGGAGGUACAUGUAUUAAUUUAAGCUUUGUUCACCCUUCUACUUUUUAAAUAAAAAUAACAAUUAAAAUUUUAAAAAUAAAUGAGUGCAUAUAUGAGAUGAAACUGAAUCUUUACAUCCCUUGUAGGGUUGACAUGCAUGCAUGGAAGCAUUACAAAAUCAAGAUGUGAUUCGGCUUGAAAUGCUACAUGUUUUACAUAUACAAUGAACCAGUUUCACUUCCCAGGAGCCAAAAGAAAAUGAAGGGGAAUCUAAUUAGAUAAAGGUCCUAAUAUUCUUUCACUAGAGCUGGCUUCAUGUGCGACAUUGAUACAUAUUAAAUUAUAUUCCUCCAUUCUAUAUUCUCAUUUAAUUAUUUCAACCGUCAAAUUGAUUCGCUUACAGGUUCGAUUCUUUACGAAAAGGGGGAAAAAAUUGCUAAUAAGUCAAUCCAUUCACAUAUCAUCAACGGUUAUGUGUAUUUGUCAACAGUACAUGUUCAUUAAACUAAGUUUGUUUUAGGCAAAUUCGGGGACAAAAGAAUAGGUUAUUUUGGGAAACAUCGAUCACUACAAAUUAUUAAAAAAAAAAAAAGAGAGAGAGAAAAAAAACACUUGUCAAUGACCAAAGCACUUACGCCAAGUGCUUUUUGAGAGAUCAAAGAGACAAAAGAGUAGUAGUUUUAUUUGAGUUGUAACACUAGGUUAAGUAUAGGAAGUAGAGUUAAACAUGGUAACCUGUAAUUGUGAAGCCUCUUCCAAUAAUCUCACCACCACAGAACCAUGCAAAGCACUCAACUCCAAACAAAGCAGCAAGGCCAGCAUUAUCCAAGUUCAUCUCCAGCUCCCUGUUCUUCAUGAACUGCUUAAGACCAUCCAGUUCCUUCCAGAAUGCAUCGACGCGAUUCGGGAUACUAGUAAAUAGUUAAUUAGCAACAAAUUACAUGAUUAAUUAAUCAGCAACAAUCCGCAUUUUGUAAGAUGAUGAUAUUUUAUAAAUAAAAAUUAAAUACGUCCGAGAGACUAAUUAAUUAACCUUGCAAGACGAGUGUAAAACAAUUGUUUGGCUAGUAAUUGGCAAGUCUCUGUGUUGGGUGGAUCUUUGAUAUGUUGCUUGUUGUCCUCUAACAAUUGCUUGAUAUAAGCACUUCCAUUCUUGAUAAAAAAUUCUGAUGCUUGAGAUGCCUUUGAUUGCAACUGAGGCAACUUUGAUGCCAUGGUUUUGAUGAUAAAUUACACCAAGAAAUAAAUUUCAGUAUUUAAACUUCAGAAUACUAAAGAUUGAUCAUCAGCGGUGAGUGAAGAUUUUGAGUUGGUGGUAAAAUUAAGGAGAUAAUCAGAUUGUUCAAGAGUAAAUUUCAUACCUUGUUUAAAUACUCUUUCAAAAUUUAAUAUAGAUAAUGAUCAAGGGUGUAUCAGCCUUCUUUUAUGGCAGUUGCAGAGUGAAGAUGAGUCCACUUGCAACCAACUUUCCAAUAAUCUAGAAAGGACUUUUGACCUAGUUGUACUUUCCAAUUUUACAACAGGAUUGACCGGUGGUGCAUGGUUAAUUAAUUUCUGUAUGGUAUCAAAAUUACAAUAUCUAUACACAUAUAUAAAUAUAUAUACACGAAGCAAAGUCACAGUACAAAGAAAUACAUAUAUCAUAACUUUUCGGCGUGCAUAUCCUCAAUUUAACAAAAUGAAAAUGCUACUAUCAAAUUAAAAAAAUAUAAUUUUUAAUAAAUUUUAAUACACUAGCUAAUAAAAAAUUCAAUCUCAAAUAUAUUAAAAUUUAUUUUUGUUUAUAUAUUGGUGUAUAAUUCUUUAUACAUCAAGUAAUUUUCUAAUCCGAAAUCUUAAAGUAUAGAAAAAAUCCGAGAAAACUUUAAAACUAUGGGUUUAAGAGGUUUAAAACUUGAAACGCUAAAACCGCGUGAUUUAUAUAUUUUCUCAGACUUUUUCAAACUUUCCUGCACUUUAAAAUUCUGAAUUAAAGCAUUUCUCUCUCUCUCUCUCUCUCUCUAUAUAUAUAUAUAUAUAUAUAGAAUAAAAGAAUACUUUACUAGAAAAUUAUAUAUAUACAUAUAUAUAUAUAUAUAUAUAUAUAUAUAUAUAUAUAUAUAUAUAUAGAAAUUUAAAAUUUUAAAAUACGAAAAAAUUCAAAAAAAAAAAACUUCAAAAUCCUGCAGUUUUAAAGUGUUAAUUUUAUAAUAUUUUUUAAAAUUUUCCAGACUUUCUCGCACUUUAAAAUUCUAAACAAAAAAUAUUCACUUGGUCCACCAAUGAAGAAAAUCCCUGCGUCUGUUGAUUUUCUUCUGCAGCUGGAGGAUUCCAUAUAGAAAGGCCUCGGCUGUGGGAGGACAGCCGGGAACGUAGAUAUCGACGGGAACAAUUCUAUCGCAGCCUCGAACAACCGAGUAGGAGUAGUGAUAAUAGCCACCUCCAUUAGCACAGCUCCCCAUUGAUAUCACCCAGCGCGGUUCAGGCAUUUGAUCAUAAACCCUGCAAGAAAAAACAAAAAAUGCAUGCAUGCACGUAUAAUUACAUGUUGAAGUCGAACACUAGAUUUCAUUUAAUAAUUAAAUUAAUACUGUACGGACGGAUGACGUGCUAGGAUUAUAGACACCUACUUUCUAAGAGCAGGGGCCAUUUUGUUUGUGAGGGUGCCUGCAACAAUCAUUACAUCACUCUGCCGGGGGCUGGGCCUGAAAAUGAUUCCGAAACGGUCCAAGUCAUACCCAGCAGCACCCGUGUGCAUCAUCUCAACAGCACAGCACGCCAGACCGAAGGUCAUGGGCCACAGGGAACCGCGACGGACCCAGUUCAAGAGAUUAUCCACCUUCGAUAUCACGUAUUCCGAAGCCUUUGACAGGCCCACUGGGCCGAAUGUUGCCCGAGGUUGAGGUGAAGAUGAAGGUGAAGGCGAAGGUGAAUAUGAAGAGGAAGAGAAGCAGCGUGUUGAGUGGAGAAGAGUUGGUCUUGGGGUUGCGGGUGAGGUGAGAGCCAGACGUGACGCUGUUCUGGACACAACAGCCAUUAUGUUUUGUUUACCCUUUUGCCUCUCUCUCUCUCUCUCUCUCUCUCUCUCUGUGUUUUGUGUGUGUAAACUGUAAAAUAAUAUUAAUGCAAACAAGUAGUAAGGGGAGCCUUUAAGUGCAGUAGAAACAGAUAAGAGAAUAGAAAGGUGUAGAAUAGAAUAUAGUCGAAUUAUCGAGAAAGGGAAGGGAAGGGAAGGGAAGAGAAGAGUAAAGAAGUGCGUUCCAUAUUCUUUUUUAAUUUUUCAUUUUCUAUAAGCAAACAUAAAGUCUGCUGUAUUUUGAGUUUGGGCUUCGUCAAUUUUAAACGUGAAAAAGAAUUUUUACAAAAAUAUUUUAGUUAUACGUUGUUUUUAAAAAGUUAGUUUAUUUUUCAAUAUAACAAUGAAAAGUUUUGUAAUGAAUUUUCUUUUUCUUUUUGUUUUUCUUAAAGAAAAAGAAUUGUCUUUUGAGGUUCUGAAUCUAUGAUUGAAGCUCUCAUCCAGGAACCGAUGAACUUCCCGAACCCGAAUUCUUGAUUAGUACCAUCAACAGCAGACGCCCCCUCAUUGUUACUCGCAAAAUACUUACACAAUGGGCGGGAGGACCAUUUUUUUAAUUAUUUCUUGUUGGGCAGUCAAAGUUUACAAUUUUAAAAAUUAAGUUUAUUUAUCAAAAAAAAAAGAAAGAAAAAAAACAAUUAACGCCGUGAGGAUAAGGUUGAUAGAGAUCCAAGUGUCAAACAAAGACCAGUAAAGGACAGAUGUCGUUGUCACACUAAAAGAUACUGACCCGUUCACAAGUAGGAGGAUGAUAACUCGUCUGGUAAAAUUAUUUGGAUCAUAAUAUAGUUCACGUGUUAAGCUUAACUGCUUAAGCGAAUUUCUACUUCAGUGGGUUCAGUUUGUCGUAAGCUUUUAUUUCAUACUUGGAACUUCGUUUGCACAAACAGAGCCUUCUAGUCGGUCUAGAUAAAAAAAGUUAAAACGAGGCAUCGUCAAUUGCAGGUAAGGUUGAAUAUUCGCACACGUGGCAGGUUUCGCAUCAACUCAAAGCAAGCAUAAAAAGAAGAAACCUCCAGGCUGAAAACAGCCGUGGUUUCCAAGCAAGCAAAAUAAAGAUGUCAACAUCAUUUCAUUUCCUUACUAUAAGCAGAAGAAAGGCAAGCAUAAGCACGGGGCUGAAAAAGGUCAAAAAAAAAAAAAAGUAAGGUUAAUCUUGGAAAAACAAAGAUUAAAGAACAACAUUACAAGAGUACAAGCCAUUCUACAGACAAUUUUUUUUUUUUUGGGGCAACUGUUAACCGCCAAAAGAGAAAAAGGAAGAAACAAGAAAAGCAAACAGGGAACCAGUUAUCUUAAUCCUAACGGCAAACACCGGCCGUCCCACCAAAACUUGUAGCUAGGCAAUUUGGAGUCAGACAGAAGCAGUCACUUGGCGAACCUAGUGACAAAGAAUCAAUAAAAAGAGCUACAUUUAUCUUUAGAACUAGAGGGGUGAUGUUCCAAACAUCGACUAAAGAAUCAAUGAAAAAAUGAUGCAGUGCAAGUCUCAACAGCUCCUUCCCACUAAGAUUGGAGUAAAAGAGAGUGGGGGCAAAAAACAAAAACUACAUUUACCUUAAACCUAGCGGCAAAUAUUGAACAUCCUUUAGUUUUUUCUUGUUGUAGGAGAGCUACAAUCAUAUUUCCUUCUUGACUUUGACCCGACACAAUUUUAAAACACAACCGCAUCUUCUAUUUUUACCAGAAGAUACGCAAAACAGAAAAAUGAAAAAAAAAAAAAAAAGGAAUUUUUGGGGGCAUGGGAAGAGAAGGGGAAAAGGGGGAGAGAAAAAAAAAAAAAAAAAAGAGAGAAUCAAGCUGCCCACCCGGGAACAAAAUCAGGUAGCUUCCUCAUGGAUUCUACAGCCAUUUCGUGACCUCCAUACCAUAUAUCAUGUGCAAAGGAUUGAUAGGGCACUUGGUAGUGUGAAAUUGACGUAGCUCCAAUUCACAGGUUGGUGAGAAAGGGGAAGAAGCCUUUUCUGUCAGCAACCUACAGAAAGUAACAAAGCAAAUACAAUCUUCUUGCACCAUCUCUAUGCAUAAUACAUGUACAAGCUGUUUGCAGCAGCACAAGCAAUUGAGUUCUCGGUUGGGUGCCAUGCUAGGUGCAGCAACUUUGUCGUGAAAUCAAAAGAAUUUCCAUUUGUAUCAACUCCAGGCACAUCCGAUCCUGCUACAGAUUCUCCAAUGCAGAAAAUAGUUCUUUUUAGUGUAACAAAGAACAUGGUUAAGAGAGAGUUCGGUACACAAGAAACUAUCAAAAUUUAAAAGCAAGAAAGCAAGGAAAGCACCCACCUCGUCUGACAACACGUGUUAUGCUGCUAAGGGAUCUGGAAGGCCUUGAAGGGGUUUGAACUUGUCUCCUGGAAUGGCAUAUUGAAGUUUAUAUCCAGCAACAAGAUUACAUAACUCAUUUGCCAUUUUUGUUGAUUACUCAUAAUUACCUCAUUGGGUUUUUGCUGGCUUCCAAAGUUGUGGCCUCAGUGCUUCCUGGGGCACAGCCGAACACACGGAAUAGAUUGCUGGGACAACAUAUGAAAGAAAUAUUUAGUUGCAUUCCAGAAGUUUUCAGUGACAAUAUGACAAUGAACAAGUGAACAAAAACAGACCUGUAAGAACCUGUAGCCACCCGCAAUCCGUCACCACUUAAGCAACACUCAAAUUUAUCAAAGAUUGAAUCAUUUUCAUAUAAAUCACACAGCUGCAUAUAAGGAAAGAAAAGUUAUAGCAGGCAUAUGCACCAAGUAAAAGGAAAGCUGGCUUGGAUUUCUUCAAUGAUAGAAACCUCACCUUAGGUCUCAAGUAUUCAUGAACCUGGAAGGUUGCAACGGGGCCUGAAUCCAUGUUAAUAUCCCACAACUGACAACGAAGCAACAGACUCAUGUCAGACCCAGGAUAAAAGUUUUAUGUUCCCAACAAAACCUGACAAGGAUGUAUAUCCAAAGAGCCACUCCAAAAAUGAUGCUAAAACUAGUGUUGAUUCUACUUUUAUUUAUUCAUUUAUUUUUUAAGAAUAGGAUUCAAAGUUGUAAAACAAAAGUACAAAAGAAUAAAUAUGACUACUAUAUAAAUGCACACCACCCACAUAUAAAAUUUUCUCUUUUUAAUUAUCAUGCUUUGGGAACAGAAAAAAUUCAGAGACCUAUCUUCUCAUUUCUGUAAAGCCAAAAAUUCUAUUAUAUACUCUUUAUGCAAUGUAUUUGACAAUGCUCUCCCACAUAUUUCAUGUUGUCAGUUAGUGAAAAAAAAAAUUACAGGAAUAGAAAUAUAUAAUUCUUUCAGUGACCACUUGAAGCCAUACAACAUCAUUUGCAUGCUUAAUUAGAAGACCCAAACCCCAGGAAGUACUCUGUCGAAUCCAAGAGAAUACAUAUUUAGCAGAUAUGCAAUUGCAAAUUUAUUUGCCAUUAUGAAUGACAAGUAACCUUAAGAGUCAUGUAAUCACGACUAAGUAUAUGUCUUCCAUCCUUUGCAAACUUAAUAUCUGAAAUAGAUGCAAUUAUUUCUGUGAAGAAUGAUCUAGAACCAGGGGCCUCCUGUUCCUCAAACCUGUAUAAAGAGGAAAUUAUCAGUCAGUAAAUAGAGGGUAUUAAAAGUAACUUCCCCUCACAUCAAAUGACAUAACAAAAGCAACGCAUUUUCUCUUUUUUUUUCCGCAUGCAACUAUGUCUGAACCUAUAUGUAAAAUCCCUAUUUUUCCUCUGUUCCAAAGGACUUCAUUAGAACACAAGCAAACUGGAAUACUUACAAUAUAGCAUGAGAAUCACACAAAGCUGAUUGCCUCAAGUCAAUAAGGCGUAUUGAGCCCUUUGAGCUGCUAUAUGCUAACAUAUUACAGUGAGUAGGGUGAAAUUCUGCCGAAGUUAUCACCUCUGUAAGAAGAAUAAUGUAUGGUUAAAGGCUUAAGAAAGAAAAAGAUUGAACAUAAAACAAACAAACUAUAGAAGCAACCAACCAGAUAGGGAAGUUAGUAGAAAGCUGUUUUGAUAUUUUUAAAAAGCAGGCCCAAUUAUACAAAAACCAGGUUGGCUAGUACAAUGAAAAUCACAGUAACUAGGUUACGCAGAAAUCAGCGUGAUCAAUUGAGUCCCCAACACAACUCUCUUAUAAUCAUCAAACGAAGAAAUGGGUCAAAUAAGUUCACAGGAAGGAAGGUAGUAGAUAAACUAUCCAAAAACAUGCUUGGAGGAAUAAUAAACUUCAACAUGAAACCAAGCAUCAGAUAGCAUACUUCAUCUAACCCCAAAUUAUCUAGGACUGGAAAAAUGAACCAGAAACAGAGAAGUUCUAAUAUAACCAAAGGCCAAUAAAAUUUAGAGUGUACCAGUUAGAUCCUCCAUGUUUGCAGGCUUCACAUCAACAAUGUUAAAACUUUGAUUGCUAAUUUCCAAGUUCCAAAGAUUAAUUCGCAGAUCGUCAGCCGAUAUAAAUGUUUCACCGUCACUGCAGAGCACGAGAGAGGGGAUCAGUGAAAAAUAAAAAAAUCACACAAUGAGAAAGAUGCAGACAUCACAAAGCACAUAUUUAACUCUUUUCCUUCCCUCAAUUCAAACAUAGAAAAUCCACUAAUUAAUAUCCAACAAUGCUGAUGUAAAAUAGUUUUUUUUUGACUUCAAGAUAUGUAUUGGGAUUGAAAUUGGGGACUAGUAUGGACCAUACAAUCUUUGCUAAUCAGGAAACCUGAGGAACAUAAUUUGCCACAUAGAAGUCCCCAAAGGGAUUUAAACCUCUGACCUCUUGGUUGGAAUCCAAGAGCACAAUACGACCCCUCUCUUGAAUAAGAAAAACAAAGUAUAAAACAUUUAGACUCGAAAAUUGAUAAAAUAAAAAUUCUGUAUAAGGAAAUACAAUUACCUAUUGUUAGAAAUAGAAUUGAUAUGAUAAUCGUGUGCAUGAGCAUAUACCCUUCGACAUCUAGCCACUAGGCUAGUCUCGUUGGACGUUACCUGGAUGAAAGAUUAAGUAUUAGUGGAAGAUAACAUCAGACAAGCAAUCCACCAGAUCAAACAACACUAAUGAUAUCCAAAAACAAAUGCCUUUAUUUUUGCCCUCCUCCUCCAUCUAAAGAGAAUUAGAAGAGGUACCAACUACCAAGGACUCAAAUAUCCAAGUCCAAGUGGUUUAAGUUAACCCCUCACAGAAGCCCCCCCGCCAACCCCAGUCCUCCUUCCUCCCCCUCCAAACCAACCCCCCUUCCCCCUCCAACUGAAAGGAAAAAAAAAAAAACCAACAAAAAGAAAUAACAAAAAUAAUAUCCCUUAAAUGCCAUGCCAAUAACACAAACCAUAUCCCACACCAAGGUUGAAGAUUUCCUUGGUCUUUGAGAAGGAGAGGCUUCACAAAAAUGCCUGUGACUCCUUGAGCCUCCUCUUGAUGUUAAUUUUCUACCGUUGGCAUACAUAGGGUAUAAAAAGCAACAAAAUUAAUCUCCCAAAAAUUAUCUGGAAAAUUUACAACACCUAAUUAGAAAAUAAAACCACAGGAAGAAUAUGAAUAUAUUGGAUUGAGUACAACUACCGUAGGUAAACGAAGCGAUGGAAUGCCCCCUGGUGGGAAUGAGAACUCCUUGCUAGGUGAUCCACCAUUUGCAAGAUAUGGUUUAGGGCUAACAUUAUUACUUGAACUAGCAACAUUGCCAUUUCCUACUGCUUUUGAAGGGUCCACAUUCAUGUCAGCAAUUUUCUUCACCUUCUUUUCUUGCACCUGUUCUCAGUAGGAAAUACAGCGAAUUCAGCAGCUGUUAGGGCACGGCCAUCCAUAAAUCAGAGUCGACAAUUAUAGAAGCCAGACAUAACUUUCAGACAGUGAAGAUAGUAGAUAAAAUGCAACAGUGCAUUAAUAUAUAAAGUAAAAUAACAUUAACCAAGAAUAAUCUGAGAGAAAAUGAUAUACUAAUAAGUCCAACCACCCAUAACCCUGCAGUUUCAGUAUAAAGAUAUGAUAUAAAGCACUGAUGUACAUGAUGAGGAAAAUUUUCUUCUCGAUUUAAAAAAUUUUUCCCUUACCUUCCAAAACUUAAUUGUUUUAUCAUUAGUAGAGAGGAGAAAUAGUGCACCGUUGGCUGUUUGGCACCAUCUGAUUUUGUUUAUUUUCUCUUCUAUUUCCAAACUCUUGAGAUAGUCAAACUGAAAUAUGACAUUCAGAUAAAGUAUGAGUACAAGAAUUCCAUAUCCAACAAGCAGAACGAAAAUACAUAUAAAAAUUUGACAUCCAGCGGGAAUACCUCAGGUUCAUGGCUCUGAAACUCUGUCUUAUAACGAAACUCAGGAUGCCUACUUGUUGAAUAGUCCAUCCUCUCCAGAUCCCUUCUGGAUCCUCCAUGCUAAUAUUAUGAUAGAUAAAUUUUAUUGUUGUGAGAAACAACAAACAAUAUGGCAAUAUAACAAAAUUAACAUCCAAAAAAAAAAAAAAGAAGCAUGAAAGGAUAGAAAGAACGCACAUCCUUCGUAUCUGUCCGCUCAAAGAGAACUACCCGGCCCCCGCGGUCACCAGUAGCAAGAUGGUCUCCGGUUUUAUCAAAUUCAAUUGCUGAAAUAAUAUCAACUGUAGAAUGAAUGACAAAUAGUCAGAGAGAAGUCCCAUAGCCAUUCUUCCAUCAAACAAAUGUAUGGAUAAUUGUAACAUACAGUAUAUGUAUUCCAAAGUUCUAAUAUUAAUUCGUAUUGCUCAAAGAAAGAAGGCCUACUAUUAUCACUGCAAGUACAACCCCAUUCCCAACAAAACCCUCUUUUUUGUUCAUAUAGCAGCAGAAAACUUGUAUUAACUGCUGAAUGCAUGCUAGGGGAGUGUCCACCAUAUCUACAUAGUAAAAAAAUAAAAAAUUUAAAGAGUAUUGACAAUUCUAAAGAUUGUCUGAUGCAUGUUAGGAUUGCCCUCAGAUCUCCAGUAGUUUGAUGCAGACAGGAAGUGAAACCACUACGACAAAAAAACUUCAAUUGAAGCCACCAUUAUUGUCAUGGCUUUACUGAAGGUGAUGUCACCGGACAGAGAGAAGGAAAAAAUAAAUAAUCUGACAUCAAGACCAUCAGGUACAUUCUCGUUGGUCUAGCAUCUCACCCAUGUAAAUUUAACUCUUUCAACACCACGUCAAAAAUUAGCAGAUAUUCUCAGGAGAUAAUGCACAAUAUAAUUCUCAAAAAGACCAGUGGUUUAUAGCUAUACAAAAAGCUUACGUAGGUGACCAUACAGCAAAGUACACAUAUCAUGACCUCUAUGAUAUGAUAUCGAUCUAGCUUUUCAUAACAACACAACAGUUAAUUUAAAAAUUCCAUCCUCAUAUGACAAAGCAAAACACCUUCAAUAACAGUAAAAUCUCUGAGGGUCAUAGAGAGAUUCUUAACAAUCAGUCUCUUAAUAAAUCCGCACCUGAAGCUAUAGCAGGAAUGUGAAGGAACAUUUCCAACUGAGAUUGGCUCUCCCAAUACACUUAACUUGACAUCUAACCGCCAGAGUCCUUGAUAAUGCAGUUACUGAUAUUUUACCCAAGGCAGAAAAACAGCAAAGUCAUGAGCUCAUCAACUUCAACCAAGGAGAUAUCUAUUUUUCAUAAAACAGCUCUUCUAAAUUUCUAAAAAUGUUCAAAGGUACCACACAUGCUGACAAAAUUACUGUUCUCUCCACCAGCAACUCCCCUGUAAAAAGCACCUGUUUAAUAGCUACCAUAAUUUUUGAAGACUAAUCAAAAAACUUAGAAAAGCUUAAACACCAACUACUCACGGUGUGCAAAAUGAUUAUUUCCAGUAACUAAAUAAUUCUAGAGCUAGAUCUUUUAUUCCAUCUGGGAUCAUCUGCCUACAUUCAAUAUCUUGAUCUACAAUCGUCUUUGGCAUCACCUCAGUGUACAAGCUCCUUCUGCUCCUCUUGUAGGCACUGCUAACUGCCACAAUAUAACCACAUUUUUUUUUGGAUAACCCAGACUCCCGCCCAGACUCGGACCAUGAGGCAGACCCUAAACUGGGUGGUCAGUUGGGCAACCCGACCCCAUGACCUAUGAGACAACAAAAGAUAGAAUUUUUAAUCUCACCAGAAGGAUCGAACUUGAGACCUUGAUGCAGCCAAGCACCAGAUCCCAAGCCCUCAACCAACUAGGCUGCCCCCUUGGGGGCCACCGCAACAUAGUCACUUAGUCAAUGGUUUUAGUUCCACAUGGUCCUCUGUUGUCUUGUUAAUUUUUUUCUUAAAAUUUAAUCCAUGUUUUGAUUAGGAUGAUUUUGCUUAAUUCUUAUGACUUGUCUUUUCUUGCAGAACCGAACAUCGUGAAGCCUUAUUUUGCCAGUUGCAUCUGAUUAUGGGGCGUCACAUUACCCAUUAUUGCUGAGACUAAAAUGCAGCCUUUGUAACAUAUAUGCUAAAGUAAACUAUGACCUAUGAAUGUGGAAUCCAAAUUAACGCCAGAGAUUCCACCAAAAGUUAUCACUCCUUCAACUGUUCUAAAUCAAAAGCAGCAACACACAAUUUGCCACACCCAUUUAACUUUACAUACCAGUAUCACUGGCGUGUUGUCAUCACUCCACUAUUUCCACAUAAAGGUUACUGUAUGUCAAACUGAUAAGUACUCUAGCAUUAAGGCUUUACAAGUAUGAACUAAUAUGAAUUGCGUUCAAGAACUGAAUUAUCAAAAACAAAAAGUGAGAACCAUAAUGAAAGAAAAAACUAUUGCACAGCUGACAACUGGUAAUGACCUAGGAAACAAUGAAGUUACGAAUUCCGUAAGUUAUUUGUUGUAAUACAAGUAAUCGGAAAUACAUUCCUGCCAACACAAAAAAACAAGAGGGGAAGUCUACAAGACGGAAAAUUACUACCUCUAGAUUAGUUCUUAUGCCAAACACCUCCAAUAGACCCAAAAGGAGGGGAAAAGAAUGAUCCCCAUAUAUAUGAAGCUAGCUCAAAUUAUGAUAAAACCCAAAAAUACAAAUGUCAAUCAAAGCUUAAUUAAAAAAAGGGAAUCAUAAUUUGAUGCAUGCAGUACAAGCCCAAGACCAGAAAUUAAAAAACAAAAAGAUCUAAACUACUAUGUAUUUACGUCUUUAAAAUAAAAGAGCCCAUUUCUUAUACAAAUAACAAUAAUUUACAAAAGCAUAUGCACUUCACUGUGACACUUAACAUUGUUUCAACCGAAAAUAUCAAAACACGCCAUAAUCAAACAAAAACAAACAUCCCACGAAUCUAAAUGACAUCUACACAAUAACCCACCAUCCAUUUUAGAUCCAACCCCCAAAAAUCAAACCCUGAUUUGUCCAAAACCUAUUAGAUCCAAGAACCAAAACUUAAAAAUAAAUAAAUAAAUAAAUAUGAACAAAUGUUUACCUUCUUGAACUUCCUCACCGGCCGUUCGUUCGCCGAAGACCUGAGAGAAUUUCCACUCAAGCGGCUGCGGUGGGCUCGCCUGAGCCGCCGACUCCGCCCCCUCAUCACCGCCGUUCAUUUCCUCUUUAUUUAAGAACAAAAAAAAGUCUUUUUUUUUUUAUGACCCCCACCGAGUAAUCAAAAUCAACGGGUCACAAGUCACCACCAAAUCAAAGAUCGCAUCCUACCAUCAUCAUAACUACGCAACACCAAUGAGAUUACGAUUCCCAAUUCGACCAUUCAACAUACAACAAAACCAAACCAAAACAAAUGCCGAAACAAAUGUUGUGUUGUGUCUUCGGGCCUGGUUAAUGUUUCUCGAAACACAAAAAAUAAAAUAAAAUAAUUUCCUUUUCUUUUUUGGGUUUCUCUCUCCAGAAAGUUGUGUCUAUUUUUGUUUCAUUUUUUCAGAGGAGAAAAAUGGGAUUAAUGGUUUUUUUUUUUGGAUAUUAAAUUAAAUCUUCUUUUUCACCUUUGUUGUUGUGAUUGUGUUUCUGUGUUUGUUUCGUUAAGUUAUAAUUUCUCUCUCAAUAAUAGAACUUUUUUUUUAAUACUUUUUUUAUUUAAUUAUUAAGGGCCGAUAGAGUGACGCCACAAGUGUGACAGACGGGUUUGAUGGGCGGUGAGACGGGAGCUGUGGAAGUCAUAUGAUCUAACGGUUGUUGAUGAGGGGAUAUGUGAUGCCCAUUGAUCUUCCAUCCAUUUAUAAUUUUUUUUUUCAGUUAUUGCCUAACGUCAACUUAGGUGGCGUUUGUUUUUUUGUCUGAAAUUUGAAUAGACCUGAAUUAGUCUGAAUUCUGAAUAGAUCUGAAUGUCUGAAUCUGAAUAAUAUGUUUGUUUUUUCAUCUGAAUUUCAGAAAAUAAGUAUUAAGUUGUUUAUUUUUUUCAACUGAAAAAGCUGAAAAUAUAUACUUUUACAUUUGUAUCCUUAUUAAAUUUGAAUGUCAAAUAAAUAAUAUAUUAAAUACCACAAUAUUUUAACAUUUAUAAGUAAAAUUAUAUUCAAGUGAAUACAUAAUGAUUUUAGAAUUUUAAUAUAUAAAAUAUCAUAAAUUUUAAAUUUUAUCGUAUAUAAUAUAAGAAAGAAAAGACAUGAAUAUUUUUGUGUGGGGUAAAUGUCUAUGGGUGAGUUUUGGGAUAGACAUGAAAAAUAAAUUAUAAAACAUGGAUAUUUUUGACAUUAGUAAGUAAUUGACUUAAUUCAAAAUUCUCCAUUAAGUAAAAAGCCAAAAAAAUUGGCUUAUUUUAUUAAGUCAAAAUUGUCUAAAAAGUCCCAUUAAGUUAUAAAAACAAACACCUCUAAUUAACUUAAUUAAUUAAAUUAAGUCACUUUAAGUCAUUAAAUUAAAAAACAAACGCCACCUUAGUUCCCACCCCUGUAACCUUAGGAGGUUUAACAAAAGUUUUUACAUUUGAUUUGAUUAUGUAAAAAUCACAUGCGUGUAAAACUUACCAUCUAAUUUUGGUGUGGGCCAGAUUUGAUUCCGAAAAUGAUAGAGUAUAUAAUAAUAAUUUGUUAAUACAUUAUAUGCUAUAUCGGCAUAACAUGGUACGGUAUAUAAGAUAUCAAAUUUUUAAAAUUUUACUGUAUAAUUUUUUUUUAUAAAUAUUAUAAUUUUGUAAUAUAGUAAUGAAUUUUAUAACCAUGUCUAUAGAUUUCAUCCCCAAUAUUUGAGAAUAAAUUCACAAAAAGCAUCACAAAAUUCUUGCUUUUCCUUCUCAAAAGUAACAUUACUAUUAUUAUCUAUCUCAAGAAAAACAUAUAUUAUCAAAAAAAUGUGAAAGGAAUCAAUUGUCAAAUCUUAUAUUUUGGGCUUCUUAUUCUUCUACUUUUUCAAAAUUAGAGAAAUCAUAACUCUAUGGAAUCAUCUUAUAUUUUGUGAUAUGAUCCCUAUCCAUUUAUUAUUAAAGAAAAAAAAAGUUGACAAAAUAACACUAAAUUUUGUCACCUCUCAAAUCAAACUAUGUUUAGCAUGAAUGGCUAAUUACACUACAAAAAAUGCAUGUCAAUUAUUAAAGAAGAAGAAACGUAUCAUCCUAGUGGAAAAGUGAUAAAACAGGGGGGUAUAAGAGUUUUUUUUUUUUUUUAAUGCCUUUUUUAUACAUAUAUUUAGUAUUAUUUUGAGGUUUUUCUUUGAACAUAAAUAGCAACUCAAUCGCAAAAGUGCACACUCUACUUUACAGUUUACAGUCACUAAUAAUUUAUCCGUUUCUUGGGGGGGCCUCUGCUACUUCACCAAUUGCACUAUUCCGUGGGCCCUCCAUCACCAACUUUCACACGAAUGCAAAAAAUGAUGGCUAUAAUUAUAAGUUUCAUGUAUGCUCUUCAACAAUAUAUAUAGAAUGCUUUUCAGAAUAUAUAUAUAAAUAUAUAAUGUAUAUAUGUAUAAUGUAUAAUGUAUAAUGUAUAAUGUAUUUAUAAAAUAUCACACGUAUUAUUCGAUUAAUUUUUCGGUUAGUAAAUCUCCCAAAUUUUCUGCGCAUGUUCCUAAAUUGCACUACUGUAAACUUUUAAAUGCUAGCAAAGCAACAAAAGCUUUGUUGGUAUUAGGGGUGGGCAUUUUACCCGAUCCGACCCGACCCGACCCGACCCGAUAAAUUUUGGGUUCGAGUCGGAUCGAGUCGGGAUCGAAACCCAAUCGAUUUAAAAUUUACAAACCCGAUCGGGUUGUGAUCGGUUCGGGUCAAACCCGACCCGACCCGAAUACCCGAUCGGGUUCUUAAAAAAAAAAAAAAAAACGUACUGACCCGAAUUGACCUGAUUUCAACCGACCCGAACUGACCCGAAUUGACCCGAACUGACCCGAUUUCAACCGACCCGAAUUGACCCGAACUGACCCGAAUUGACCCGAACUAACCCAAAUUGACCCGAACUCAAUCCUACCCAUUUUAAAUCCAACCCGAUCCAACCCUAUGUUCGGGUCGGUUCGAGUCGGGUCAUUAAUUUGGGUUAUGUUCGGAUUGUUUCUUGUCUAACCAGAACAACUUGAAACCCAAUCGGCUUGACCCGAACCCGAUCCGAACCCGAUUUUGCCCACCCCUAGUUGGUAUGAUAGAAAAUAAGAGUAUAAGAAGUUUUGAUAGAAGAGAUCGGGGAAUUUUGCCGUACAGUGUUGCAUUGUAGAUUACUAGAUUUGUUUACUCCUAUCAAAUUCAAUUGAAAAGAAACAAACAGAAAAAACAAAACUUUCAUUUUACGUACAAUAAUAAUAAUAGAGCUCCAAGUGGGCUUUAAUAACCAUGAUUUUUGGUCCAAUGUGGCACAUGGGCCAACCCAAAAUUUAUACUAAAGAGAAGUGCAAGUCAUUGUCUGGCAAAGUCGGAUAUUGGAUCACCCACGAAAUGAACCCAGCUGAAAAUCAGUCCACAUGCCCAAAUCGCCAAAAAUACUGUGAUAAUAGUGAUCUUUUCUUAUUUGUUUUAUUAUUUUUUUAAAAAAUUGCAAUGUUAAAAGAAAACUCUUUUCUGGGGUUAAAGAAGUAUGUAGAAUAUUUUCUAGAAAAAAAAAUAAAAGAAAAAUUACACAAUGUGUACUUUUAGAAAACAUAUGUUUAGUGUGGCUUGAAUUUGAGAAAUCUGAUACAGGAUACACUUGUUGUACAUGCUAAAAGCAUUCUUGAUAUUUUCUUUAUGUAGAUGAAGGAUUCUGUUCUUUUCAGUCGAGUGAAUUCCAGAUAAUAAUAUACAGCUGGUCUGAAAAAAAAAAUUAUAUGAAAUAUGCUCACUAUUUCAGCAGGGUAGAGUAAUGAGUCCCAUUAUGAGUUCUAGUGAUUUUUUAAAUAAUAAAUUCAAUAAAUUUGUGGUGAGAACCAUCAAUAGUCCCAUUGUAGAAUCUACUGCUCUGCCAAAUAUUGAGUUGGUGAGCCAAUCCCAUACAAAAUUUUCUCAUGAUAUUGGUAUAAUAUUGGGUGUAAAUCGAAUAGUACCCACUAAUUAUAUUCACAUUUAAUAUAUCUCAUGUAUCUCCUUUCUAAAUUUUGGCCUAGAAUCAAGACCACCCACUUGUCUCUCAGCUAAGGAGGGUGUGUGUGCGUACAAAGACUUGGACUAGUGCGAUGAUUUCCUAAAUAUUGUUUAAUUAAUCAAAGUAGCAAGACUUAGUUCGAUUAGAUUUAUAGUCUUAACCAGCAGACUAUAAGCCCCCAGAAGAGUGAGCUGUGUUCGUUACUCAAUCCACCACCAUGUGAAGCAAAGUUUUUGAGUUUUAAAAGAGCAAAAUUGAGGCAAAGAUUAGCAUUGGAACACGCCAGCCAAAUAUAUCCUAUGCAAUCAUAACGGAAUAUACAACACAAAAGAGGAGCUUUAGUUUUGGACACUUCCACCAAAAUAAAGUGUUUGCCUUCACUUCUGGUUUCUUGUAGUUUGGCUUGUUAUCAUGGUAGAAGAAUUAGGAUUCUCUCACCAUCUCUUCAACUUUUAAAGAAUGUGUGUGGUGCAAUUGUGCCUCAUCUACAUUUAUGACAAUUAAUAUUUAAUUACUUUACCUAAUCUCUCCACAACUAUAUGUAUAAUCAUUCUCUUUGAUUAUGAAUCAAAAUUUCAUAGAUAAAGUAAAUCAAGAUUUCAGAAGAAACAUAGAAAAAAAGAAUAAACGAUAUUUCUAAAUUAUAUACUUCAAGCCAGCUAGGCUUUAGGGCAUAUAAAAAAAAUACUCAUGGGCUAAAUCUUUUAUCUUUUCAUAUACGUAUGUAAAUUUAAAAAUAAAGGUGGAUUCAUUUCAAACUAGAGCUUCAGAAAGUUUUUGGAGAGUGGGAUUGUACUAUUGUUUGUCCAAACGGUACAUGCACCAAAAGCCGUAAGUCUUAUUUGUCUGAAACCCCCCCAAAAAAGUAGUAGUAAUAAUAAUAAAUGAAUAAAAAUAAAUCAGACAUCAUAAACAAAAAGCCAAUAAAAACUGAAACUCUCGUGACAUUUGGAUGCUUUUUUCAACUUUUGGAGGAGUCACGUUCUGCAGCACACCGCGUGACACAUAACAUUGUUAGUGUCAGUCACCCCAUUCUGCUCUGCUCACCACGUUUCCAAGUAACAGAACUUGAACAAAAUAAGUGCCUUUUUCGGUUUUGGUUACUUGCUUUUUGCUCAAGGCCUUUUGGACACAAUUUGUAAUGAAAUUAAUAGAACCAAAAAUGUGUAAGAAUAUGCCAUAAACAUAAGUCCUCCUCUAUAAUUUACAACUUGGCAGCAUCAAUUUGGGGUGUAGGGUUUUUUUUUUGUUCCUUUUGAGAAAGAAGAUUGAUUAAUCUGAUGAUCUGAAAAUUGGAAUAGUAUUAUUCCAUUUACUUGAUCAAGAAUGGAGAAUGCGAAUCCAUUAUCCAUGCAUACAUAUUUGUCAACCAUCACAUGUUUGCAUGUUUUGUUUAAUACUAUUAAUUAAUGAUAUUGCAUAAUAAAAGUAAAAUGGGUAAGAUAUAGCUGAAGCUAAUUAAGAUGACAAGAUACUCAUUUCGAGAAUAAGGAGCGGCAGCCCAUGCUUGAUGGGAAAAUAAAUUAAGAAUCAAAUCCAGUGGGAAAGAAUAGAGAAUAACAACAGAAAAAUUGAAUCAGAAAGCAGGCCUAGCUAGUAGCUACUACACCUUUUAGAUUGUAUAUUGUAAGCUAGCUACCGGCGCUGUUUAUUUGCUUCCAUGGCAACACAUGUACUCCGUAAACUGAUAUAAAGAGUAAAUAGUAGACACAUACCUAACAAACUUCAAUAAAAAAAUUUGCAGUCUGCUUAAUCAUUGAGGAGCCUCGAUCUUUUGGAUUUGGAUUUUCCAGGUGACUCAACAAAAACUCUUUUCCGGAUGGCCAAACAAAUACUCGAUCUGUCGAGUGCAGAUGUUGCCGUAGCCUUUUAGUCUUAGUUUACGUAGUGGGCAGGGAGUUUGAUUGUGCCUUUCAUUCAUAUCGAUUGCUCUUUAUAGUUCAAGUUGCAAAUGCAUCACCUAUAGUAGCUUAUGCCAAUAAGAUAACUAGACAAAUGAGAUUUGCAAUUUCAAUCAAUUAGCUGGGGAUUCUUUGUUUUUGUCUGUUAUUUUUAUGGGUGAAGGAGUUUGAUUGUCAGCUGUAUACGCACACUUGACAUAGCUGGACUGGUGGUGGAUGUUUAAGGCACUCAAAUUCAAGUAAAAUAAAUAAUAGAGAGGGUUGCUGUUUAAAUAAAUAAGAUUUCUCAUCAAUAUCUAAACUUUAAAGGAAAAAAAAAAAGUGAAACAGUCUAAUUUGAUGAUUUUUUCCUAUUGUUAAUUUUAUAGAAUACUAAUGGCUAAUUAAGCAGUUCUUAAUCCUAUAGGCACCAUAGAUAAGAUAUAUCUCAUGAUGGGCCAUUUACUCGUUUUGGAUGAUUUUUUUUUUUUUCAAACACAUCCAAAACGACAUUGUUUUAAGUGUCCUUUUGUCAGGAUUUAGUUCCCCCUCAUUUCUGGUUCCCGAUUCAUAAAGAUAUCCAAAUUUAAAAACAUUAAUAAUAGAGGAUUAAAAUUCUUUACAUUAUAUAACCAAAAUAAGAUAGAGACAAGUUAGGCGAAUGCCAUCAACAGGUUUAGUAAUUUGCAAGGAAUCGGCUUCCUUCAUCAAUUGGCAGAAUUUUAAAUAUAUAUAAAUUAAUUGCAUGUUAAUAAAUAAAUAAAUAAAUAAAUAGAUAAGUUUAUUAUGAAUAAUUAAUAAGUAGUGGAGUUCUGUCAUUCUCCAACUUCAAAUGAGAACACGCGACGCGAGUGGGAUUUACAUUAAGAAAACGUAGCAGCCACAGGAGAAACGUACCAGGAAUCAAAACCCCUGGAUUAGAAAUUUCGAAUGAGCCUCCGGAUAUUCCAUUUUAAGUGGCAAGUGCUUUUCAAAAUCGGCCAACCGAGAAUUCAAUCCCUCGAGAAUAUUCCCUCCUUAUUCUUGGACCUUCCCCGGAUCAACAUUAUUAACUACAUUAACAGGGCCACCAAAAUCUUGGUGACUAAUCAAUUUCAAAAAAGAAAUUAAAAAUUAAAAAUUAAAAGUCACACCCAUUCGAUCUUUGAUCCCCUAUCACAUCAAAGCCAUUAAACCAAUGGCCAGGAUUUAUUUUAAACCACAGAAAUAAUACAACGGGAUACAUGUUUGCUUUAUUGGAAAAAAAAAAAAGCCUACAAUUCUAGUCUCUAGAGACAGUAGUUGGAAAAACACGACUUGUAUUGUUAGCGUUGGACUUACCACAGAAUCUUCCGCGUAAUAUUCCUUUGGCAUAAGGCUUAUUCCUCCCAGCCGCGUCACUUUUUCUCAAUAUAAAUAGGUCUCCGCCCCCUGUAACUCUUUGCACCAAAAAUUCAGGAGAAAGUAAUCAAGAAUUUCGAGCUUUUUAUUUUAGCAACAGAAAGAAAGAAAAAAUGUCUGGAAUUGUUGUGAUUUUCGACUUCGACAAGACCAUCAUCGACUGCGAUAGCGACAACUUUGUUGUUGAUGAACUGGGUGCUACGGAUUUGUUCAAUCAACUCCUUCCCACCAUGCCCUGGAAUUCUCUCAUGGUACGUUUGAUUUUUAGGGUUCCUUUGCCUUUUGUAUGUAUGUUUUUAACUCAUAGCAUAACUCUUUAUUAAUGUGCUUAAAAAAAGGGCAUGUUUCAGUUUUUGGAUUCCUUUGCCUUUUAAUGUAUGUUUUUAACUCAAAGCAUAACUCUUUAUUAAUGUGCUUAAAAAAAUUACAGGACAGGAUGAUGAAGGAGCUUCAUUCACAAGGCAAGACGAUUGAAGACAUUGUGGAGGUUCUGAAGAGGAUUCCGAUUCAUCCCAGGGUCGUUCCUGCCAUUAAAUCAGCCCAUGCUUUAGGGUAUGAACUUCAUUAACGUUGGAAUUAGCAAAAAAGAAUUGGAGACUAAUUAAAACAUAUUAAUGGGGUUUAUUUAUUCGUUUCAGGUGUGAAUUGAGAAUCGUCAGUGAUGCAAAUUUGUUUUUCAUUGAGACAAUUUUGGAGCAUCUUGGGAUUAGAGAUUGUUUCUCUGAAAUCAACACAAAUCCUGGCUUUGUUGAUGAAGAAGGCAGGCUGAGAAUUUUCCCUUUUCACGACUUCACCAAAUGCUCUCAUGGCUGCAAUCUCUGCCCGCCAAAUAUGUGCAAGGUUUGAAUUUUGUACUCUUUUUUUUUAUUAUUAUUACAAUUUCAUUUUUUUAUUAAUAAGAUUUAAAAAUUUGCUAUUCAUGUCACCUAACUUUAAAAGAAAAGUCUAAAUAUUAUUUGGUCAAGAUUAAUUAUCAUAUGAUAAAAAUUCUAGAGUUGUUUCCAAAGUUCUAGACAAUCUCAUAUGCCUCUCGAGAUUCUUUUAAAAUUUUUUCAUCUAAUUGUUGUCAGCUAAUUGUUCUUUGUGACCCCACUUCUCCAUUUUUAUAUUAGCUUACAGUCAAAAUUGAUCAAAAAAUUUAUCUCAAACUUUAACAUUGGGCUGUGCUUAAAUUUUGUGAACAGGGCGUGGUCAUUGAAAGGAUUCAAGCUUCUUUAUCUAAGGAAGGAAACAAGAAAAUAAUCUAUCUUGGUGAUGGAAGUGGAGAUUAUUGUCCAAGCUUGAAGCUUAGUGAAGGAGAUCACGUGAUGCCAAGGAAAAACUUCCCAUUAUGGGAUUUAAUUAUCAGGAAUCCAAUGCUCAUUAAGGCCGAGAUUCGUGAGUGGACUGACGGUGAAGAGCUUGAGCAAAUUUUGCUUCACCUGGUGAACACCAUUGGAAGCACUAACAACAACAACUCAGCUCAAUUGCUUUCUGCUGACUGCAAAUUGCAGACAAUCUCUGCUGCUGCCCAUGAGACCCUGCCUCAAGUCCUCUCUGUUACUCAAUAAUUUUUUUGCACAAAAAUGUGCAGCAACAUUGUUCAAAAGAUUUUGCCUUUAUGAGCAUGUUUCAAUAAUUGUAGAUUAAUGUAACCCAUAAUGUAACUUUAUUUCUAUGCUAACGUCCUGUUUGUUCUCACCUCUCUGCUUUCCCCUGUUUUUUAUCCUUCAGCCAAUUAGGUCCAUUUUGUGUAAAUAUUGUUACUUUUCAGUCCACAAAAGUCAAGAAUUUUUGGCUUUAGUGGUUCACACGGACCCAACAAUGUAUCAAAUAAAGAUCCUCUCAUGAUCCUCUCAUGAGUUUUUUGAUAUCUUAUGUCAUGUGUGUUUAAGUAAUAGCGAAUGAGUAUGAUUUAAUUUCUUCAUUUUCUUUAUUUAUUAAACCUACAUAUAAUUUUACUUAGAAAAAAUUAGAUCAUAAGAGAAUCUUAAUAGACAAUGUAUCUGGUCUUGAAACAUUUUGAUUGUAGUCGAAAUCAAAACAGGAAUUUGAAAGAUAAAAUUCCAAUGAGGGUAGAGGCGUACAAAUAUUCGCAUGCAGAACAUCAAGCAAGAAAUUCAUUUAUCUUAAUUUGAUAAAGGCUUGCCGAGUUUGUCUGCGGGACACCACCAUGUCCAUGAAUUGUCUUCUUCUUGCUGAAACGUGGCUUAAAUCAUCCCUCAGUUUUUCCUGUGGCUCUUUGUAAUUCAGAAAUGAGUACCAAAUUAAAUAAUAAUAAUAAUAAUAAUAAUAUUGAUAACGACCGAUUUGAAAAAAGAAUGUCGAAUUAUUAAACCAUGGCACGCGACGUUGGCAAUAAAUGUACGUACUAGCAUUUGCAGAUAACAUAUAUAAUAUAUUAUAAGAAAAUGAAAGAUUUUAUAUUUUAACUUGCUAUCAGCAAUCUCCAAUCGUAUAUAUAAUAUUUCAGCUUCCCUUAAUGAUAAAAUUAUUUAAUCUGAUGAGCCACGAUGAAGGAUCCUGAUGAUGGCGCGUGCCGCAUAUAAAAAUGCUACUAAAAAGAAAAAAAAGUAGCCAUCGAGGAAGACUCCCACUUUGCAUUGUGGCUGCUAAACGACGGGUCAAUUUUGGUCAGUCAUGGACUCGCGUUAAUGCUUUCCAACAGUGAAUUAAUAAUACAUUUAAAUUCUACUAAUGUUGAAAUAUUUCAAAUUUGGUACGUCUUUGAAGCUUCAAAGCCCCUUCAAUUUUUAUAAUUUUCACCUCUUCAUAUCCCACAAAUUUAUUUAAUCACCAAUUUCUUUAAUAAUAUAUUGGUGCCUGAAAUUACUAUUUAGAAGAUAUCUUUCAAUGAUUUCGAUGACUUAGAUCGAUUAAUUUCAAUUAUUAAAAUAACUUAAUCAUAAAAAUAAUACCAUUUUAUUAAUUUUAGACACAUUAUGUUUGCAUGAAAUAAUUCAUGAGAUGGUUGCAAAGAUUGGAAUAAGCUUGACUUGACUUAGAAAAAAAAAAAAAUCUCACAUCUUAUAAAGUUUUAGAAGCAUCACAAAAAUUCUAUCUCUUGUCUAGAAAAGAGAACAGGAAAAAAAAAAGAAAGAAAAAGCAGCCGAGAAUGUGAUACAUUCUCAAAUUACAAAUAUGGCCAGUGAUGUUUUUAACAAUCAAGCCAUAAGUUUCUGAUAAAAUAUUCCUCGGCGUAUAUCCAAAAUCACAGCUGUAAUUCUUCACCUGCACAGCUAUCAAGUCUAUAAAUACCCAGCAUAUCUCUAGAAAUAUUUGUUCAAUAUUAAUUUAACAGCACCAACAAUUUCGUUUGGCGAUCAUCACUUGCAAAACCAAGAGAAAAUUAAUUUCCUGCUAGUUUAAUUUGUUCAUAAAAAUGGCUGACAUCGUGGUGGUUUUCGACUUCGAUAAGACGAUUAUCGACUGCGACAGCGACAAUUGGGUGGUAGAUGAGUUGCAUGCUACUGAGUUGUUCAAUCAACUCCUCCCCACCAUGCCCUGGAACUCUCUCAUGGUUAGUACCCACUUUCAUUUUUUUUUUUAAUUACUUUUCCUUUCAAAUUUCUUCUUUUAGUUAAUUAAAAUAAAGCCAUUUACUGUUUUAAUUUUAUGUGCAAAAACAUGCAGGGUAGAAUGAUGGAGGAGCUUCAUGCACAAGGCAAAACUAUUGAGGACAUUGUUGAAGUUCUAAAAAGAGCUCCUAUUCAUCCUAGCAUAAUUUCAGCCGUUAAAGCAGCUCAUGAUCUAGGGUAUAUAUAAAUAAUUAAUCUCUCUCUCUGUCUCUCUGUUUCUGAGUUAUUGAUUAAAUUUCUUUUUUUUUUAAAAAAAAUUUAUGUAUGAAAAUUUGCAAUGUUGCUUCUAUAUACAGGUGUGAUUUGAAGAUAGUAAGCGACGCGAACCUGUUCUUUAUUGAGACAAUUCUGAAGCACCACGGAAUAUGGGAAUUAUUUUCAGAGAUCAAUACGAACUCGAGUUUUGUUGACGAAGAAGGGAGGCUAAAGAUUUUCCCUCACCAUGAUUUUACCAAAUCUUCGCAUGCUUGCAGUACUAAUAUUUGCCCACCAAACAUGUGCAAGGUAUAAUUCAUUACUUACCCCUAUAACGUAUGAGAGAGUUGUUUUCUAGGGUAAAUGUUGGCACAUUUUAAAAUAUAAAUUUGAGGUAGCGAUCUUAUUUAGCUACAAAAGACAGAAACAUCACAACGAAAAUUUGAAGAUUGUUGGGUCGUUAAGGUUAAUGAAAAACAAGAAUUUAUAAAUUAAUUAGGCCGAUCAGCUCUUUCUAUAGAUCGGAUCUAAACACAUGGGAGCUUUAUUUUUUGUUCAAUUGCUGUUCCUGUUACUUGAGUGUCGGUACCAUACUUUUUUUUUUUUUCUUCUCCUCUCUUUUGGUAUAUAUAUGUUGAGAUUAGUUCCGGCCUGCUUAGGUUAAUCAAAUGAGGAAUAUGACAAAAUUAUCACAUGCAGUAGUCAAGUAUCAUAAUUCUUGAUUAAUGAAUACCUAACAGGGAGUGGUGAUAGAAAAAAUUCAGGAAUCAAUGUCCAAAGAAAAGAAAAUCAUCUAUAUUGGAGAUGGGACCGGCGAUUUUUGCCCUAGUUUGAAGCUCAAACAGACUGACUAUAUCAUGCCAAGAAAGAAUUUCCCAGUCUGGGAUUUGAUAUGCCAAAAUCAUAAGCUCAUAAAGGCAGACAUACAUGAAUGGUAUGAUGGACAAGAGCUGCAACAUGUGCUGCUCCAAAUUAUUAACUCAAAUAUUAUUAUUUCUAAUGAACAAGACGACGGCGACGACAAUGGCGAUUCCACUCAGCUAGUUACAGUUGACUGCAAGCUUCAUAAAAUUCCAGUCUCUGCCCAUUGAGUGUAGCAGAUAUUAUCAAUAUAGCCGAUGUUGUAGAAUUGAUGUUAAUGUCACAUUUCAUCUGGCUGGUUUCGGCCUCAGCAAUUAAUGUUCAAGGUGUUUGUUGCUGAAUGAAAUUGAAUGAAAAUUUACAAAUAUGAGAUGGCUUCAAUUUUUUAUUUUAUUUUAUUUUAUUAUUAUUUUAGUUUGCUUGUUGGCUUGUUAAAGUUCUGGCCACUUAAGACAGUUAUACAAAUGAGAUUGAAAAAAGGGGAUCCCAAAUCAUGUAAUCAUGAAAUUAAUGGAAUGAAAAUGACUAGCAUUAUAAUUCAAGAAAGGUAUAUAUAGAAUUGCUAUCUAAUUGGCUCUUGCUACACCGAUUGUUCCUCGCAUAUUAGCCAUAAUUUUGAAAUAUUUAGGAUAAAUUUUAGAUUAUUCCACUCAUGAAUUAACUAUCUUCAAAUUAUUUCUUUAUUUUUUAAAACUUAAAGUUACUUCCUAAAUCUUAUUAUUUCUCCAUUAAUUUUAAUAGUUAAAAGGAUAAAAUAGUAUUUAUAAAAUUUGAAACAUUCAAUUAAUUGAAAGAAAUCAAACUUUUCUAUUUUUUUCACUCUUUUAUAUUUAUUAUUAGACAAAAUGACUAAUACUCCUUACUUAUAUUUUGGAGAACAAAGAUACUUCAACAUAAAUUAAAUUAAUUUUCAUUUAAUUUCAAAAAAUCAAAAUUCAUUUGUUACUGUUCAUUCACCUUCAUCUAACAAAACUCACUCUCUUCUAUAUAUAAACACAGCACAACCGCAACAUUCUCUCUCCCAAAAUUUUUGUUGAUAAAUAAUUUUAAAUCAACAAUCCGUAAAUAAAAACUAAAGUAAAACUAAAAUCUAAUUAAAAUCUAAACAAGUUUUGCAAUAACUCGAUUAGUUUUGAAGUCAAAAUUCCAUAUUUGAAAAUACUCUGUCUAGUUAUCGAUUAUAGUUGCAUGUCAUGGUCAAGAAAAUUCUGAGAACUCAAAGGCAAUCAAACCCGUGGCCAUGGAUACCAAGCCCAUGGCUGCUUAAAAAUAGAUAAUUAACAAAAAAUUGUUAAAAAAGAGACAUUUUUGUUCUUUAGCAAGUCAACUACGGUCAAGGCUAGAGUUCAACACUCCAUGCCAAGCUAGUGUCCAAAUCUGCAAGCCAAUCUAUCUUCUCCCAAAUGUCCUCACCGUUAAAAAUGUACCUUUUGACGUUGUUUACACCAUUAGAUGUAUACUCAACCACAACUUGCUCUAUGCACUGCCGCCAGCAUGAGAUGGGACGGGAUUUGCAGCAUUGAGCAAUCCCUCCUUCAUAUACUGCCUGCUUCUUAUAAGAAAACUCAAACUGAAACAAAAGGACAAGGCAGUUAUAAGCAAAGCAGCGUUUGUUACAAGCACGCAAAACAAAGGCAUAAACGUAAAAUGGACCAACUUAAGUACCAGCAUUACAUGUGUAUCAUAAUCACAUAAUUCUCACAGUAUAAACCAAGACCUAAUUCAGACCAAUGCAAAAUAUUCAGUACCUUAAAAGAGAACCAGUUCCAGUAAAAUGAUUUGAUUGUAACAGUCCUUAAAUGAGGUGAAAUCCAGAGCAAACCAUCGAUAGUGUUUUUAAUUGCGACUCGCACACGGGUUCCAGUUAUUGCAAAGUCCAGGUUGUUGUAACCAUAGAAUGGGGAAGAUCGGAUUUGCCUCAAGUCUUCUGGAAUAUCCGCAUUCUGCACAAAAGAAUUUGAAUAAUAUAUAAGAAAUAAAAAAGUAUGUAAAAUAGUAAACAGCUCGAUAUUUAAAUGUAUACAUAUAGCAUGCAAGAAGUGACAUACCUCACCCUUGUAACUUUUCAAAUUCACCGCUUUGGAAACAUUAUGGAACAUUGCAAGGAGUCCAAUAUACUCAGAAUACCAGUCAAUGUCGCUGUUAUUCUUGUUGAAACUGAGAUGAGUUUCCAACAAAGUCAUAGCACCUAUAGAGAAGGAUACCACAUCACCUUGAUAUCUGAAAAUACUUAAAUUAGGAGCCUCAAUCUUGACUUCAAUCAACCCUGCACAUUCAAAGAUCUUCAGCAUCUUAAGACUGAGACUUGAAAUCUUAAUACUCUUCAACUUGUCACAACCAACCAAAUUCAAAUUCUCGAGGAAUGGAAAGUUAGGAAUUUGGCUACAAAGCCACUCAUCCUUCAGAGAAAGCAGGCGCAGAGUUAAAUUUUUAAUAUUCUUACAGGAGGCUACAUUGAUCUCGCAUGGUAAGCUUAAUUGAAUGCUAACUGUCUUCACAUUCAGAGUUUGGAUAGAAAGCCAUAGAACUUCCAGACAGUUACGGACCUUGAAUUCAUUGAGUUUGGUAAGACCAGAUAGAUCUAGAGUAUUAAAGCCAAGGCAGUUAACCAGACUUAGAUGUUCAAUCAAAGGACAGCCAUCAACUAGGCUCUCAAGGACUAGAUCGGCAGCAUAAACGCUUGUGAGACAUAAUUUUUUCAAAGAAGAUAACUUCACACUUCUCAGAGACUGCAGCUUACAACAACUUAAGGCUAACACUUGUAUUGAUUUUGAGCAUAAAACCUCUUGAGGCAAAUUGUAGCAGCGCUUGUUAUGAGCGUCAACUGAAGGCAUUCCUGGUCUAGUAUCAACAACACGUGCACUAGUAUGAAAUGGAAGUGCGAGUUUCAGCUCUUUGACAUCACUUUCUAAUGCAGAGAAGAUACACCGGUCUACAAAUGGUCCGAGUUCUUUUACCCGUAAUUCAUACAAGUCAAGUGUGAACUUGUCUAACCUUAUCAUCUCCCUGCGGCGGGUGCGCAGAGUUCCCUCUACAUAAUUUAAUGCCCUGCUUAACUUCUCAUCUCCAAGUUGAGCUUCAAUUUUGUUGUUGCAAGAAACCGAAGGAACUUGAUUAAAGAAAGUUUUAUCAAAUUCCAAAAUUGGGAAUGUACGCCAGGCUCGUUCCCAUGCUUGCGACAAAACAGUUGUUUGAACUACUUGUUUAAAUGAGAGGAAUGACAAAAUACAAUGCAGUAUUGGUUCCGGCAAAUUAGAUAUCCUGUCCAUGCUGCUAAGCACCUCCUCCAUAAUAACAAUAUCACCACCAGAUUCCCUGAAUCAGUAGCAACAUCUUCCUUCUAAGUAUGCUAAUUAAAUUGAGACAACUGAGUACUAAUAAUAAUAAGAAUAUUGGCUGGAUUCUAUCAAUUUAAUUCAAUGUAAUAAAGAAAAUAAAUAAUCCUAACAAAAACUCUUUUGAAUUGAACAUGUUUAAUUUCUUUUUUGUACGAGAAGAGACACUGAAACUUUCACUUUCACCGGAAAAAGAAAAAUCAGCCUAAAACAGAACUGAAUUAUUUAUAAAAGAAAAGAAAGGAAAAGAAAAGAAAAAGAGACACGUUAACACAGAACCAAUAUGGAUGAGGAUGAUAAAAUACCUAUUCAUCCGAUCGAUCAAUCGUGACAGUCCAACAGCGACAGCGACGGCAACCGAAACAGCAGAACUGUCAAGAAAGGAUUGAUCUGCUUUAACUAUGUUUUGUAUAGGCUUAAUUUUGAGGAUUCCGAAUCCAAAACAGACAAAGUCACAACAGCAAAAUUAUGUAGGCUCAGUCUGCUCCGUGUAUAUAUAUUUUGAAAAUUCCAAAUCCAAAUCGGACACGUCCUUCUGCUUCUCCUAACGCGAAUCGGACAUGCGGCUAGUCGCUACGCAACAGUAAUUAAGCUUUUUGGAGAUAAGAGUGGUUUCGUUUCCAUCCAUUUUAUGUACUUCCAUCUGUUAGUUGAAGAACUAGUUUGUUACAAAGUACGCAAAUCUAACCCUGACAACUUCGGAUGACGCAAUCUUUUGUCAUCAAAUAGGCUUUUGAGUCUUGACUCUUGACACCCCCUUCAAAAUUCCGAACUGCUUAAAUAAUCGAAGUAAUUUAUGAAUAAUGAUAAAUAUUUUAAAAAUUUUAUCCCAAAGAAAUUCAAGUAAAUAUUUAAAUAUUAUUAUUCCUUGAAAAAAAAUUUAACACUAUCUUAUUUCAUAAUUUGUAUUAUUCUUUAAAUUUUAAUUAAAGAUAUGUUCUUUAUUGAUGCGAGAUUCUGGUUACCCUCUCGACCACGAUUAGGAUCUCUGCUCAAUCAACUCGACCACGAUCAGGAUCUCUCCUCGUAUGACUUCUUUUUAAAAAAUUCAUGCGUACACAGAAAUAAGUCAGAGCACGCCGGUUGUUUUCAAAUUGCACAUGACAUAUGAAAAGAUAAUCAAUUCACAGGGGUGGAGUAAUCUGAGACUUACCCAAUUAUGUAUAUUGAAUAGACGUACGGUGGAAAUUUAUAUAACUUUUUGCAUUUUAUUUCUUAUGUUUUACAUAUACAUGAGGAACUUAAUUAUAACCCAGAUUGCUUACAUGAUUAACACAUAAUUAUUUGUAAUCUACGCAUAUUAUGCCCAAAAAAUUUCAAUUUUAAUUUUGAUGAGUAAGUAAUACACAGAAACUUGUCUGCAAAAGGUAUAUAUCAAAUAGAAAUAGACCACUCCAUUGAAAUUAGCUUUUGAAUUAUCUUGAAAAUUGAAAGGCCAUUCAUAGAUUUAGUGCUCUUUUACUUUUGCUGUAUUCAGAAUUUGUCAGCUUCUCUCAUAAAUUAUCCACAAGAUUAAUUAACACUCCUGAAAGUGUUUUCCUGAAAAUGAUCUUAACUGAAUGAAUAUGGCAAUAUGAAAAGAUGCAAUUGAAUUUCCAGUUAACAAAAAGCAUAGUAGGAUUCACUUAAUAGCCUACAAUGGUAAGAAUUAAUGGCCACAGUGAUUGAUUUCUUCGAAAGCAUAUGACAGACAUACUUCCAAAUCUUGACUGCAAAUCACAAUAGCCUAACAAGUCUAUUGCAAAUCAUGAACAAAUCCACUUUAACAAAAGGGUGUUUGAAACCUGAUCUUCCAAACAGAGAAAUAAUAAUGUCGAGCAAAGGUGCCCACCUACAAUUGUCUUAUUGUAGAAUGCACAAUGAUCCAUUUUGCUGAUUCUGGAUUUGUUUCUUUCAAUCUCUUAUUAUUCAACAUUUAAUGAUAUUCAGCUCACUAUUUUACGUAAACUUUUUUACCACAUUGUUCCACUUUUUGUUACUUUUGUGGUUUGUCGUGUCGUGUAAUUACUAUUAACUAGUCAAAGGGCCUGCCAUAGCUAGAUGCAUGCGUUGAAAUUCUGGCUGCGCAUAUGUGCUGUGAAAGCUACACGAGAUUUGUUGGGUUGCGCGCCACUGCCAUGUGAACUAAAUCACAAUGGAAAACUAGUGUGAAAAACGAUUGCCUCUGCUCUCUGUUUAAACGAAUUUACUAUAGUUAAUCAUAUGUUGUUGUCUUGUUGAUUCUAAUGUGGGUCUUUAUUUAUUAUUUAAGUUUUUGAAUCAGUCCUCUUGGCGCAGCUCAUUUGGCAGUAAAUAUGCUUUUUGUCCAUGAUAACAUUGAGUUUAAGUAAUAAUAGAGAGGUUAGUAGUUGGUGUUUAGUGGGUGCUAUUUAUUUUUUCAUCUGGUCGGUUAAACUAUUAUAUAAGUCUUUUUUUUUUAAUUUCAUGAAAAUUUUUAGUUACUAAUCAUUAAGUUAUUAAGUCAAUUUCUUUUAUCUUUUUGUUUAAUUUAAAAAUCUAAAUGAUUAAAUAUUUGAGAAUGCAGCUGCGUUAUAUAUUUGUUAGUAGAAUAAGUAUAUCAAUAAGUUAAGUUAUUAAGUCAUUUUUUUAACUGUUCUAGCUUAACCAAGGUUUUCAGAUCGAGACUUGGGAAUACAACUGCUUUAAAUACUUAUUGGGAGAGCUUUGUCGCCUUAGUAGUCAUACUCAGCUCAAAUCUGGAUUAGUCGGGGCCUAAUACAGUCUUCAUAUACUAGAUAGUUUAAUAUACCAAAAAAAAAUCUAAAUGAUAUCAUUAAAACAUAUUCUCUAAAAUAUUUCUAUAUAAUUAAUUAAUUUUCAUACUUACCUAAAUAAAAUCUAUUAAUUAGUAUUAUUACCCAUCUUCUUGUGAUAAUAUAAAGGUAGGAUAUUAUUAUUUUUAUCUUUUAUUUUCUUCAAAUUAGCACUAUUUAUCUUUAUAAUUUUUUCUGAAUAUUUUUCCAAGAAAAUAUCAUAAAUUACAAUAAAAUUGAUUAGCAUAUACUAAUGCAUAAUGUUGAGUGUUAGAAAAUACAUAUUUAUAAAGGAGAAAACCGUCAUUUUACAUUUCAAGUCUUACUAACAACCCUUACUUUUAUGUACUUAACCUUCUUGUGAUGUAAUUACGUGUGUGUUAUUUUAAUUAAGUAUUUUAUGUAUUUUAGGGGCAUUAUAGUCAUUUCACAAUAAAGGAGAGAUCAGACGGCAAAACGGACAUCACUUUUGAACUCAGGAUGGUCGAAAACCUUAGGAGGAGCAUAAAAGGAAAAAUGGCACUAUUCACAUGUACGGUACUAUUCACGUAUACGGUACUGUCUACGUUACUGUUCACGACACUGUUCACAUAGACGGAUCGAUGACGUGGCAUUGACCGAUGAUGUGGCAUUGACUGAUGAGGUGUCACGAUCCUGUUGGGCUAAAAUUCUUAUGUACUGUUGAUGGUGACGUGGCAGCAUAUCAGUGGACGAAAAAUCUCACGUACGGUGCAUGCAUCACACAGGAUUAUUUUCAACCAAACCGCGUUACUGUUCAUCCGGGUCAAACCGUGUUACUGUUCAUCCGCGUGGUCAAACCGUGGACUGUUGACUGAUGACGUGGCGCAAUCCUGAGCGUCCAAACUGUUUUUAAUCCGAUGGCCAUGAUUUACUCCAUGUAUCUAUAAAAAGGGGGCCUCCCCCCCCUAAUUUGAUAUCUCUGAAUCCAUUUUUGGGAUCCAUUUUCUGUAAUUCCUACUCCAUCUUGUAUUUUCUUUGUAUUUUAAUAAAUUCCCAUUUUGCCCCUAGUUCAAUUAUGAGUGGCUAAUUUUCUUUCAAGCUUGGGUUGAAGGUGAAGUCUCAACAUGUGUCAUGGGCUUUAUUUGGUAAAUUUAUUUUCUUUUCCCCUCUAGUUUUUGUGGAUGAUUUGACUUAUCGUCGACAAAUAAUACUGAUCUUGUCUAGAUACCGCCUUGGUUACACCGGCUCUCUAGUAUAAGGUUAUUAUUAUUUGGCACGAUAAGCCCUUAGCACCAUAUUGAUUAGAGCGUGGUUCAUGAGGUGUGGAUUCCCCCCUCAUGAUUUAAUUGGCAUUAAUACGGAUUAUUUAGCCCAUGAUGCAUGUUGAUACGGAUCCAGAUACCCAAGUACGUCAAUUUAAUAGAUUUUCUCUUCAAUUUAUUCUCUCCAUUGCAAUUCCAAUUUUAGAAUUUAUUCUCGCCAUUUUAAUUUAAGUAUUAGCAUAUUCCAAAUCAUUUCCACCAUAAAUCCAACUACCCAUUUACAAAAUUAAUUCUAUAUAUAAUUAAAAUCCACCUCCUCGUGGGAUCGACACUCGUCACCAUUAGUCUAUACUACAAUAGAUUCGUGCGCUUGCGAGUACAUUAAAAUUUGCACAACAAGUUUUUGGCGCCGUUGCCGGGGAGGUAAGUAAUUUUAAUUCAUAGAAUUAAUUUUUGUGGAUAAUUUCUUUUAUUUGUUUUCUUGUAUUUUUUUUUAUUAAAAAAAAGAAAGAAAAAAAAGUAAAUCUACAUUUAGAGGUUAGUAUUUCUUUUCUUUUUCUCUUCUUUAAAAUUCUGUAAUUUAAUUUUCAAUUUAUUUUUUCUUUGUAAUUUUUGUUUAUUUUAUUAAUUUAAUUUUUAGUUAAUUUAUUUCACGUAUUUGUUUUUGUGUAUUUUUAUAGAAAGGUUGUAAUAGCGCAAUAAGGUUAGUAUCGUAAUUUCUCCCUCUUCUUUAUUUUUAUUUGUUUUGUUCCCAUCUUUAUUUUUUGUUUUGUUUGCAUCUUUAUUUUUAUUUUUAUUUUAUUUUGCAUGCAUGGUCGUAGGUCAUUAUUACCUAAUCUUGAACCUAUAGACCUUGAAUUAGAAAAAACACUUCGCACACACAAACACGUUAAAAAUAAAAUGGAUUUGCAACCACAGGAGAGGCCAUUUAAGGACUAUUUUAGUCCCUUAGCUAAUUUGAGCACGUCAUGCAUAAGAUACCCAAAUGUAGCUGCUAGGAGUUUUGAAUUAAAACCUAGUGUGUUAAAUUGUCUCCCCACAUUUUAUGGCCUAGAAAAUGAGGAUCCAUAUAAUCAUUUGAAUGAUUUUCAUGCCAUUUGUCAAACAUUCAAAUAUGAGAAUUUUUCAGACGAUGAUGUUAAACUCAGACUAUUCCCAUUUUCUUUAAAGGAUAGAGCUCGUUCAUGGUUAAAUACGUUGCCUGCUAACAGCAUUUCAUCAUGGGAACAAAUGGUAACUAAAUUUUUGAAUAAAUAUUUCCCAGUGCAUAAAACCAAUUCUAUUCGCAGGGAAAUUUCAGAGUUUACACAAAGAGAGGACGAGCAGUUUUUCGAAACUUGGGAGCGAUUCAAUGGGCUACUCUUGAAGUGUCCACAUCAUGGGUACGAGAAAUGGCACCAAUGCCAAUACUUUUUGGAGGGAUUAUUGCCGAAUGUGCAAGAAUGGCUAAUGGCAACAAGUGGAGGAGAGCUAAUGUCAAAAAGUGCAUCAGAGAUUUGGGAAUUCUUCCAGCGACAAGCGGAUAAUUCCCAACAACGGAGUCGAUCACUCAGGAAUACUAGAAGAAUUAAGGGAGUAAAUGAGGUUCAAAUUGGCGAGUCAACUUCGGGAAUCAAAGAAGUCAAGGAGAUGGUUGAAGGUCUCGCUCGACAAAUAGCAUCGUUAUCGACUGUUAAAUCAACAGAACCACAUGACCAUGACUCAUACUCUGAUCAAGCCAAUGCCAUAGGUGUAAUGAGAAAACCAUCGAAUUACAACCCAUACUCCAACACAUAUAACCCUGGAUGGAGAGACCACCCCAAUUUUUCAUGGUCUCAAGGAUUCCAACAGAAUGGACCAGCAGCUCCAGCUCCAGCUCCACAAAUUCCUCAAGUUCCUCAAGCCUCUCAGCCCCCAUUUAGACCAUUCAAUCAGAACCAGAACUACUCUCAACCCAGAUCAUGGGAGGAUUCAUUCCAGAAUUUCAAGAAUGCUACUCACUCUACGAUUGAGCAACAGAACCGCACCAUUGAUGGACUACGAAAUGAGUUGAGAGCGGGCUUCAAUUCACAAGCCCAAUCAGUUUCAAGCCUCGAGAAGAUGGUGGGACAACUUGCUUCUUCAGUUCAGACCUUGGCAAUGACUGUUGAGAAAGGCAAGUUUCCAAGUCAACCAGUGCCUAAUCCUAAAGGAGUGCAUGAAGCAAGUACCAGUUCACCACAGCAGCAUGGAGAGGUCAAAGCAGUCAUGACCUUGCGAAAAGGAAAGGAAGUCGACAAUAAAGUGGAGAUGCCGGUGACAAAAGAAAAUCAAAUUGUACCUGUAAAUGCUGAGGACUCACCACCGGAGGAAAAAGAAGAAACCAACCCACGAGAAUACGUUCCCAAAGCUCCAUUUCCUCAGAGGUUAGUGAAAGGAAAGAAGGGAAAAUCCACAGGUGAGAUUCUCGAAAUCUUCAAACAGGUAAGUGUCAAUAUCCCUUUGCUUGAUGCUAUAAAACAAGUUCCAUCUUAUGCCAAGUUUCUUAAAGACCUUUGUACUAAAAAGAGAAAUAUGCAUGUUCAAAAGAAGGCAUUUUUAACAGAAAACGUUAGUUCUAUACUCCAACAUAAAAUUCCUUUAAAAUGCAAAGACCCAGGCUCCCCCACUAUCUCAUGUAGUAUAGGGAACCACACAAUUGAGAAUGCUUUGUUGGAUUUAGGAGCUAGUGUAAAUUUGUUGCCUUACUCUGUAUUCGUGAAACUUGGACUGGGAGAAUUACACCCAACUCCAGUGGUGUUACAGCUUGCAGAUCGGUCCACGAAAAUACCUCGUGGUAUUGUGGAGGACGUGCUUAUCCAGGUAGACAAGUUUUAUUUUCCUGUUGAUUUCAUUGUAAUUGACACUCAACCAAUACAGGAUUCAAAGAAGCACAUCCCCAUUAUUCUAGGCCGACCUUUCUUGGCGACUGCGGAUGCUCACAUUCAAUGCAGGACUGGAAAUAUGCAGUUGUCCUUCGGCAACAUGACUAUGGAGCUAAAUAUUUUCAACAUUGCCAAACAACCUCACAGUGCAGAUGAUGGAAUUGUUGAUGUGGAUUUAAUAGAAACAAUAGUUGAUAAUACUUUUAUUUCAAACCUUAGUGAUGAUCCUUUACAAACAUGUUUAACUCACUUUGGUUUGGAUUUUGAUAUUGACAGAUCGGUCGAAGAGGUCAACGCCCUACUUGACUCAGCACCAUCCAUGGACACUAAUAAAUGGAAGUCAAGAGUUGAACAACUAGCACCAUCAGAGAAGAAACUCAUUCCAUCAUCAGAAUCACCACCGAAACUCGAGCUCAAACCAUUACCCAACACUCUAGAAUAUGCAUUUUUGGGAGAAGAAAGUACUCUGCCGGUAAUCAUCUCAUCAUCCCUAAAUGACGAACAAAAAGGUAAGUUGUUGGAUGUUUUAAAAGAGCACAAAGGGGCAUUAGGAUGGACCAUAGCAGACAUAAAAGGUAUAAACCCAGUAGACUGCAUGCAUUACAUUCACCUUGAUGAAAAUGCUAAAUCUACUAGGGAAAUGCAACGUCGGUUAAAUCCUAAUAUGAAAGAAGUUGUUAGAACAGAAGUCCUUAAGCUAUUAGACGCAGGUAUCAUUUACCCAAUUUCUGAUAGUUCAUGGGUCAGUCCUGUACAAGUUGUCCCCAAAAAGUCAGGAGUCACAGUAGUUACCAAUGCUGAUAAUGAAUUGAUACCAACUAGAGUAACUACAGGAUGGCGUGUAUGCAUUGAUUAUAGAAAGUUGAAUUCUGUCACACGUAAAGACCAUUUUCCUUUACCAUUUAUCGAUCAAAUGCUUGAUAGAUUAGCAGGCCACGAAUUUUAUUGCUUUCUAGAUGGCUACUCAGGAUAUAAUCAGAUUCCCAUAGCACCAAAAGAUCAAGAGAAAACUACUUUCACUUGCCCUUUUGGCACAUUUGCAUAUAGGAGAAUGCCAUUUGGAUUAUGUAAUGCACCUGCUACAUUUCAACGAUGCAUGUUAAGCAUUUUUUCUGAUAUGGUUGAACGAUUCCUUGAAGUCUUUAUGGAUGACUUUUCUGUCUUUGGUGACUCGUUUGAUCAAUGUUUACAUCAUCUAACGCUAGUUCUGCAGAGAUGUACCGAGAAGAACUUAGUCUUGAAUUGGGAGAAGUGCAAUUUUAUGGUAAAACAAGGUAUUGUUCUCGGUCACAUCAUUUCGAGCAAAGGUAUUGAGGUUGACAAAGCCAAGGUGGAUCUCAUUUCUAAUCUUCCUCCACCUAAAACAGUCAGAGAAGUAAGAUCUUUCCUUGGGCAUGCUGGUUUCUAUAGACGUUUCAUUAAAGAUUUUAGCAAAGUUUCUAGACCCUUAUGCAAUUUACUUGCUAAGGAUGUACCUUUUAUCUUUAAUGAUUCAUGUCUUAUGGCUUUUGAAAAAUUAAAGCAGUUGUUGACAUCAUCACCCAUCAUUCAGGCCCCAAACUGGAGCUUACCAUUUGAACUCAUGUGUGAUGCAUCUGAUUAUGCAGUAGGAGCAGUAUUAGGACAAAGAGUUGAUCGAAUUCCCCACGUUAUUUACUAUGCUAGUAUGACAUUGAAUGAUGCACAGUUGAAUUAUUCAACUACUGAAAAAGAAAUGCUAGCAGUAGUGUUUGCAUUAGAGAAAUUUCGAUCUUAUCUCAUUGGUUGUAAAAUAAUUAUAUUCACAGACCAUGCUGCUCUUAAAUAUCUUCUCACAAAGAAAGAUGCAAAAGCUAGACUAAUUCGUUGGGUGUUACUUUUGCAGGAAUUUGACUUGGAAUUCAAAGAUAAGAAAGGCACAGAGAAUGUUGUAGCUGACCAUCUCUCUCGCCUCCAUUUUGAUACAAUUAUGGAACCAUUACCAUUGAAUGAGUCAUUUCCAGAUGAACAAUUAAUGAAUGUGGAAGUAUUACCUUGGUAUGCUGAUAUAGUUAAUUAUCUUGUUACAGGUAAACUUCCAGAGCAUUGGACCAAGCAAGACAAGGCUAAAUUCUUUGCGGAAAUAAAGAAUUUCUUUUGGGAUGACCCGUAUUUGUUCAAGUAUUGUGCAGACCAAAUUGUUAGACGAUGUGUCCCUGAAAAUGAAAUUCAGAAUAUUCUUUCAUUCUGCCAUGCACAAGCGUGUGGAGGCCAUUUUAGUGCUAAGAAAACAGCUACAAAAGUUUUACAAUGUGGUUUCUAUUGGCCAACUAUAUUUCGAGAUGCUUACACUUUCUGUUCUUCAUGUGAUAGGUGUCAACGAAUGGGGAGCAUUACACGAAGAAACAUGAUGCCACUAAAUCCAAUUUUAGUGGUUGAGAUUUUUGACGUAUGGGGUAUCGACUUCAUGGGACCCUUUCCCCCUUCUUUUGGCCAUCAAUACAUAUUGGUUGCUGUUGACUACGUCUCGAAAUGGGUAGAAGCAAUUCCAUGUAGGACCAAUGAUCACAAAGUGGUGAUAGGAUUUUUGAAAAGCAACAUUGUUUCACGCUUUGGAUUCCCUCGAGCGAUAAUCAGUGAUGGUGGUGCCCACUUUUGUAACAAAGCAUUCAAAGCUCUUUUGACAAAGUAUUCAAUCACACACAAAGUGGCGACCCCGUAUCAUCCGCAAACCAGUGGCCAAGUUGAGAUCUCCAAUCGAGAAAUCAAGCACAUAUUAGAAAAAACGGUGAGGCCAGACAGGAAAGAUUGGUCAUUACGACUUGAUGAUGCAUUAUGGGCAUAUAGAACGGCUUUCAAGACCCCGAUUGGGAUGUCACCCUACAGGCUAGUGUAUGGAAAAGCUUGCCACCUACCUGUGGAACUCGAGCAUCGUGCAUAUUGGGCCAUCAAGAAAUUCAACUUUGACAUGCAGCAAGCCAGCUCAGAGAGAAGAUUACAACUGGCAGAACUUGAAGAAAUUCGCAAUGAUGCAUACGAAAAUGCCAAAAUUUACAAGCAGCGGAUGAAAGUCUUCCACGACAAGCACGUUAUGAGAAAAUCUUUCACUCCAGGUCAGAAAGUACUUUUAUUCAAUUCUCGCUUGCACCUAUUCCCAGGUAAGUUACGCUCUCGAUGGUCUGGUCCCUUUAUUGUUCAUACUGUUUUUCCACAUGGGGCAAUUGAAAUUAAAGACCCAAAGAACGGUGUCACGUUUAAAGUUAAUGGUCAAAGAUUAAAGCCAUAUCUAGAGUACCAACCACAUGAAGAAGACACCGAAAUAAAUUUGAGUGACCCACCAGAUUUGAAUUAAUUUUUUUUUCUCUUUUUAUUGAUUUGAUUUUUCUUUCUUUCUUUUUAUUAUUCUUUUGCUAAUUGAAAUUAUUUUUGCAUAAGUAUGUUUGUUUAACAAUUAAGUUUUCUCUUAUCAUUUUUAAUCAUGAGUCUCAUACUUAGACCGUUCCUCCUGAACAUUCUUAAAUCACUUCAACGUGUCAAAACUCAUCUCAAAAGGCAGAUUCUAUUUUGUAAAACACAACGCAUUUGGGCUCUACAACCACCAGAGUUAGUAGCCUAUGUUGAGGGUUUAGAACGCCAACUCAGAGACAUUGAGAGAAGUGUUUACGACAUCCAGUUGGAGCUUGAGGUAAAUUCAAUAAGAGGACGAUUUUAAUUUUCUUUGUGUGUUUUAAUUUGUUUUUCUGUUUGUGUGCUUUAGUUUGUUACCCCGGUGAAGUGGCGGAUAACGGUACUCCGUGACAAUCAAGUCGGUUAACUUCAGUUUCCCAUAAUAACUGAUAUUCUGAGGCGAAGGUAUGGAUAGAAACGAGAUUUUAGCAAAGCUUCACAAGCGAUUCCCUUCACUUCCUCAGAAUGCCCUCCUUACAAUCUAUAAAGCCCGGUCUGAACGCAUGCGAUUGCUCAUGAGGAAUAACAUACCUGCAGACAUCCGUUGGUUAAUCGAGGCUAAAGUACGAUUGGCAGGUGAGUUACCUCCUAAAUUUAUUGCAUACAUGCCUGGUUGUGGUAAAGGAAAUUACGCAAGAAAACGACGAGCUCGAAGAAUUUCUGUUGCUUGUCACAAGUGUGCCAGAAUGAGUUGCGAUAGAAACCCAUGUUCUUUAGGAAUGGUGUCUGAUAACAGGGAAGAUAAGAUUCAAUUCAUUAGGGAUGGCUUGAAUAAGGAGUCAUUGGAUGAUAUCCUUCUGUCUCUUGAAACGCAUCCCAGUGGAUAUGUGCAAGGAGCGAUUCUCCGGUUAUGGCCAUUAUUCCAGAAAGAGCAUGCACGAUAUAGUCUCGGGAAUCUGACUAUAAACGACCCUGUUUGUCAGUUUAUAAGAAAACUGGAUGGGAAGCCGAUCCUCGACCCAUAGAGGGCGUUCAAGCCGUUUCUGGACGUAAAACCAGAGGAAGAUGUGAGCCACAGUCGCAACUACCUGUAAAUAUCCUUUUACUUUAUUGUUAUUUUAUUUCACUAUUGUCUUAUUUUUGCAUUAUUGUCUUUAAUAAUUUUAUUACUGUUUGCUUUUUCCUUUUUUACUGUUUUCUUUUUGACUUGCGAGCCACGUGCUUUACGCGUUAUUUGACACUGACACAUUACCUCAUACACAACCAUGACCCACUAUCACCAAGACUCUUAAAUGUGAUAUCUUUUGUCAAGCACUCACAAAUUAUUUUUUUUGAGAAGUAUCACAAUGACAGCUACUCCAAAUAGACAAUUCAAGAACAUUUGUGUGCUUUCUGGAUUUACCUAUGGCAAACAUAAAGAGUUCGUGGAGGCAGCCAUAGAUCUUGGUCGAAGCAUAGCAGCGAGAAAAUUACACUUGGUGUAUGGAGGAGGUAACCGAGGGUUAUCAAAAAUGGUCUCAGAAGCAGCUUUUAUCAGAGGAAGUCAAGUGUUAGGCAUCAUCCCAAGAGUCCUAAAACCAUUGGGCAGUUCGUCUGACUCAUCAACUGGAGAAGAGUUAGUCGUCUCAGGUAUGCAAGAAAGAAUAACUGAAAUGCUUAAUCAUGCUGAUGCUUUUAUUUUCCUUCCAGGAGAUCUUGCAACACUAGAGGCACUUAUGACACUAGCAUCUUGGGCCCAUCUGCACAUCCACCAGAAACCCAUCGGUUUGUUAAAUGUCAAUAACUUUUAUGAUGGCUUUAUCGCAUUUCUUAACCAUGCAAUAAAAAACUAUUUCAUUCCUUCUAAUGUGAAAAAACUCUUUCUUUGUGCUCACACUGCUAAUGAGCUACUUGAUAUGUUACAAGCUUAUAAACCGGAGCCAGACCCCUGGACCUUUGUGUUGGAGCGACCAAAUAAUGAUGGUAACAGUAGCCGCAGUAAGAAGUACAAAUUAGAUUUAACUCUCCGCCUGUAAAUAUUUUCUUCUGUGUUGCACCACCCAGGUGAUGUCUUCUAAACUCUACUUCUUUCCUUUAAAACAUUGAGGACAAUGUUUCGUUCUGGUUGGGGGGAGGGAAUAGUCGACAAUUGUGGAAUCUUGGUUAAGUUUUUACUGAUUUUUUGUUGUAGAAACUAACUGUUGCUAACAUUUUAUGUUGAAGAUGGCUGAAUAUGGAGUGUAGUUACUCUAGAAACGCAUCUUCAUCGUUUAAAAAAAAAAAAAAAAAAAACAUGUUUUCUUCCUCUUUCUCCUUUAUAAAUAUGUAGUUUCAAAUUUUUGAGUCGAAGAUGGCUGAAUAUGGAGUGUAGUGCCUCUAGAAACGCAUCUUCUUAGUUUAAAAAAAAAAAAAAAAAAAAAAUUCUUUUUCUAAUUAAUUUUUCUACAUCAUUUUCACAUUUCUGCAUACAUAUUUUCCUUUCAUGUUUAGAAUAGGUUGGGGGGUAGAAUGUUGUUUAAAAUAUAUAUAUAUAUAUAUUUGUGUGAUUUGUUUUAACAUUGGAUGACAUGAUUAAUUUCAAAUUUUAGUAUUUGUAUUAUCUUUGGUCUUAAGUGAUGUUACGCUAUGUUUGCUACUUUACAUGUUGAUGUCGGAGACAAAUAUGAGUUGCUUGAAGGAAUGAACAUGUCAUAAAUAAGUGCCAAGUGAGUUGUUGAGCCUAUCAUUUUCUUGGAGAGUAACCCUUUUGCCCAUUCUCUAUACAGCUUAGCAGUUUAUUAUUUUAUACACGAUCUCUAGAUUUCUUUUAAGUUAACCCUUUAAAAAAAAAAAAUAUGGUAAAAUUAAAAAAAAAGAAAAAAAAAUGUGUGUUGCUACAUUGGGAGGCCCAUCUAACUAGUAGAUAUGGAUAAUUAUUUAGAGCCCUAAAAGACGAUGGAAAGGCCAUCUUUGAUCCGUUUGAGCCUUUCUAGCCAUCCCUUUUAUUAAAUAUCCAUAGUUACCCCUUUUGAGCCUUUAAAAAAAAAAAAAAAAAAAACAAAAACAUUUUCUUUGUCAACUUAUCAUCUUGACCCACUCCGAUUUGGAGUAUUACCCAAUGUCUUUUAAGUUCCAUCACCUAUUUAUGUUUGAGAAAAUGUAAAUAAUUAUGUUGUUCAGUGAAGUUAUGCCAAAUAAAAGCAAAAAAAAAAAAAAACAAAAACAAAAGUUGUUGUUUCAAAAGAAUAAAAAUAACAAUAAUAGGUGAAAUCCACCUUGCAAGUUCCAAAAAAAAAAAAAAAAAAAAUUCUUCAUUUUUCUCAAACAUACACUUUGUUUUCCUUAUUUCCUUUCUUUGUUAGCCAUAUCCCUAGCCUACGUUACGUCCUAAUAAAAGUCCUUCUUGAUUUUCGGGAACUAUAGUUUGAAGUAGAAGCUAGUUAUAUGGGCUAAAAAGAUGUAGUGAUGCAUAAUAAUAAAAAAAAAAAAAAAAAAAAGAUAAAUAAAGUGGGUUGACUAACAUUUUAUUUGACUUGAGAUCGUAUUAUUUCUAAGCUGAGGGCAUAUUUAUUUCAUCUUGGUGAGAGCAUGUGAUAUCAUUUCUUUAUUAUUUUCUCUCUCAAUUACCAUUCAUUGGAGUGACUAUGUUUAUUGGGUUUUAAUUUCUUUGUGAGAGUGUCACUACUUCCAGUGAGAUUUUGGGGUUUGACAUGUCAUUCUUGAAAGUAGCUAUAACAAAGUCUACUGGGCUAAUUCAUGUGGAUGGUUGAUGUGGGUGUGAUGUUGCUUUAGACUGGAGAUAAUGCUUAUACUUUUAUUUGAUUGCUAUCAUUAAUCUGAUUGAAUAAACACGAGUGUUUCUAAAAAAAAAAAAAAAAAAAAAAAAUCAUUUUGAAUUUGAAUUUUGUUUUCGCUUUAUUUGCUAGGGACUAGCAAUAAGCUGGUUGGGGGGUGUGUUGAGUGUUAGAAAAUACAUAUUUAUAAAGGAGAAAACCGUCAUUUUACAUUUCAAGUCUUACUAACAACCCUUACUUUUAUGUACUUAACCUUCUUGUGAUGUAAUUACGUGUGUGUUAUUUUAAUUAAGUAUUUUAUGUAUUUUAGGGGCAUUAUAGUCAUUUCACAAUAAAGGAGAGAUCAGACGGCAAAACGGACAUCACUUUUGAACUCAGGAUGGUCGAAAACCUUAGGAGGAGCAUAAAAGGAAAAAUGGCACUAUUCACAUGUACGGUACUAUUCACGUAUACGGUACUGUCUACGUUACUGUUCACGACACUGUUCACAUAGACGGAUCGAUGACGUGGCAUUGACCGAUGAUGUGGCAUUGACUGAUGAGGUGUCACGAUCCUGUUGGGCUAAAAUUCUUAUGUACUGUUGAUGGUGACGUGGCAGCAUAUCAGUGGACGAAAAAUCUCACGUACGGUGCAUGCAUCACACAGGAUUAUUUUCAACCAAACCGCGUUACUGUUCAUCCGGGUCAAACCGUGUUACUGUUCAUCCGCGUGGUCAAACCGUGGACUGUUGACUGAUGACGUGGCGCAAUCCUGAGCGUCCAAACUGUUUUUAAUCCGAUGGCCAUGAUUUACUCCAUGUAUCUAUAAAAAGGGGGCCUCCCCCCCCUAAUUUGAUAUCUCUGAAUCCAUUUUUGGGAUCCAUUUUCUGUAAUUCCUACUCCAUCUUGUAUUUUCUUUGUAUUUUAAUAAAUUCCCAUUUUGCCCCUAGUUCAAUUAUGAGUGGCUAAUUUUCUUUCAAGCUUGGGUUGAAGGUGAAGUCUCAACAUGUGUCAUGGGCUUUAUUUGGUAAAUUUAUUUUCUUUUCCCCUCUAGUUUUUGUGGAUGAUUUGACUUAUCGUCGACAAAUAAUACUGAUCUUGUCUAGAUACCGCCUUGGUUACACCGGCUCUCUAGUAUAAGGUUAUUAUUAUUUGGCACGAUAAGCCCUUAGCACCAUAUUGAUUAGAGCGUGGUUCAUGAGGUGUGGAUUCCCCCCUCAUGAUUUAAUUGGCAUUAAUACGGAUUAUUUAGCCCAUGAUGCAUGUUGAUACGGAUCCAGAUACCCAAGUACGUCAAUUUAAUAGAUUUUCUCUUCAAUUUAUUCUCUCCAUUGCAAUUCCAAUUUUAGAAUUUAUUCUCGCCAUUUUAAUUUAAGUAUUAGCAUAUUCCAAAUCAUUUCCACCAUAAAUCCAACUACCCAUUUACAAAAUUAAUUCUAUAUAUAAUUAAAAUCCACCUCCUCGUGGGAUCGACACUCGUCACCAUUAGUCUAUACUACAAUAGAUUCGUGCGCUUGCGAGUACAUUAAAAUUUGCACAACACAUAAUAUUAAAGGAUGAUAUUCAAUUGAACAUGAUUUAUGUUAUGAUAAUAAAUUAUCCUAUUUAUAUUCUUUGAGAUACUUAUUGUUGGUUUAACAUUUAUAAUUUGUAAGAGUACAAAUGUUUUUAUCUUUUCGUUUAAUUUAAAAAAUCUGAAUGAUAUCAUUAAACAAUAUUCUCGAAAAUAUUUUUAUCUAAUUAAUUAAUUUUCAUCUUUACCUAUGUAAAAUUUACUAAUUAGUAUUAUUACUUGUUGUCAAGAGAAAACAAGAAAGCAUGCACGUGAGUUGCGUGACAUAAGCAAGAUGCUAUGAAGAUAUGAGAAUAAGAAGCAUGAUAUAAGUAAAAUGUCACGAAGAUAUGUGAGCAAGAAAGCAUGCAUGUGAGAAGCAUAAUAUAAGCAAGAUGUCAUAACAAUAUGAGAGCAAGAAGUAUGACAUAAGUAAGAUGUUAUGAUGUAGGAAGUUAUUUUUCAUAUUUAAAGAUUCUAGAAUUUUAUUAUUUUAGGAUUUUCUAUUUUUAUUAGGGUCAAUUAAGGUAUGAGAUUUAAUUAACUUAGGAAACUAUCUUUUGUUUCCAUUAUAAUUGUGAUUUAUUUCCUCUUUUUAAGUUAACUUAGGAAAGUGAGUUUACUCUAUUAUAAAUAGAAAGGUCUUAUUAUUAUUUUCAAAACUUCAAAUUCAAUUAUUCAGUAAAACUCUCCUUUUAUAAUUUCUUCUGGAAUUAUCUAUCAAAAUCUCUCUUGUAGAAUCAUUUGGAUUAGAGCGUCAUCUAAUAUCGGGUUGCGCGUUAUUAAAAAUCUCAUUGAGUCAUUUAGAUUAGAACGAGAUCUAAUCACCCUUUGAUUAGAACGUAACCUAAUUGUGUUGGCUUGGUCCAAUACUACAAUGAUAUCUAGUAUUUUUAUCCAAUCAAUCCCGCUUUCGCUACACUCGCUCCAUCAUGUUAUGAAGAUGUGAGAGCGAGAAGCAUGCAUGUGAGCCGCCUCCUGCUCCUGAGCCUUCUGCUGUUCCCGUACAGCCAUCUGCCUCUAUGCCACCUCCAACUUCAGUUCAGCCUCCUACUUUAGAUGCCAUGCAGCAGCUGAUCACUGAUGUUCAGCGGAUCUCGGAGCGCCAGCAGCUGAUUCUUGAUCGGUUGGACACUCUUUCCCGUGACCACUAGCAACUGCGUUCUGACUUUCAGAUAUUCCAGCGGCAGAGCCUUGAUCAGCAGAUGGAGCUUAUCGCUGGACAGCGCACUAUUCUCGGCUAUUUCGGCUAUGAUCCGGGGAGCACAUCUUCUCCGCCUCCGUAGUUUCUGAGCUUUGUCUUCGCACAUACAUUUUACAUUUUGGUUGCUAGCAUUUUUAUUAUUAUUUUGAUUUUGAUGCAUAUGUGUGUGAUGUUCUUGAUGAUUAGAUUAUUGAUGCUUUGUGAUUGCCUAAUUGGUUGGAUAUUGUAAAUGUGGUUUAUUUGUGGAUAUUGGAGUGUUGGUAUGUUUGUGGUUCUUGAAGUGUUCUUUUGAUGUGUUUAUGGAGUUGUUGGCUUGUUGAAAGAAGAAGUUGAUGUUCAUAUAUCUUUGGAAGUGUUCUAUCUCAAUUUGUAUAAUUGGUUUUGAUCUUUUUUAAGGGGAAACUCUGCCAAAAUUUUCGCUCGCCAAAGCCGGGCAACUUCUUUCAUGGAUUUGCGUAUUUCUUAUUUCCUCUUUUCUUUUUGAUGAUGAAGGGAGAGAUAAUUAUGGUUUUUAAUAUAGUUUUUAAAUGGGGAGAUAUUUUUUUUAAGAUGGAUUUAAAAUGGGGCGAUUUAAAGCAAAAAUCCUUUUAUUCACAUUUCUCAAUUUGGCCAUACAUUUAGGGGGAGCACAUAUUAAGGGGGAGCUAAACUUUGAUUAGAAUUUGUCAUCAUCAAAAAGGGGGAGAUUGUUAACAUAAAUAUGUUAAUAAUAUUGAUUUUGAUGAUAACAAAUUUUAAAUGAUUUUUGAUAAAAGUAUUGGAGCUAUUUCUUAAUAAACGAGAGCCUUAGUAAUCAUUACAUUCAUGCUUAAUAAAAGAUGGACUUUAAAAUUAGAAAAAGAUUCUCUGCAAAAACUGGUUUAAAAUGCAAUUCUGGUUAUAAACGGUGAACCGUUUAUUUAAACGGUUAACCGAUAACAGCCAGAGAGCUACAUAUUUCCUAAACCUCUAACCGUUUAUGAAAAACGGAAAACACAAAAGACGGGAAGGUUACUGAAACUUAACGGUGAACCGUUUAUUUUAAACGGUUAACCGAUAACAGCCAGAGAGCAACAUAUUUCCUAAACCUCUAACCGUUUAUGAAAAAAGGAAAACACAAAAGAUGGGAAGGUUACUGGAACUUAACGGUGAACCGUUUAUUUUAAACGGUUAACCGAUUAACACCAGAGAGCGACAUAAUGUCUAAAGCUCUAACCGUUUAUGAAAAACGGAAAUCACCAAGAAUGGAAAGGCUACUGGAACUUAACGGUGAACCGUUUACUUUAAACGGUUAACCGAUAAUGUCCAGAAUUGAAGGUUGUCCUCCUCUGGCACUGAUUAACGAAAACUGAUAAGGCUAAAUUGUUUUGCAGGUUACUGGAGACAAACGGCGAACCGUUUAUAUCAAACGGUUAACCGAUAAUGUCCAGAGAAGCCACUUCACGCAAGUCCUUAACCGUUUAGCAUAAACGGAUAACAAAUACUCAUCUUGCAGGUCUCUGGAAGUUAACGGCGAAAGGGCAAACCUAAACGGAAAACCGUUUAUUUGAAAUCUGGCCCAACGGUAACUUUGACCAGCCUAAACGGUUAACCGUUUAUGGUUAACGGCGAACCGUUUUCUGUCCGACAGUUUGUAACGGCUAGAUUUUCGGCUCCAAAUAUAAAUAAGCUCAUUCAAAUUCAAAGAAGAUUGAUCACAACACGACCAUUUGAGCUAAUAUUCGAGAAUACAAUCUUCAUAGAGCUUAGAACACAUUCUUGCUUCAUCUAUUCACAUAUUAAGCAUCAUUGUGUAAUCUUAUAUAUUGUGAGAGGCAAAACAAUUUGUAAUCUUUUAUUUUGAGUGAUUGUAAGUGUUGGGAUACACUUGGGUUAAGAGAUUGGGGAUAAUCUCUUGUUGUAAAGGUUCAUUGACACCUUGGAAGUCAAGUGUAAGCAUUUGAAGCCUUGGAGGCUUGCUUAGUGGAAUCCUCAAGCCCGGAAAGCUUGGAGGCGUGAACGUAGGCAAGGUUGGCCGAACCACGUAAAAAUCUCGGUGUUUGAAUCCCUCUUCCCUUAUCUUUUUAUAUUGUGAUUCUCUUAAUUGUUAUUGCUUUGAAUUUGAUUUAUAAUUGCAUUAAGAUUUUCUUUAAUAAAUUGAAUAAUUUUUUAGAAUCCCAAUUCACCCCCCCUCUUGGGUUGCAUACUUGUAUUUCAGUUCAUGUAACCAUAUAGUCACCAAAAUAAUCUGCACUACCUAAUUUUUGAAACUUGUAUCAUCAAAACACUUUUUCCAAAAAAUCGAGAGAACCUCCCAUCGGCUAAAUGAAAAACUUAAUUUGAGUUUCAUUCUGCUGUGAAGAACAAAAAGUCCAAAGAAAAACUUUAUUUGACCUUUUUGUUAUUCAAUAAAUAAAAAUGACAAACAAUGUCUUUAACUAACAAACAUAAAAGAAGCUGUCCUGGCACCGUAUUACCCGACUCCUUAUUAAUCAAUCCAAAAUAAAAAUACAAGAGCCAUAGGGGCUAGCCAGACGCAAGGCUAGAGUUCAACACUCCAUGCCAAGCUAGUGUCCAAAUCUGCAAGCCAAUCUAUCUUCUCCCAAAUGUCCUCACCGUUAAAAAUGGACCUUUUGACGUUGUUUACACCAUUAGAUGUAUACUCAACCACAACUUGCUCUAUGCACUGCCGCCAGCAUGAGAUGGGACGGGAUUUGCAGCAUUGAGCAACCCCUCCUUCAUAUACUGCCUGCUUCUUAUAAGAAAACUCAAACUGAAACAAAAGGACAAGGCUGUUAUAAGCAAAGCAGCGUUUGUUACAAGCACGCAAAACAAAGGCAUAAACGUAAAAUGGACCAACAUAAGUACCAGCAUUACAUGUGUAUCAUAAUCACAUAAUUCUCACAGUAUAAACCAAGAACUAAUUCAGACCAAUGCAAAAUCUUCAGUACCUUAAAAGAGAACCAGUUCGAGUAAAAUGAUUUGAUUGUAACAGUCCUUAAAUGAGGUGAAAUCCAGAGCAAACCAUCGAUAGUGUUUUUAAUUGCGACUCGCACACGGGUUCCAUUUAUUACAAAGUCCAGGUUGUUGUAACCAUAGAAUGGGGAAGAUCGGAUUUGCCUCAAGUCUUCUGGAAUAUCCGCAUUCUGCACAAAAGAAUUUGAAUAAUAUAUAAGAAAUAAAAAAGUAUGUAAAAUAGUAAACAGCUCGAUAUUUAAAUGUAUACAUAUAGCAUGCAAGAAGUGACAUACCUCACCCUUGUAACUUUCCAAAUUCACUGCUUUGGAAACAUUAUGGAACAUUGCAAGGAGUCCAAUAUACUCAGAAUACCAGUCAAUGUCGCUGUUAUUCUUGUUGAAACUGAGAUGAGUUUCCAACAAAGUCAUAGCACCUAUAGAGAAGGAUACCACAUCACCUUGAUAUCUGAAAAUACUUAAAUUAGGAGCCUCAAUCUUGACUUCAAUCAACCCUGCACAUUCAAAGAUCUUCAGCAUCUUAAGACUGAGACUUGAAAUCUUAAUACUCUUCAACUUGUCACAACCAACCAAAUUCAAAUUCUCGAGGAAUGAAAAGUUAGGAAUUUGGCUACAAAGCCACUCAUCCUUCAGAGAAAGCAGGCGCAGAGUUAAAAAUUUAAUAUUCUUACAGGAGGCUACAUUGAUCUCGCAUGGUAAGCUUAAUUGAAUGCUAACUGUCUUCACAUUCAGAGUUUGGAUAGAAAGCCAUAGAACUUCCAGACAGUUACGGACCUUGAAUUCAUUGAGUUUGGUAAGACCAGAUAGAUCUAGAGUAUUAAAGCCAAGGCAGUUAACCAGACUUAGAUGUUCAAUCAAAGGACAGCCAUCAACUAGGCUCUCAAGGACUAGAUCGGCAGCAUAAACGCUUGUGAGACAUAAUUUUUUCAAAGAAGAUAACUUCACACUUCUCAGAGACUGCAGCUUACAACAACUUAAGGCUAACACUUGUAUUGAUUUUGAGCAUAAAACCUCUUGAGGCAAAUUGUAGCAGCGCUUGUUAUGAGCGUCAACUGAGGGCAUUCCUGGUCUAGUAUCAACAACACGUGCACUAGUAUGAAAUGGAAGUGCGAGUUUCAGCUCUUUGACAUCACUUUCUAAUGCAGAGAAGAUACACCGGUCUACAAAUGGUCCGGGUUCUUUUACCCGUAAUUCAUACAAGUCAAGUGUGAACUUGUCUAACCUUAUCAUCUCCCUGCGGCGGGUGCGCAGAGUUCCCUCUACAUAAUUUAAUGCCCUGCUUAACUUCUCAUCUCCAAGUUGAGCUUCAAUUUUGUUGUUGCAAGAAACCGAAGGAACUUGAUUAAAGAAAGUUUUAUCAAAUUCCAAAAUUGGGAAUGUACGCCAGGCUCGUUCCCAUGCUUGCGACAAAACAGUUGUUUGAACUACUUGUUUAAAUGAGAGGAAUGACAAAAUACAAUGCAGUAUUGGUUCCGGCAAAUUAGAUAUCCUGUCCAUGCUGCUAAGCACCUCCUCCAUAAUAACAAUAUCAUCACCAGAUUCCCUGAAUCAGUAGCAACAUCUUCCUUCUAAGUAUGCUAAUUAAAUUGAGACAACUGAGUACUAAUAAUAAUAAGAAUAUUGGCUGGAUUCUAUCAAUUUAAUUCAAUGUAAUAAAGAAAAUAAAUAAUCCUAACAAAAACUCUUUUGAAUUGAACAUGCUUAAUUUCUUUUUUGUACGAGAAGAGACACUGAAACUUUCACUUUCACCGGAAAAAGAAAAAUCAGCCUAAAACAGAACUGAAUUAUUUAUAAAAGAAAAGAAAGGAAAAGAAAAGAAAAAGAGACACGUUAACACAGAACCAAUAUGGAUGAGGAUGAUAAAAUACCUAUUCAUCCGAUCGAUCAAUCGUGACAGUCCAACAGCGACAGCGACGGCAACCGAAACAGCAGAACUGUCAAGAAAGGAUUGAUCUGCUUUAACUAUGUUUUGUAUAGGCUUAAUUUUGAGGAUUCCGAAUCCAAAACAGACAAAGUCACAACAGCAAAAUUAUGUAGGCUCAGUCUGCUCCGUGUAUAUAUAUUUUGAAAAUUCCAAAUCCAAAUCGGACACGUCCUUCUGCUUCUCCUAACGCGAAUCGGACAUGCGGCUAGUCGCUACGCAACAGUAAUUAAGCUUUUUGGAGAUAAGAGUGGUUUCGUUUCCAUCCAUUUUAUGUACUUCCAUCUGUUAGUUGAAGAACUAGUUUGUUACAAAGUACGCAAAUCUAACCCUGACAACUUCGGAUGACGCAAUCUUUUGUCAUCAAAUAGGCUUUUGAGUCUCGACUCUUGACACCCCCUUUAAAUUUCCGAACUGCUUAAAUAAUCGAGGUAAUUUAUGAAUAAUGAUAAAUAUUUUAAAAAUUUUAUCCCAAAGAAAUUCAAGUAAAUAUUUAAAUAUUAUUAUUCCUUGAAAAAAAAUUUAACACUAUCUUAUUUCAUAAUUUGUAUUAUUCUUUAAAUUUUAAUUAAAGAUAUGUUCUUUAUUGAUGCGAGAUUCUGGUUACCCUCUCGACCACGAUUAGGAUCUCUGCUCAAUCAACUCGACCACGAUCAGGAUCUCUCCUCGUAUGACUUCUUCUCCAAAAAUUCAUGCGUACAAAGAAAUAAGUCAGAGCACGCCGAUUGUUUUCUCGGCCUAAACCCUCUGACGCCCAAGUCAAAAAUGAAGGUUUUGUCUUCCUGGGAACGUUAGCUACUAAUUUUAUGGCUUAUUUUUGGUAUCGAUUACUCAAUGCUCUCUUUAUCUCAGUUUCAAUGUCAAAAAUUAUAACAAUUUUACCUUCGUUGACUACCUUUUUAUAGGCUUCUCCUGAAUUCAGACCUUCCCUCCAUUCACGCCCGUUAUCCUCCCACCUCUCGAAAGUGAAUGCUCCGUUUCUGUAAUCGUGGAUGGUUGCAUGACCUUCGUGCCUUGAUUCUCGGAUUGGAGAGCACGUCUCGCCAACUCUCGUUGACCGGGUCUCCUCGCCUCAACCCUUAGCAGGAAUGGCUUUAUACUUCUAACAGAAGACCGCCCUCGCGGAUGGCGUAUUCGUGGACGAGCGGAAUAUUCCUGCUCCUGUUCCCCUGCUACUAGACUCUUACAAGAUAUACCUGUUCGUGGAACCCUACUACCAGAUGUCUGCUAAACCCAGCUGGUCUCGUUGAAGUACAUCCCCAAAUAUUCUUGAGAAAAGUACAAAAAUUUAAAGUAAUGAAGAUAAAAAUUAUAUAUUAAGAAAAAAUAAUUUAAGAUUUUAAUAUUUUAAUAUAUUUUAUAAAUACAGCACAACCGCAACAUUCUCUCUCCCAAAAUUUUUGUUGAUAAAUAAUUUUAAAUCAACAAUCCGUAAAUAAAAACUAAAGUAAAACUAAAAUGUAAUUAAAAUCUAAACAAGUUUUGCAAUAACUCGAUUAGUUUUGAAGUCAAAAUUCCAUAUUUGAAAAUACUCUGAAUAGUUAUCGAUUAUAGUUGAUUGUCAUGGUCAAGAAAAUUCUAAGAACUCAAAGGCAAUCAAAGCCGUGGCUAGCUAUGGAUACCAAACCCAUGGCUGCUUAAAAAUCGAUAAUUAACAAAAAAUUGUUAAAAAAGAGACAUUUUUAUUCUUUAGUAAGUCAACUACGGUCAAUUGUUAAAGUUAGUUAUUUUUAAAGUAAUUUGAAUUUUCAAAUAUAAAGAUAAUCAAUUCACAGGGGUGGGGUAAUCUGAGACUUACCCAAUUAUGUAUAUUGAAUAGAUCGUAUGGUCGAAAUUUAUAUAACUUUUUACAUUUUAUUUCUUAUGUUUUACAUAUACAUGAGGAACUUAAUUAUAACCCAGAUUGCUUACAUGAUUAACACAUAAUUAUUUGUAAUCUACGCAUAUUAUGCCCAAAAAAUUUCAAUUUUAAUUUUGAUGAGUAAGUAAUACACAGAAACUUGUCUGCAAAAGGUAUAUAUCAAAUAGAAAUAGACCACUCCAUUGAAAUUAGCUUUUGAAUUAUCUUGAAAAUUGAAAGGCCAUUCAUAGAUUUAGUGCUCUUUUACUUUUGCUGUAUUCAGAAUUUGUCAGCUUCUCUCAUAAAUUAUCCACAAGAUUAAUUAACACUCCUGAAAGUGUUUUCCUGAAAAUGAUCUUAACUGAAUGAAUAUGGCAAUAUGAAAAGAUGCAAUUGAAUUUCCAGUUAACAAAAAGCAUAGUAGGAUUCACUUAAUAGCCUACAAUGGUAAGAAUUAAUGGCCACAGUGAUUGAUUUCUUCGAAAGCAUAUGACAGACAUACUUCCAAAUCUUGACUGCAAAUCACAAUAGCCUAACAAGUCUAUUGCAAAUCAUGAACAAAUCCACUUUAACAAAAGGGUGUUUGAAACCUGAUCUUCCAAACAGAGAAAUAAUAAUGUCGAGCAAAGGUGCCCACCUACAAUUGUCUUAUUGUAGAAUGCACAAUGAUCCAUUUUGCUGAUUCUGGAUUUGUUUCUUUCAAUCUCUUAUUAUUCAACAUUUAAUGAUAUUCAGCUCACUAUUUUACGUAAACUUUUUUACCACAUUGUUCCACUUUUUGUUACUUUUGUGGUUUGUCGUGUCGUGUAAUUACUAUUAACUAGUCAAAGGGCCUGCCAUAGCUAGAUGCAUGCGUUGAAAUUCUGGCUGCGCAUAUGUGCUGUGAAAGCUACACGAGAUUUGUUGGGUUGCGCGCCACUGCCAUGUGAACUAAAUCACAAUGGAAAACUUGUGUGAAAAACGAUUGCCUCUGCUCUCUGUUUAAACGAAUUUACUAUAGUUAAUCAUAUGUUGUUGUCUUGUUGAUUCUAAUGUGGGUCUUUAUUUAUUAUUUAAGUUUUUGAAUCAGUCCUCUUGGCGCAGCUCAUUUGGCAGUAAAUAUGCUUUUUGUCCAUGAUAACAUUGAGUUUAAGUAAUAAUAGAGAGGUUAGUAGUUGGUGUUUAGUGGGUGCUAUUUAUUUUUUCAUCUGGUCGGUUAAACUAUUAUAUAAGUCUUUUUUUUUUAAUUUCAUGAAAAUUUUUAGUUACUAAUCAUUAAGUUAUUAAGUCAAUUUCUUUUAUCUUUUUGUUUAAUUUAAAAAUCUAAAUGAUUAAAUAUUUGAGAAUGCAGCUGCGUUAUAUAUUUGUUAGUAGAAUAAGUAUAUCAAUAAGUUAAGUUAUUAAGUCAUUUUUUUAACUGUUCUAGCUUAACCAAGGUUUUCAGAUCGAGACUUGGGAAUACAACUGCUUUAAAUACUUAUUGGGAGAGCUUUGUCGCCUUAGUAGUCAUACUCAGCUCAAAUCUGGAUUAGUCGGGGCCUAAUACAGUCUUCAUAUACUAGAUAGUUUAAUAUACCAAAAAAAAAUCUAAAUGAUAUCAUUAAAACAUAUUCUCUAAAAUAUUUCUAUAUAAUUAAUUAAUUUUCAUACUUACCUAAAUAAAAUCUAUUAAUUAGUAUUAUUACCCAUCUUCUUGUGAUAAUAUAAAGGUAGGAUAUUAUUAUUUUUAUCUUUUAUUUUCUUCAAAUUAGCACUAUUUAUCUUUAUAAUUUUUUCUGAAUAUUUUUCCAAGAAAAUAUCAUAAAUUACAAUAAAAUUGAUUAGCAUAUACUAAUGCAUAAUAUUAAAGGAUGAUAUUCAAUUGAACAUGAUUUAUGUUAUGAUAAUAAAUUAUCCUAUUUAUAUUCUUUGAGAUACUUAUUGUUGGUUUAACAUUUAUAAUUUGUAAGAGUACAAAUGUUUUUAUCUUUUCGUUUAAUUUAAAAAAUCUGAAUGAUAUCAUUAAACAAUAUUCUCGAAAAUAUUUUUAUCUAAUUAAUUAAUUUUCAUCUUUACCUAUGUAAAAUUUACUAAUUAGUAUUAUUACUUGUUGUCAAGAGAAAACAAGAAAGCAUGCACGUGAGUUGCGUGACAUAAGCAAGAUGCUAUGAAGAUAUGAGAAUAAGAAGCAUGAUAUAAGUAAAAUGUCACGAAGAUAUGUGAGCAAGAAAGCAUGCAUGUGAGAAGCAUAAUAUAAGCAAGAUGUCAUAACAAUAUGAGAGCAAGAAGUAUGACAUAAGUAAGAUGUUAUGAUGUAGGAAGUUAUUUUUCAUAUUUAAAGAUUCUAGAAUUUUAUUAUUUUAGGAUUUUCUAUUUUUAUUAGGGUCAAUUAAGGUAUGAGAUUUAAUUAACUUAGGAAACUAUCUUUUGUUUCCAUUAUAAUUGUGAUUUAUUUCCUCUUUUUAAGUUAACUUAGGAAAGUGAGUUUACUCUAUUAUAAAUAGAAAGGUCUUAUUAUUAUUUUCAAAACUUCAAAUUCAAUUAUUCAGUAAAACUCUCCUUUUAUAAUUUCUUCUGGAAUUAUCUAUCAAAAUCUCUCUUGUAGAAUCAUUUGGAUUAGAGUGUCAUUUAAUAUCGGGUUGCGCGUUAUUAAAAAUCUCAUUGAGUCAUUUAGAUUAGAACGAGAUCUAAUCACCCUUCGAUUAGAACGUAACCUAAUUGUGUUGGCUUGGUCCAUUACUACAAUUAUAUCUAGUAUUUUAAUCCAAUCAAUCCCGCUUUCGCUACACUCGCUCCAUCAUGUUAUGAAGAUGUGAGAGCGAGAAGCAUGCAUGUGAGCUGCGUGACAUGAAUAGGAUAUCAUGAAGAUAUGUGAUUGAAAGAAUGAGGACAUUACGUAAGCAUGCGGUCAUGAAGUCAAAGUCAUUGCAAUUGCAAAGGAAGAAUCCAGAACCCGCUAUUUAAACCCAAAAGAAAAAUUUAGAAGUUUUAGAAACCCAAUUUAAGAAGAAGAUAAAUAUAGAUUUAAGAUAAAACUCUAAUUAACUUGUAAAAGCUGAUUAGAACAAGAAGUUAUCAACGACUUAGGGCACCUAAAAUUAUAUUAUAAAUAGAGGGUUCUUCAUGCAUAGAAGACAAAAGCAAGAGUUAAGUCGGAAAAAAAAAGGAAGAAUUUUUUUUAAUUCUCAUAAGGGUUAGUUUGUGAGUGCUGUACCUUUUAAAAUAAUUGAUGUUAGCUGUGUUGUAUAAAUAAUCAGCUGUGAAGCGAAUCAGUUAAGUGUUUGGUAAAUUUUGUUUUUAGAAGUACUGUGAGUUUUGAAAGCAGUUAUGAACGUUGGGUAACUUUUACUGUUAAAUUGUUGAGAAAAAAAUAAAUGGCUAAAAUGUACAUAAUGCAUGAUAAAAUUUACUUAUGCAUAUAAAAAUAUGUACAUAUAAUAUUUUUAUAUGUGUAUUAUAAUAAUUUUUAUUAAAAAUAGAAUUUAUAAUAUAUUGAUUUUAUUUUUUAUUAUCUUAAAACAAUCGAUAAUUAAAUUUAUAAUAUAGUAAAACAAAUUUAAUAAUAAUUCAACCAACAAAUUGAAAUUAAUAAAUUUAUAUUGAUAAAUUAUAAUAAAAAUUUAUUAAAAUAUUGAUUUUAUUUCCAAUUUGAAUAAAGAUAAAAAUAAUUUUGGGUUUAAGUAAUAAUUUUAAGGAUAUUUAUGGAAUUAGAUUAAAGGAUAAAAUUCAUUCUCAAAAUUAGAAUCUAAAAGCUACUUUUUCCUUGCUUUUUAAAAUUAGUUGUAGGAGGGACUGAUUUUGAUGAAAGUAAUUUUGAUUUUUUUUUUACCAAAUACUAAAAUUAACUUUUAGAUUUUCAAAAUCCCUUUUAAGCUUCCUAAAAGUAAUUCCAAACGGGCCGUAAAUGGUGAAAGUUGCUCUUUUUAUUCCCAUGAACGUAGGUUAAGCAUUGAACUACGUAAAUUCUCUAUGUUUUAUUUUUUUUUAUAUCGUCUUGUUUGUGUAAUUUUUCAAUUGACCAAAAAUCGGCAUUGGCAUUAUCUAUCCCUAUAACCUGUGAUAAUAUAGUGGUAAGACUAGUAGUAAGUUAAUUUCAAUCAACUAAAGCUAUUAAGUCCUCCUUUUUUCAACUUAAUGAAAAUUUACAGUUAUUAAUGAUUAAGUUAUUAAGCAAACUUUCUUAAGUUUUUGUUUAAUCUAAAAAGUCUAAAUGAUGUUAUUAAAAUAUAUUUUCUAAAAUAUCCCCGUAUAACUAAUUAAUUUUUAUCCUUACCUAGUUUUAUUACCCAUCUCAAUAACUUGUGAUAAUAUAGUGGUGAGACUACUAUUAUUUUCUUCAAAUUUACAUUAUUUAUCUUUAUAACUUUAUAUGAAUAUUUUUUGUCUAAAAACAUCAUAAACUAGAACAAAAUUGAUUAAACAUAUAUUGUAUUCAAUUGAACAUGAAUAAUGUUAUGAUAAUAUAUUAUUUUAUUUAUAAUCUUUGAGAUAUUUAUUAUUUGUUUAACAUUUAUAAUUUACAAGGGCACACAUGUAAAAAUACUAAUUUUCAUAUUUUUUAAGUUAAAAAAAUUUAAUACUUAUUUCUAACGAUUCAUAUAAAAGAAACAUUUAGAUUUAUACAUUCAAUUUUUUUAUUGCUAUCCCCAUCCAAAUAUUAUAUAUAUAGAGAGAGAGAGAGAGUCUGUCACCUCUCAACAAAACCAAUCUUGUUCACACGGCGCAUGAUGGAGUUGUAGCUCUCUUCUCAUCAUACGUUUAAACACUGUCAAUUUUAAUUCAUUCGUACUCCUCUUUUGUUUUCAAAUGAAUGUAUAUCUUGCAAAGAGCUGUAUAUAGCAUCUCUAAUUAUGAAUAACCCCAUGCAAGCUAGCUCACAACAGAAAAUUAGAAACUUAUUAUACAAAUUACUCAUAUAAUUAACAAAAAGAAAAAUGUACUUAUUUACAGGACACUACAACAAAAUCAGUUUUUAUUCCGGAUGUCGUAAUUAAGUCCUAAUUAAAAUUUGAAACAAAAUCUUCGUUCAUAAGUAUAUAUAUAUAUAUAUAUAUAUAUAUGGUUGGCUUUUAGCAGUUAUUUAUGUCAAGAUCGCUUUAGAUCAAAAUUUUAACAAAAUAUAAGCGUUUGAAUGAGACAACUUUUACACCAUAAGAAAUAAGUCUAAAUAACAUAUGCCAGCAACACAAACUAAUUUACACCAUCCUUGUUGUCCCAAAUACGUUCCUUUCUACUUUAAAAGAUGCUAGUGCUAAAUCUGCAACUUUGCAAGAUUCAUUUUCAUAACAGCAUGAACCAAGAAGUUUAAUAAGACUCCAAAACUGUACAACAAACUUGGUGAUCACAAGCUUCCUUAAUUCUUAUUAACAAACUCAUUAACGAAUGUGACUGAACAAUAAUUUUUUAGCCCUGUGAUCACGCCAACAACUUUAAACCUUAGAAUAUGCAUCUCAUCAUAGUAUCUGCACUACCUAACUUUUGAAACUUGCAUCAGAUAGCCAUCAUUAUAUUAAGCCACCAAAAAAUUUCACAUCACCUAGUUUCUACCACCACCUAUCUUUUAUAAGAAGUUCAUGUAACCAUAUAGUCACCAAAAUAAUCUGCACUACCUAAUUUUUGAAACUUGUAUCAUCAAAACACUUUUUCCAAAAAAUCGGGAGAACCUCCCAUCGGCUAAAUGAAAAACUUAAUUUGAGUUUCAUUCUGCUCUGAAGAACAAAAAGUCCAAAGAAAAACUUUAUUUGACCUUUUUGUUAUUCAAUAAAUAAAAAUGACAAACAAUGUCUUCAACUAACAAACAUAAAAGAAGCUGUCCUGGCACCGUAUUACCCGACUCCUUAUUAAUCAAUCCAAAAUAAAAAUACAAGAGCCAUAGGGGCUAGCCAGACGCAAGGCUAGAGUUCAACACUCCAUGCCAAGCUAGUGUCCAAAUCUGCAAGCCAAUCUAUCUUCUCCCAAAUGUCCUCACCGUUAAAAAUGUACCUUUUGACGUUGUUUACACAAUUAGAUGUAUACUCAACCACAACUUCCUCUAUGCACUGCCGCCAGCAUGAGAUGGGACGGGAUUUGCAGCAUUGAGCAAUCCCUCCUUCAUAUACUGCCUGCUUCUUAUAAGAAAACUCAAACUGAAACAAAAGGACAAGGCACUUAUAAGCAAAGCAGCGUUUGUUACAAGCACGCAAAACAAAGGCAUAAACGUAAAAUGGACCAACUUAAGUACCAGCAUUACAUGUGUAUCAUAAUCACAUAAUUCUCACAGUAUAAACCAAGAACUAAUUCAGACCAAUGCAAAAUCUUCAGUACCUUAAAAGAGAACCAGUUCAAGUAAAAUGAUUUGAUUGUAACAGUCCUUAAAUGAGGUGAAAUCCAGAGCAAACCAUCGAUAGUGUUUUUAAUUGCGACUCGCACACGGGUUCCAGUUAUUACAAAGUCCAGGUUGUUGUAACCAUAGAAUGGGGAAGAUUGGAUUUGCCUCAAGUCUUCUGGAAUAUCCGCAUUCUGCACAAAAGAAUUUGAAUAAUAUAUAAGAAAUAAAAAAGUAUGUAAAAUAGUAAACAGCUCGAUAUUUAAAUGUAUACAUAUAGAAUGCAAGAAGUGACAUACCUCACCCUUGUAACUUUCCAAAUUCACCCCUUUGGAAACAUUAUGGAACAUUGCAAGGAGUCCAAUAUACUCAGAAUACCAGUCAAUGUCGCUGUUAUUCUUGUCGAAAUUGAGAUGAGUUUCCAACAAAGUCAUAGCACCUAUAGAGAAGGAUACCACAUCACCUUCAUAUCUGAAAAUACUUAAAUUAGGAGCCUCAAUCUUGACUUCAAUCAACCCUGCACAUUCAAAGAUCUUCAGCGUCUUAAGACUGAGACUUGAAAUCUUAAUACUCUUCAACUUGUCACAACCAACCAAAUUCAAAUUCUCGAGGAAUGGAAAGUUAGGAAUUUGGCUACAAAGCCACUCAUCCUUCAGAGAAAGCAGGCGCAGAGUUAAAAAUUUAAUAUUCUUACAGGAGGCUACAUUGAUCUCGCAUGGUAAGCUUAAUUGAAUGCUAACUGUCUUCACAUUCAGAGCUUGGAUAGAAAGCCAUAGAACUUCCAGACAGUUACGAACCUUGAAUUCAUUGAGUUUGGUAAGACCAGAUAGAUCUAGAGUAUUAAAGCCAAGGCAGUUAACCAGACUUAGAUGUUCAAUCAAAGGACAGCCAUCAACUAGGCUCUCAAGGACUAGAUCGGCAGCAUAAACGCUUGUGAGACAUAAUUUUUUCAAAGAAGAUAACUUCACACUUCUCAGAGACUGCAGCUUACAACAACUUAAGGCUAACACUUGUAUUGAUUUUGAGCAUAAAACCUCUUGAGGCAAAUUGUAGCAGCGCUUGUUACGAGCGUCAACUGAAGGCAUUCCUGGUCUAGUAUCAACAACACGUGCACUAGUAUGAAAUGGAAGUGCGAGUUUCAGCUCUUUGACAUCACUUUCUAAUGCAGAGAAGAUACACCGGUCUACAAAUGGUCCGAGUUCUUUUACCCGUAAUUCAUACAAGUCAAGUGUGAACUUGUCUAACCUUAUCAUCUCCCUGCGGCGGGUGCGCAGAGUUCCCUCUACAUAAUUUAAUGCCCUGCUUAACUUCUCAUCUCCAAGUUGAGCUUCAAUUUUGUUGUUGCAAGAAACCGAAGGAACUUGAUUAAAGAAAGUUUUACCAAAUUCCAAAAUUGGGAAUGUACGCCAGGCUCGUUCCCAUGCUUGCGACAAAACAGUUGUUUGAACUACUUGUUUAAAUGAGAGGAAUGACAAAAUACAAUGCAGUAUUGGUUCCGGCAAAUUAGAUAUCCUGUCCAUGCUGCUAAGCACCUCCUCCAUAAUAACAAUAUCAUCACCAGAUUCCCUGAAUCAGUAGCAACAUCUUCCUUCUAAGUAUGCUAAUUAAAUUGAGACAACUGAGUACUAAUAAUAAUAAGAAUAUUGGCUGGAUUCUAUCAAUUUAAUUCAAUGUAAUAAAGAAAAUAAAUAAUCCUAACAAAAACUCUUUUGAAUUGAACAUGUUUAAUUUCUUUUUUGUACGAGAAGAGACACUGAAACUUUCACUUUCACCGGAAAAAGAAAAAUCAGCCUAAAACAGAACUGAAUUAUUUAUAAAAGAAAAGAAAGGAAAAGAAAAGAAAAAGAGACACGUUAACACAGAACCAAUAUGGAUGAGGAUGAUAAAAUACCUAUUCAUCCGAUCGAUCAAUCGUGACAGUCCAACAGCGACAGCGACGGCAACCGAAACAGCAGAACUGUCAAGAAAGGAUUGAUCUGCUUUAACUAUGUUUUGUAUAGGCUUAAUUUUGAGGAUUCCGAAUCCAAAACAGACAAAGUCACAACAGCAAAAUUAUGUAGGCUCAGUCUGCCCCGUGUAUAUAUAUUUUGAAAAUUCCAAAUCCAAAUCGGACACGUCCUUCUGCUUCUCCUAACGCGAAUCGGACAUGCGGCUAGUCGCUACGCAACAGUAAUUAAGCUUUUUGGAGAUAAGAGUGGUUUCGUUUCCAUCCAUUUUAUGUACUUCCAUCUGUUAGUUGAAGAACUAGUUUGUUACAAAGUACGCAAAUCUAACCCUGACAACUUCGGAUGACGCAAUCUUUUGUCAUCAAAUAGGCUUUUGAGUCUUGACUCUUGACACCCCCUUCAAAAUUCCGAACUGCUUAAAUAAUCGAAGUAAUUUAUGAAUAAUGAUAAAUAUUUUAAAAAUUUUAUCCCAAAGAAAUUCAAGUAAAUAUUUAAAUAUUAUUAUUCCUUGAAAAAAAAUUUAACACUAUCUUAUUUCAUAAUUUGUAUUAUUCUUUAAAUUUUAAUUAAAGAUAUGUUCUUGAGAAGAGUACAAAAAUUUAAAGUAAUGGAGAUAAAAAUUAUAUAUUAAGAAAAAAUAAUUUAAGAUUUUUAUAUUUUAUAAAUAAAAAUUUUAGCAUAUAAUUUUGUAUUACAUAAGUUAAUUUUAAUAUAUACAUUUGUAUUUUAUAAAUGAAAUAAAUAAAAUUUAGGAGAGAUGUUAUAAAAAUUUUAAGGGUGAGGCUAUCAUAAGUGUUGACAUUUAAUUUCGGACAGUUUGACUCAAUAAAAUAUUCAAUUACCCCAAUUUCUCGUGACUCCCAUCAAACAAAGAUUUAAAUUUAUAGUUUUCCCUUUAGGCCACGACUACAAUGGUUCAGGUGCAUUAAUAGAUCAGGUGAAUAAAAAAUUAUAAAAAAAUUUUACACCGUUCGAUGCAAAUUCAAAGUAAAUCAAUGGUUAGAUAAUUGAAAAAGAAGAAGCGGACAACGGGAGAGAAGUUAAGCGUGGGCCCUAUCUAACAAGGGUCGUCAGAUUGUUUUACCAAUUACCACCUUUAUCUCUGUUUGUGACGGCACCAUUGUAGCAAACCGUGGCAGAACAGUAACACUAGUGAUGUUAAUUUAUUAUUGUUUUAUAAAAUAUAAAUUUAAUUAGCUUUUAAUAUUAAUGAGUUUAGGAAAUACAAAUAAUUAAAAUUUUAUAGUGUAAAACAAAUUAAUAAUCACGUUACUAACUUAUUAAUAUCUUGUAUGAUUUGCGAAUUUGAAAAAAAAAAAUCCACAAAUAUCGAUAGUUAUCCAUAUCCAUAUUAAGCAGCUAAAAUUGGAUAUGGAUGAAUGUGGAUAUUAUGGAUAAUUCUAAAUAUUUACCAUCUUUAACUCAAAAUAGAAUUAUAAUUACAAUUCCAAUCACAAAUUCAUCCCAAUUACAAUUAUUAUUAUGAUUUCAAUUUCAAUUACAAUUGCAAUUCCAAUUACAAUUAUAAGUUUAAUUUCAAUUCCAACUACAAUUACAAUUCCCAUUACCAUUACAAUUUCAAUUCAAUCAUAAUUAUAACCAUUGACUAAUUAGAUUGAUGUACAUAAACUAUGUUAAUAUUAUUUUAAUUUUAAUAUUAUUAUUGCGUUUGAAAUAAUAUUUGUUAUGUAUUUAUAUUAUUUCUUUAAUAAUAUUCAUAUAAAAACACUAAAAUUAACAUUUAGGUAGGUAAUCUACCAUCUUAACUCUUAGGAAAAGUUUCAUUUAUCAUCCUUUUGGAGCCAAAACUACCCACCUAGUUUUUUUACGCAAAAAUUUCAUUUCUAAUGAUGAUAGAUUGUUGUUACCAUCAUCAUCAUCAUCCGGACUCUUGUGUCGCGGCUACCAACUUAUUCAUAAUUUUCAUCUCAAUAUUAAUUAUGAAAGAUUUGGGACAUUGCAUUUUGGAACUUGCGAUAUACAAUUUUUAGGCUUUUUUUUAAAAUUUAUUUAAAAUCUGAAUAGAUCUGGCCAAAUUUCCAUUUGAGGCCAUUAAUUUUCCUUUUAAGCAUACCUCACGAUCCUUCUAAAAGAGACAUUAAAAUAAAUGUAACCAUAUUUGAAAUAAAACAUGAUGGCUAUAAUAUAGUAAUUAUGGAGAGCUUGGUUUGAAUCUAAACAACUACAUUUAUUCUUUUUAGAAUAUAUUUUAUCAAUUUUUGUAAGAUUAUCUUAUAUUACUAUAUUGAACCAAGUUUCCACUAAUCUAAAGUCAUGGGUCCUCCAUUUUAUUGUUCAUUACCUUCCCCUAAUGACUUUGAGUCUAUAAAGAGGUCUUAUAAGGGUUAUUUCCACCUAACCCCCAAAUCUUUCAACAUUUUCCACCUUGCACCCAAUCUUUUCAACAUUUUCCUCCGUUAAUUUGACCGUUAUUUUUAACGGAGCUAUUUGAAAGUUAAUGAAAUGUCUGAAAUACCCCUUAUCUUGAAUUAGAAAAGAAUUAAAUGAGAUAAAAUAUUAAUCCAAUAAUUAAUAUUUACAUUAAAAAUUCUUAAUCAAAAGUAUUUAAUAAUAAUCCCAUCAAUUAAUUUAUCAAAUAAAUUUAAUUUAUCAUUAUCAAAUAAUAUUUAGGGCAUGAACUUCCAAAGUUGCCCUUUGACCGUUAGAAUAAAUGGUCAAAUUAACGGAUUUGGGUGUGGAUUGAGCAUUGUUGAAACAUUUGGGUGCGCGGUGGAAUAUGUUGAAAUAUUUGGGGGCAUGACGGAAUUAACCCGUCUUAUAAUUCAAAACAUAUUAAUAAAUUAUUGGGUCUCUACUCUUUAGAUAGUGCUCGAUUUCUUCACCACAAAAAGAUCUCAUUUAGUUUUAGAGUAGUUGGGACCUUUGUUCGACUCCUAACACCCACAUUUAUUUAUUUAUUAAAUGCAUUUGAUCAUUUGUGCAAGAUUAUCAUGUAUUACUAAAUCGAAACAAUCCUCCCCUAAUUUAAAUCCAUAGGUUCACCAUUUAGUGAUAGAAAUAAUAAUUAAAUUAACUAAAAAUAUUUUUUUAUUUUUUAGGUUUAGAAUCCAUCCAGUAUAUACAUACACAACCAAAUGUACAUGUGUAUGUAUAUGUAUGUGUGUGUGUGUGUAACAAUACUAAGGUUCAAUAUUUCAAUGGCCAUUUAAAUUAGGAAAUGAUAUUCAUGCCAACACUAACUUAGAGAAUAAAGUUUUUAUACUACCUCUAAGGCUUCUUCAUUAACACUACUUUGAUUUAAUUUCUUCAAUAGGUUUCAUGAUAUAAUUUCGAAGCCUCUUGCAUCCAAUUCUCGCUCUACAAUCUUAUGCUCUACAUGAUUCAAUUGUUUAUCUCCGUUGAUUUCAAUUCAGUUGCCAUCCAUUGAAAAAAAGGUAUCACUUGGAAAAAAAAAAUUAAUUGGAAUUAGGAUUAUAUUAGUGUAAAGAGUCAUUUUCUUUUAUUUAAUGACUUAAUUGACUAAUUUCAAUCAGUUAAGUUGUUAAUUCAUUUGUUUUUUCAACUUGAUGAAAAUUUUCAUUCAUUAUUAAGUUAUUAAGCUAAUUUUUUUAGCUAAUAUCAUUAAAAGAUAUUUUCCAAAAUAUCCAUAUCUAAUUAAUUAAUUUUUAUCUCUACAUAAAUAAAAUUUAAUAAUUAACAUUAUUACCUAUUUCUAUAACUUGUGAUAAUAUAUUAUUAUUUUUAUCUUUUUAUUUUUUUAAUUAAAAUUAUUUAUCUUCGUAAUUUUUAUGAAUUUUUUUAUAAAAACAUCAUAAAUUAUAAUAAAAUUAAUUAACAUAUACUAAUUUAUAAUAUUAAAGGGUUGUAUUCUACUGAAUAUAAUUUAGAUUAUAAUAAUAUAUAAUCUUAUUUAUGUUUUAACAUUUAUAAUUUAUAAAGACACAAAUAUAAAAAUACGAGUUUCAAAUUUUUUAAUUUAAAAAAUAAAUAAUUUAGUAAUUUUUGAUAAUUUUUUGCAGUUUGGUGGAGGGAAAUAUUCGAAUCUGUCCAAAACUAACCGUUUUGCUUUUUAUUUAUUUAUUUAUUGUUGCAUAACUUAUUCAUUACUUCCAAUUAAUUAAAACAAUUACAAUUCAUUUUCUUAAACACAUAAAAUAACAUAAAUUUUGGUCAAAAUCAUUCAAAAUUAAAAUUUAAUUUCUUUCACAAAAUAAUUUUAUCCUAAUUGAAUUAAUUAAAUAUUUUAUUUUAUUGGGAACAUUUCUUACAAAAUUUGUACCUCAGUGUUCACCGCUUGAGACAAUAAAAGCACAAUUACAGUACUUGUGACAUGCACAACAUAUUAUCUGUGACAUUAUUGAGCAACAGUUGUGAUAAUAAGAGAGUAACUAGAGAACUAGUGACAUGGUGUACGGAACUUGGAACACAAACACAAAAACAAGGGCAGUUGUAAAUUCAACCGGAAUAACCGGUUACUUUGCAAUGCUUAUUGCACACAUGUCAGAAUUUAAUUGACUUUAUGUCAUGCCAUAAUGAACCAUGCAUACACAGGGUGCAGAGUAGGAAGACCCCUUUUCCUUUAAACUCCCAUUUUAAUUGCUAAAAAUAUCCUCUUUAUAUCUAUUUUCUUCAUCAAUCUCAAUGAACACAAGAGUUUUGCAUGAUUAUAUCCUUCGCAAAAUAAUUGCUUACCCGUAAACUUAAUAAAUGAUCCUUAAAAGAUUAUUACUUUGGUAAUUAAUAUAAAUUUAUUCAUUAGAAAGUCUUGUACUGUAGAAAGUUCCCCAAUUUUGACUUGGUAUUAUGCAAAUAGACUUUUUGAGUUUCGUGCAAAAAUUAAUUCAAUACCACCCUUUUGCAAUCAAAAUUUGUUAAUUUGGUACAAGUUUUUUAGUAGAUUCUUGCACUCCUCCAAAAUUAUCUUAAAAUCUCUCUUUUAAUUAUACUUACCUUCAUUUUAAUAAUAUUCUUUUUUUUUCAAUAAAUAAACACUCUUUUCAUUUUAAAUUGUUUAAAUUCUUUACAAACUCAAAACACUAGCUUUUCCAAAAUAUAAUUAAUCAAUAUGAAUAAAUAAGAAAAAAAAAGAAGAAAAGAUUGGAUUUUUUUUUUUUCAGCAUGACAUAAAUUCCAAUAACAAACUCAUGUUGGCGAUUUUGAUUGGCAAAGGCGAACGACGUGCCACAGUCAAGUCAAUGUUUGCUAUUGCAAGAUCAUAUGGCUAAAUUGUUUUGGGUAAGCUACCCUUUUAUGCCCCAUCUUUCUUCUUCAGUAUCAAAUGGAUUAAAAAAAAAAAAGGAGCUGCUUAGGGAAGUAAAAAUUGAAUUUGUGCAUGGUAUAAUUAGUACUCUUUACUUUUAAGGUCGUUGGCUACUGGCCAACCUUAAAACUCUACGGUAACAAUUCACCAUCAAGUUUAUUAGCUACAAACAAUUAAACAAAAAAUGUCAUUUGAGUAGAAAAGAAUCCAGAGUGGCUAGAUAAAGUAACUAAAAGAAGAUACGAUAGGGGUUUUAAAAAAUAAAAUAUGGGUUUUAUACAAAUUGAGAUAAUCCUAUUAAUAUUUGGAAGAAACCUGUGGUGCAACUGUGGUACCGUGCCACAAUUACAUCCAGCCGUUGGAUGCCAAUGGACCCCACCAAUCCAAGUGCAUCCAACGGCUGGAUGCAACUAUGGCACGGUACCACAGUUGCACCGUAGCCUGAUCCUAGUAUUUGUUCUUAAAUAUCAUUCUAAUACAGCAGUGGGCUAAUGAGAUUAAUAGGGGGACGCAGUGCUCCUAACACUGAUCUAUUAAGGAUUUUAAAUUAGCGGCAACGUGGGCCGAAUUUAAUUUGAUCAAUUAAAAUAAGCGGGUGUUCAAAUUCGGCCCACGUUGCCACUCCUUUAAUAUCUAGAGUUGCAGAGAAGGAUUUAAAUUAGUGGCGACGUGGGCCGAAUUUAAUUUGAUCAAUUAAAAGGGGGUGGGCAAAUUCGGCCCACGUUGCCACUCCUCCAAUAUCUAGAGUUGCGGAGAAACAAUUUAACUUCAGUAUAUUCAUUAACAAGAUAAAAACAAAUAACGACCAUAUAAGUAACAACGAGAGAUUUAUUGAUGACAGAUGUUUUACAAUGGCUUUAACAGAUAAACAAAAUAAUAUGACUUGAAACAUUUUCCCAGUGGUAUUUUUUUUUUUUAAACAUUCAUGUGAAAUAAUAUUUACUGGCAGAUUUUUUAUGUAAGCAUGAAGACAAUGACAGCGCAAGUCUACUUUUGUUUUGUGAAAUGAUUAAGUACAGUCACUCAUUUAUUCAAGAAAAGAUUAUUGAAAUCUAUUUUUGAUAAUUAUGUAUGGAUGAAAUAUAUUUGGGUUACUAUAAUUAAAGGCAUUACAGUCUAAAAACAAUCCUCUAAUCUCCAUGAUUAUUUUUAGAAUAAGAUGGUCACUUUAAUCAAAGGUCAUAAUUAAUCUACCAACAAUAAAAACAGUACAAUAUCAAUGCCAACGGCCCAAAUUCGGUGACCGACCGACCACGUUUUGGACACCAAUUACAUGAACAAAAAGGUAAAAAUUUGAGAUUUAUGUUGGACGCCAAUUAUGGUUCUUGUGGAGGACGCUGUAAAUGGUUUUGCAUGUUAUGGAUUGUAUGAAGAGUUUAAUCAUUAGCUUCAUCCUGCUUAGGUUCAGUAUGUUUCUAUUGAUUCCUUUGUCUGUUUCCUUUGAGAUGGAGAAGGUGAUAAUGGAUUUGUAAUUAGAUGAGUUAUUGCAUUGUUGUUGUAUUAUUAUUUCCAUCCUUGGACUUCUGUUUAGUCUAUGCGUACCAAAAUAUGUUAUUAGAAAGGAAAUGUUGACUGUGCAUCUGCAGAUUGAAGUUUUGUUAUAUUAGUUUAUGUCGUGGCUUGGUCAUUAUUAGCAGCCAAUGUCUUUCUUUUGGAUGAAGAGGUACGUCUCUACAAAAAGAGUAGUGCAUAGAUUGCUGAUCCAUUGGACAGAUCUGACCUGUAAGCAUAUUUGCUGCAUGCUUGGGUACAAACGUCAUCUUUGUGUACGUAGAUUGUAUUGCGGCGGUAUUGUAAUGCAUGAUGCGGUCCUUCAUUUUCGUUGUACUUAUGGUUGCUUUCUUAAUGCCUUAAUGAAUAAUGUUGUUUUUUUAUCCUAUUUUAUCAUGUUUGUUUGUUAUCUAUUUCCCUAAGUCGCAUGUAUAUAUGCUAUUGGCCAAAAGAUAAUCAAAAUAUAGGCUUUGAGAAAACUAUUUAGUCAUUUACAUUUCAUUAUUUUAAUUGGAAGAGCAAAAUAAUUCUUCGAAAGAGUUUGGUUGCUGAGGUAUGCAUUAGGUUGUAUGUGGAACAAUGUGUUUUAUGGAAAGAAUAUAGAAAAUGCCUUUAUAGUAUGUUGCAUUGUCAUACUUAAUCCGUUUAAUUGCUUUUCCUUGUCCAUUGAGAUAUCUGUGAACCUCUAUCACCAUAAAAUCAAAUUGAAUGGUGGAAUGACAUUGCUUUUUGUUGGUAGGCACUAUUUUAGAUUUAUAACUGUGGAUUUUCAUAGGCUGUCAAUGUGAAAGGUCUAUCUGUAGACAAAUUCCUUGCACAGCAGAAGGGCAACUGGGGCUCCAUUGUUUAAGGAGAUCAAAGUAGGAGCCAGGUUAUUGUCAUGCUUCGUAAUGAAUUUAAUCAUCCCCAGUUGACGAAUAAUGUUGCUGAUAGCGUCCUGUUGUGUAGGAAUUACCUGGUAUUUCGUGGCGGUUGAAUGAAGUUAGAACUGUGGCAUAUGGGAAUUUUUUAUAAGAAGCUGAUCAUAAUCUAUCAUAUGGGCAACAAAUAGGAAAACAGUUAAUUUUGUGUAAAUUAGCAUUGUACUAUUGUAAUGCAUUUGUGUUACUCCAUAAAAUUUCAACUAGUUUGCUUGUAAUGAACAUUUCAGUGUAUAAUGACGUUGUAAGGGGUAGGCGCGAAGAUUUGUGAAAAUUUGAACGGAGUUGAUUAUGAGCAAGUACAUGUGCUGGAGAUUUUUUGUUGAAAUUUAUUAUGGCUCCCAUGUAUCCGGUGGCCUUAGUAAUUUGCAUAGGUAAUUGACAGACAAUGAUUUAUUGGGUUGCAUUAUCGGUUUCUAUGUAAGGGAUAAGUCGGUGAUUGACAUCGAUUUGAGUUCUUGAGAAGUUGGAAUUCACUGAGUUCACAUGGAAAUUAUAUGAGAGACCUCUUGCAACAUAAGCAACCUGUAAGUUACAAAAAGCUAAUAGAAUCCAUAGUUUCUUUCCCUUCCACUACUUCCUUCUGCAACGCUAGUAUCUACAACAGUUUCCUUAGUAAUCUCUAUAUAGCAUGCUUUCAGAUAUAACAUGCUUUCCGCUUUUCACUCUGACCUACCUUCAUUCUUGGACAAAGUUACACAUUAUCUUUUUAGUCUGAACCUCACUUUCGAUUUUCUGCUCCGUCUAAUCUCAAAGCACACGAACUACAUUCAUUACAAAAAACAAUUUUCAUAUUUGACGAUUUUUUUCAAAUAACUCAUAGCCACUCCUAUACUUAUAGCUACAGUUAUAUUGCCACUUCAUACAAACUUACCUGAAAUUUCCAACAGGUUCUGUUGUUCAACUCACCAACGCGGAUAAUUCAUAACCAAAAUGGCCAACUCUACAGUUAUUUUCAAUUUUUUCGCUGCCUCAAAUUGCACGAACAUUUGUUAAAACCCUAAAGUACCAUGUAACCUGUCUUAACCGGUUGCCAAUUUAAAACAUAAUUAAAGAUAUCAAACUGGAGCCAUUAGAUCAUGUGCCCAUAUAUCCUACGGCUAUUGCAAAUGAUGACAAAAUAAGGGGUAUCUUCCCCCAACUGGAAGGCAGCCGAGUCCAUCCAAAUUAUAUUCUAUGCUAAGUUUUCUAAUUUGAUUUUUUAUUUUAAGACUCUUUCAUUGAACAUAACAUAGAUCAGAAAAAAGAAAAAGAAAAAAAAGUCUUUUAUUUAUGCUGAUAUGCCAUUCUAAUUUCAAGUGUCACUGUUUACCAACUGAGUUUCAUCAGCUUCCACUCCAGAUUCUUGAUAUGCCAUUCUAAUUUCAGGUGUCAUUAUUUACCAAUUGAGUUUCACCAGCUUCCACUCCAGAUUAUUCACCGACACACCAACUUCAUCUAAAGAAAAACCCCCAGUUGAGAGACUGGUAUUAGGGUAUUCAAUCCCAUUGGCCUGUUGGGGGGGGGGGGGGGGAAGCACUAGUUAAACAAUUCAAUUUACAUGGUAUGGUAAAUGAAGUAUUAGCAAAUGAAAACAGAGUACAGCAACAGAAACUUACACCUACGAUCUUCCAGCCCAUGUCAAACUGAUAGGCUAUUGGCUCGAAGCCACAGCACUCCACAACAGCUAGUGUUGACUCACCUCCAACAUAAGGCACGCCAAAGCAUCCAGAGGCCAGGCCUAGAGUCCCUCUCCGAGAGCAGUCAUUACACUAUUGUACAUAAAAUUGAAUCAUAUCAUAAGCAAACAACAAAAUAUGUUAUGACUAAGAAGGAUUGCACAUACAUUAAUAAGACACAAGCAGCCAUCAACAAUAACCAGAACCAAAAGCAUAGGCAGGAAUUGCUAUUAGAUACUUGAAAUUGGUACCUUAAUUGCAGCCUAAAUUGGUGACAAAUUAGCUAGGUCAAUUUCACAUUUGAAUUGAAGGAUGCAUAAUUGACUCCCAAGACCUGGGUUAAUUUGUACCAACCAAUAUGUUCGGAAAAUGCUUGCUUGUGUGAUAUGCAUGAAUGUGUCAAUUUCUUUAAGAAUGGAAUUCUUGUCAAUGACAAUUCAAUGCUCUAAUAAUAAUGCUCGUAGAAGAUCUCAAUUACUUGUUUUAAAGCAUCAGCUAUUGGUGCUGCUGCCAAUUGUGUUUCCAUAAACCAGUCAUUAGAGAACUAUUAAUGCAUCUAAAUCAAUCAAACAGUGGCUGAUGUGCAUGCCGCGAACAAACAUGAUUAGGUAUAGAUUGCUACAACUAAUAGUUUUUGUUCUCGGGGCUUAGUUUUUCGUAGUAGCAUUUAAGAAAGAUUAAGUAUUACGUGAAUGGAAUUCGAAUUGACUAGCAGUGGUACUGCCCAGAUCUGAAGUGCAUUUCAACAACGAGUUUCUAUGAUAACAGACACCAGAUCUGAAGUGUGUACACAAAACUCGUAAAAAUAACAUCCGAAAGAAAUAUAUCUAUUAUACCUGAAGUGAAACCUUGGAUCCAACGAAAAGAGGGAUCCAUUUGCUGUGCUCCAAACGGCAGCCCUCUGCGGUGCACUUGAACUGAAAAAAAAAUUUAAAAAAAAUUAAAAAAAAAAAAAGAAAUCCCUAAGGAAGAUAGUAAACUUAUUACCUUCAGCCAGUACGGGAAUUCCGUAUCCUCAAAACCUGGUUCCAUUCUCGCAACUUUUUCAAGUUGAGCGGAAAUUUUCAGAGAAAAGCGCUCGACUCCCAUGGCUUUCGCGGUGACUGGAUGGAGAAUUGGAGAAGAAAAUGUCAUUUGAAUCUUUGAGUUUUAUAGGGCUGGGCCUUACUCGGUUCGAGUCGGUUCUGGAAACCAAUCGGUUCUUUAAAACUGAAACCAAACACGAACCGAAUCAAAUUAAUUCGGUUCGGUUCAGAUCGGUUCAAUUUUUCCCCUUUCUAAUUACUCAAAAUUUUCAGCCUAAAUUUAAUUCUUUUUACAUCCUAAUUUAAAUAUAACCACACAAAACUUUAUAUAAAAUUUUCAUGUAAUUACAAUUAAUCAAUAUUUUUUAAAACGAAUUUUAAAAUUUAGAUGAAUCAUCUUCAAUUUCAUGAUAGACAGGAGACUCAUUCUCAUCUUGAAUUUUGUCUUAUUUUAAAAUUUGAACUCUUGCUUGAAGACUUAGAUAUCUGAUAAAAUGGAGAAAAUUAUGAAAUAAGUUGCUUUUACAAAAUUUACUAAACACUAUUUUUAUUGAAAAUUAUGAAAUAAGCAGCUUAUUAAAUUUCAACCGUAAUACCAAACGGAUCCUAAUUUAAAUUUAGAAAAAUAAUUGCUAAUCCCCAAACAAAAAUUCGAGUCAGUAACCUCUCAACAAUUGACUGCAAGCUUCAUAAAAUUCCAGUCUCUGCCCAUUGAGUGUAGCAGAUAUUGUUAGUAUAGCCGAUGUUGUAGAAUUGAUGUUAAUGUCACAUUUCGUCUGGCUUGUUUCAGCCUUAGCAAUUAAUGUUGAAGGUGUUUGCUGUUGAAUGAAAUUGAAUGAAAAUUUACAAAUAUGAGAUAGCUUCAAUUUUUUUUUUUCAAUUCAGUUAGCUUGUUGCCUUGUUAAAGCUCUGGCCACUGAGAAAGUUAUACAAAUGAGAUUGAAAAAAGGGGAUCUCAAAUCAUAUAAUCAUCAAAUUAAAGGAAUGAAAAUGACUAACAAUAUAAUUCAAAAAGGUAUAUAUAGAUUUGCCAUCCAAUUGACGCUUGCUAUAUCAUCGUUCCUCGCAUAUUAGCCAUAAUUUUGAAAUAUUUAGGAUAAAUAUCAAAUUAUUCCACUCAUGAAUUAACUAUCUUCAAAUUAUCCCCUUAUUUUUUAAAACCUAAAUUUACUCCUCAAAUCUUAUUAUUUCUCCAUUAAUUUUAAUUGUUAAAAGGGUAAAUUAGUAUCUGUAAAAUUUGAAACAUUCAGUAAUCGAAAGAAAUCAAGCCUUUCUAUUUCUUCACUCUUUUAUAUUUAUUAUUAGAUAAAAUGACUAAUACCCCUGGCUUGUAUUUUGGAGAACAAAGAUACUUUAACAUAAAUUAAAUUAAUUUUAAUUUAAUUUCAAAAAAUUAAAAUUCUCAAAAUUCAUUUGUUAAUGUUCAUUCAUCUUCAUCUAGUAAAACUCACUUGCUUACUAUUCAUUCGUUCAUUCAUUCUCAUCUAAUAAAACUCACUCUCUUCUGUAAAUAAAUGCAGUACAAUUGCAACAUUCUCUCUCCCAAAAUUUUUGUUGAUAGAUAAUUUUAAAUAAACUAUUCGUAAAUAAAAACUAAAGUAAAACUAAAAUCCAAUUAAAAUCUGAGCAAGUUUUGCAAUAACUCAAUUAGUUUUGAAGUCAAAAUUCCAUAUUUGAAAAUAGUCAGAAUAGUUAUCGAUUAUAGUUGCAUAUCAUGGUCAAGAAAAUUCUAAGAACUCAAAGGCCAUGCAUCCAUGGCAGCGCGGCCAUGGAUACCAAACCCAUGGCUGCUUGAUAUCGUUAAUUAACAAAAAAAAAAUUGUUAAAAAAGAGAUAUUUUUGUACUUUAACAGGUCAACGACAGUGAAUCGUUAUAGUUAACUAUUUUUAGGAUAAUUUGAAAUUUUCAAAAGUAGAGAGAUAAUACAAAGAUAAUCAAUUCACAGGUGGAGUAAUCUGAAACUCACCUAAUCAUGUAUAUUGAAUAGAUGUAUGGUUGAAUUUUAUAUAACUUUUUGCAUUUUAUUUCUUCUGUUUUAAAUAUAUAUAUAUAUAUGAGAAAUUUAAUUAUAACCUAGAUUACUUACAUGAUUAGCGCAUAACUAUUUGCAAACUACCUACGUUAUGCCCAAAAUUUUGCAAUAUUAAUUUUGAUGAGUGAUUAAGACAGAAAAUUGUCUGCAAUAGGUAUAUAUCAAAUAGAAAUAGACUACUCCAUUGAAAAUAGCUUUUGAAUUAUCUUGAAAUUGAAAGGCCAUUCAUAGAUUUAGUGCUCUUUUACUUUUGUUGUAUUCAGCAUUUGCCUGUUUCUCUCAUGAAUGAUCCACAAGAUUAAGAAACACUCCUGAAAAUGCUUUCCUUAAAGUGAUCUUAACUCAAUGAAUAUGGCAAUAUGAAAAGAUGCAAUUGAAUUUGCAGUUAACAAAAAGCAUAGUAGGAUUCACUUAAUAGCCUAAAAUGGUAAGAAUUAACAGCCACAGUGAUUUAUUUCUUCCAAAGCUUAUGACAGAUAUCCUUCCAAAUCUUGAUUGCAAAUCACAAUGGCCUAAUUAGUCUAUUGCAAAUCAUGAACAGGUCCACUUUAAGAAAAGGGUGUUUGAUAUUCUGAACCUAAUCUUCCAAACAAACAAAUAAUAAUGUCGAGCAAAGGUACCUAGCUGCAAUUGUGUUCUUGUACAAUGCACAAUUAUCCAUUUUGCUGAUUCUGGAUUUGUUUGUUUCAAUCUCAUAUUAUUCAACAUUUUGUGAUGGUUCACUAUUUUAAGUAAACUUGACUAUCACAUUGUUUCACUUUCUGUUACUUUUGUAGUUUGUCAUGUCGUGUGAAUACUAUUAGCUAGUUAAAGGCCCUGCCAUAGCGAGAUGCACGAAUUGAAAUUAUGGCUCUGCAUAUGUGCUGUGAAAGCUACACGAGAUUACCAACAAAUGCGUACAUCAGCUAGCAGGGGCUGUUAUAUCCUAACUAAGAUUUAAGAUUUGGGAAUGCAGCUGCAUUAAAUAUUUGUUGAGAGAGUUUUGUCGCCUUAGUAGUCCUACCCAGCUCGAAUAUAGAUUAGGCGGGCACAAUAUAAUCUUCGGAUACCAGAUGGUUUAAUACACCAAAAAAAAAAAAAAACUACACAAGAUUUGUUGGGUUGAGUGCCACAGCCUUGUGAACUAAAUUACGGAAACUAGUGUAAAAAAUUAUUGCUUCUGCUCUUUGUUUAAACAAAUUUACCACUGGUAAUUGAUAUGUUGUUGGUAUUAAUGCGAGUCUUUUCUAUUAUUUAAGUUUUUGGAUAAGUCCUCUUGACGCAGCUCAAUUGGCAGUAAAUAUGCUUUGUUUAAUGUAUCCACGAUAACCUUGAAUUCAAGUAAUAAUAUAAAGCUCAGUGGCUGGUGUUUAGUGGGCGCUUUUUUUUAAAAAAAUUUAAUGACUUAAUUCCAAUCAACUAAGUUAUUAAGUUUUUUUUUUCAAUUUAAUGAAAAUUUUUAAUCAUUAAUCAUUAAGUUAUUAAGCUAUUUUUUUUUAUCUUUUCGUUUAAUCUAAAAAAUCUAAAUGAUAUCAUUAAAAAAUAUUCUCCAAAAUAUUCUUAUCUAAUUAAUUAAUUUUCAUCCUUACCUAAAUAAAAUUUACUAAUUAGUAUUAUUAUUUGUUAUCAGGAGAAAACAAGAAAGCACGUACGUGAGUUGCAUGACAUAAGCAAGAUGCUAUGAAGAUAUGAGAAUAAGAAGCAUGAUGUAAGUAAAAUAUCACGAAGAUAUGUGAGCAAGAAAGCAUGCAUGUGAGAAGCAUAAUAUAAGCAAGCUGUCAUAACAAUAUGAGAGCAAGAAGUGUGACAUAAGUAAGAUGUUAUGAUGUAGGAAGUUAUUUUAGGUAUUUUAAAAUUCUAGAAUUUUAAUAUUUUAUGACUUUCUAUUUUUAUCAGGAUCAACUAAGGUAUGAUAUUUAAUUAACUUAGGAAACUAUCUUUUGUUUCCAUUAUAAUUGUGAUUUAGUUCCUCUUUUUAAGUUAACUUAGGGAAGUGAGUUUACUCUAUUAUAGAAAAGUCUUAUUAUUAUUUUCAGCACUUCAAAUUCAAUUAUUCAGUAAAACUCUCUUUUUAUAAUUUCUUUUGGAAUUAUCUAUCAAAAUCUCUCUUGUAGAGUCGUUUGGAUUAGAGCAUCAUCUAAUCUCGCAUUACGUGUUAUUAAAAAUCUCAUUGAUUCAUUUGGAUUAGAACGAGAUCUAAUCACGCUUCGAUUAGAGCGUGACCUAAUUGCGUUGGCUUGGUCCAAUACUACAAUGAUAUCUAGCAUUUCUAUCCAAUCAAUUCCGCUUCCACUACACUCGCUCCAUUAUGUUAUGAAGAUGUGAGAGCAAGAAGCAUGCAUGUGAGCUACGUGACAUAAAUAAGAUGUCAUGAAUAUAUGUGAACUGAAAGCAUGAGGACAUUACGUAAGCAUGAGGUCAUGAAGCCAAAGUCAUCGCAGUUGCAAAGGAAGAAUCCAGAACCCGCUAUUUAAACCCAAAAGAAAAAUUUAGAAGUUUCAGAAAACCAAUUUAACGAGAAAUAAAUAUAGAUUUCGGAUAAAACUCUAAUUAACUUGUAAAAGUUGAUUAGAACAAGAAGUUAUCAAUGACUUAGGGCACCUAAAAUUAUAUUAUAAAUAAAGAGUUUUUCAUGCAUAUAAGACAGAGGCAAGAGUUAAGUCAGAAAAAAAAAGGAAAAACUUUUUUGUAUUUUUCAUUAAGGGCUAGUUUGGGAAUGUUGUACCUUUUAAAAUAAUUAAUUUUAACUGUGCUGUAGAAAUAAUCAGCUGUGAAGAGAAUCAGUUAAGUGUUUGGUAAAUUUUGUUUUUAUAAGUACUGUGAGUCUUGAAAGUAAUUAUGAAUGUUGAGUUACUUUUACUGUUAAACUGCUGAGAAAAAUAAAUGACUAAAACAUACACGAUGCAUGAUAAAAUUUACUUAUACAUAUAAAAACAUGUACAUAUAAUAUUUUUAAUUGUGUAUUAUAAUAAUUUUUAUUAAAAAUAGAAUUUAUAAUAUAUUGAUUUUAUUUUUUAUUUUUAUCUUAAAAUACUCGAUAAUUAAAUUUAUAAUAUAGUAAAACAAAUUUAAUAAUAAUUCAACCAACAAAUUGAAAUUAAUAAAUUUAUAUUGAUAAAUUAUAAUAAAAUUUUAUUCAAAUAUUGAUUUUGUUUCUAAUUUGAAUAAAGAUAAAAAAUUAUUUUGGGUUUAAGUAAUAAUUUUAAGGAUAUUUAUGGAAUUAAAUCAAGGGAUAAAAUUAAUUCUCAAAAUUAGAAUCUAAAAGCUAAUUCUUCCUUACUUUUCAAAAUUAGUUGUAGGAUGGGUUAAUUUUGAUUUGAUUAAAGUAAUUUUGAUUUUUUUUUAUCAAACACUAAAAUUAGUUUUUAAAUUUUCAAAAUCACUUUUAAGCUUUCUAAAAUUAAUCCUAAACAGACCCUAAAUGGUGAAAGUUGCUCUUUUUAUUCCCAUGAACAUAGGCUAAGCACUGAACUAUGUAAAUUCUCUAUGUUUUAUUUUUUUAUAUCGUCUUGUUUGUGUAAUUUUUCAAUUGACCAAAAAUCAGCGCUGACAUUGUCUAUCUCUAUAACCUGUGAUAAUAUAGUGGUAAAACUAGUAUUAAGUUAAUUUCAAUCAACUAAAGUUAUUAAGUCCUCCUUUUUUCAACUUAAUGAAAAUUUGUAGUUAUUAAUCAUUAAGUUAUUAAGAAAACUUUCUUAAAUUUUUGUUUAAUCUAAAAAGUCUAAAUGAUGUCAUUAAAAGAUAUUUUCUAAAACAUGUGUAACUAAUUAAUUUUUAUCCUUACCUAGUAUUAUUACCCAUCUUAAUAAAUUGUGAUAAUAUAGUGGUAAGACUACUAUUAUUUUCUUCAAAUUUACAUUAUUUUUCUUUAUAACUUUAUAUGAAUAUUUUUUGUCUAAAAACAUCAUAAACUAGAACAAAAUUGAUUAACAUAUAUUGUAUUCAAUUAAACAUGAAUUAUGUUAUGAUAAUAUAUUAUUUUAUUUAUAUUCUUUGAGAUAUUUAUUGUUUGUUUAACAUUUAUAAUUUACAAGGGCACACAUAUACAAAUACUAAUUUUCAUAUUUUUUAAGUUAAAAAAAUUAAUACUUAUUUCUAACGAUUCAAAUAAAAGAAACAUUAUACAUUCAAUUUUUUUUUUAAAUUCAGACUAAUUUAAAUUUUUUAAAAAUAAUUGAUAUCCCCAUCCAAAUUAUAUAUAUAUAUAUAUAUAUAUAUAGAGUCUGUCACCUCUCAACAAAACCAAUCAUGCUCACACGGCACAUGAUGGAGUUGUAAAAUUGUAGCUCUCUUCUCAUCAUACGUUUAAACACUGUCAAUUUUAAUUCAUUCGUACUCCUCUUUUGUUUUCAAAUGAAUGUAUAUCUUGCAAAGAGCUGUAUAUAGCAUCUCUAAUUAUGAAUAACCCCAUGCAAGCUAGCUCACAACAGAAAAUUAGAAACUUAUUAUACAAAUUACUCAUAUAAUUAACAAAAAGAAAAAUGUACUUAUUUACAGGACACUACAACAAAAUCAGUUUUUAUUCCGGAUGUCGUAAUUAAGUCCUAAUUAAAAUUUGAAACAAAAUCUUCGUUCAUAAGUAUAUAUAUAUAUAUAUAUAUAUAUGGUUGGCUUUUAGCAGUUAUUUAUGUCAAGAUCGCUUUAGAUCAAAAUUUUAACAAAAUAUAAGCGUUUGAAUGAGACAACUUUUACACCAUAAGAAAUAAGUCUAAAUAACAUAUGCCAGCAACACAAACUAAUUUACACCAUCCUUGUUGUCCCAAAUACGUUCCUUUCUACUUUAAAAGAUGCUAAUGCUAAAUCUGCAACUUUGCAAGAUUCAUUUUCAUAACAGCAUGAACCAAGAAGUUUAAUAAGACUCCAAAACUGUACAACAAACUUGGUGAUCACAAGCUUCCUUAAUUCUUAUUAACAAACUCAUUAACGAAUGUGACUGAACAAUAAUUUUUUAGCCCUGUGAUCACGCCAACAACUUUAAACCUUAGAAUAUGCAUCUCAUCAUAGUAUCUGCACUACCUAACUUUUGAAACUUGCAUCAGAUAGCCAUCAUUAUAUUAAGCCACCAAAAAAUUUCACAUCACCUAGUUUCUACCACCACCUAUCUUUUAUAAGAAGUUCAUGUAACCAUAUAGUCACCAAAAUAAUCUGCACUACCUAAUUUUUGAAACUUGUAUCAUCAAAACACUUUUUCCAAAAAAUCGGGAGAACCUCCCAUCGGCUAAAUGAAAAACUUAAUUUGAGUUUCAUUCUGCUCUGAAGAACAAAAAGUCCAAAGAAAAACUUUAUUUGACCUUUUUGUUAUUCAAUAAAUAAAAAUGACAAACAAUGUCUUCAACUAACAAACAUAAAAGAAGCUGUCCUGGCACCGUAUUACCCGACUCCUUAUUAAUCAAUCCAAAAUAAAAAUACAAGAGCCAUAGGGGCUAGCCAGACGCAAGGCUAGAGUUCAACACUCCAUGCCAAGCUAGUGUCCAAAUCUGCAAGCCAAUCUAUCUUCUCCCAAAUGUCCUCACCGUUAAAAAUGUACCUUUUGACGUUGUUUACACAAUUAGAUGUAUACUCAACCACAACUUCCUCUAUGCACUGCCGCCAGCAUGAGAUGGGACGGGAUUUGCAGCAUUGAGCAAUCCCUCCUUCAUAUACUGCCUGCUUCUUAUAAGAAAACUCAAACUGAAACAAAAGGACAAGGCACUUAUAAGCAAAGCAGCGUUUGUUACAAGCACACAAAACAAAGGCAUAAACGUAAAAUGGACCAACUUAAGUACCAGCAUUACAUGUGUAUCAUAAUCACAUAAUUCUCACAGUAUAAACCAAGAACUAAUUCAGACCAAUGCAAAAUCUUCAGUACCUUAAAAGAGAACCAGUUCAAGUAAAAUGAUUUGAUUGUAACAGUCCUUAAAUGAGGUGAAAUCCAGAGCAAACCAUCGAUAGUGUUUUUAAUUGCGACUCGCACACGGGUUCCAGUUAUUACAAAGUCCAGGUUGUUGUAACCAUAGAAUGGGGAAGAUUGGAUUUGCCUCAAGUCUUCUGGAAUAUCCGCAUUCUGCACAAAAGAAUUUGAAUAAUAUAUAAGAAAUAAAAAAGUAUGUAAAAUAGUAAACAGCUCGAUAUUUAAAUGUAUACAUAUAGAAUGCAAGAAGUGACAUACCUCACCCUUGUAACUUUCCAAAUUCACCCCUUUGGAAACAUUAUGGAACAUUGCAAGGAGUCCAAUAUACUCAGAAUACCAGUCAAUGUCGCUGUUAUUCUUGUCGAAAUUGAGAUGAGUUUCCAACAAAGUCAUAGCACCUAUAGAGAAGGAUACCACAUCACCUUCAUAUCUGAAAAUACUUAAAUUAGGAGCCUCAAUCUUGACUUCAAUCAACCCUGCACAUUCAAAGAUCUUCAGCGUCUUAAGACUGAGACUUGAAAUCUUAAUACUCUUCAACUUGUCACAACCAACCAAAUUCAAAUUCUCGAGGAAUGGAAAGUUAGGAAUUUGGCUACAAAGCCACUCAUCCUUCAGAGAAAGCAGGCGCAGAGUUAAAAAUUUAAUAUUCUUACAGGAGGCUACAUUGAUCUCGCAUGGUAAGCUUAAUUGAAUGCUAACUGUCUUCACAUUCAGAGCUUGGAUAGAAAGCCAUAGAACUUCCAGACAGUUACGAACCUUGAAUUCAUUGAGUUUGGUAAGACCAGAUAGAUCUAGAGUAUUAAAGCCAAGGCAGUUAACCAGACUUAGAUGUUCAAUCAAAGGACAGCCAUCAACUAGGCUCUCAAGGACUAGAUCGGCAGCAUAAACGCUUGUGAGACAUAAUUUUUUCAAAGAAGAUAACUUCACACUUCUCAGAGACUGCAGCUUACAACAACUUAAGGCUAACACUUGUAUUGAUUUUGAGCAUAAAACCUCUUGAGGCAAAUUGUAGCAGCGCUUGUUACGAGCGUCAACUGAAGGCAUUCCUGGUCUAGUAUCAACAACACGUGCACUAGUAUGAAAUGGAAGUGCGAGUUUCAGCUCUUUGACAUCACUUUCUAAUGCAGAGAAGAUACACCGGUCUACAAAUGGUCCGAGUUCUUUUACCCGUAAUUCAUACAAGUCAAGUGUGAACUUGUCUAACCUUAUCAUCUCCCUGCGGCGGGUGCGCAGAGUUCCCUCUACAUAAUUUAAUGCCCUGCUUAACUUCUCAUCUCCAAGUUGAGCUUCAAUUUUGUUGUUGCAAGAAACCGAAGGAACUUGAUUAAAGAAAGUUUUACCAAAUUCCAAAAUUGGGAAUGUACGCCAGGCUCGUUCCCAUGCUUGCGACAAAACAGUUGUUUGAACUACUUGUUUAAAUGAGAGGAAUGACAAAAUACAAUGCAGUAUUGGUUCCGGCAAAUUAGAUAUCCUGUCCAUGCUGCUAAGCACCUCCUCCAUAAUAACAAUAUCAUCACCAGAUUCCCUGAAUCAGUAGCAACAUCUUCCUUCUAAGUAUGCUAAUUAAAUUGAGACAACUGAGUACUAAUAAUAAUAAGAAUAUUGGCUGGAUUCUAUCAAUUUAAUUCAAUGUAAUAAAGAAAAUAAAUAAUCCUAACAAAAACUCUUUUGAAUUGAACAUGUUUAAUUUCUUUUUUGUACGAGAAGAGACACUGAAACUUUCACUUUCACCGGAAAAAGAAAAAUCAGCCUAAAACAGAACUGAAUUAUUUAUAAAAGAAAAGAAAGGAAAAGAAAAGAAAAAGAGACACGUUAACACAGAACCAAUAUGGAUGAGGAUGAUAAAAUACCUAUUCAUCCGAUCGAUCAAUCGUGACAGUCCAACAGCGACAGCGACGGCAACCGAAACAGCAGAACUGUCAAGAAAGGAUUGAUCUGCUUUAACUAUGUUUUGUAUAGGCUUAAUUUUGAGGAUUCCGAAUCCAAAACAGACAAAGUCACAACAGCAAAAUUAUGUAGGCUCAGUCUGCCCCGUGUAUAUAUAUUUUGAAAAUUCCAAAUCCAAAUCGGACACGUCCUUCUGCUUCUCCUAACGCGAAUCGGACAUGCGGCUAGUCGCUACGCAACAGUAAUUAAGCUUUUUGGAGAUAAGAGUGGUUUCGUUUCCAUCCAUUUUAUGUACUUCCAUCUGUUAGUUGAAGAACUAGUUUGUUACAAAGUACGCAAAUCUAACACCUGACAACUUCGGAUGACGCAAUCUUUUGUCAUCAAAUAGGCUUUUGAGUCUUGACUCUUGACACCCCCUUCAAAAUUCCGAACUGCUUAAAUAAUCGAAGUAAUUUAUGAAUAAUGAUAAAUAUUUUAAAAAUUUUAUCCCAAAGAAAUUCAAGUAAAUAUUUAAAUAUUAUUAUUCCUUGAAAAAAAAUUUAACACUAUCUUAUUUCAUAAUUUGUAUUAUUCUUUAAAUUUUAAUUAAAGAUAUGUUCUUGAGAAGAGUACAAAAAUUUAAAGUAAUGGAGAUAAAAAUUAUAUAUUAAGAAAAAAUAAUUUAAGAUUUUUAUAUUUUAUAAAUAAAAAUUUUAGCAUAUAAUUUUGUAUUACAUAAGUUAAUUUUAAUAUAUACAUUUGUAUUUUAUAAAUGAAAUAAAUAAAAUUUAGGAGAGAUGUUAUAAAAAUUUUAAGGGUGAGGCUAUCAUAAGUGUUGACAUUUAAUUUCGGACAGUUUGACUCAAUAAAAUAUUCAAUUACCCCAAUUUCUCGUGACUCCCAUCAAACAAAGAUUUAAAUUUAUAGUUUUCCCUUUAGGCCACGACUACAAUGGUUCAGGUGCAUUAAUAGAUCAGGUGAAUAAAAAAUUAUAAAAAAAUUUUACACCGUUCGAUGCAAAUUCAAAGUAAAUCAAUGGUUAGAUAAUUGAAAAAGAAGAAGCGGACAACGGGAGAGAAGUUAAGCGUGGGCCCUAUCUAACAAGGGUCGUCAGAUUGUUUUACCAAUUACCACCUUUAUCUCUGUUUGUGACGGCACCACUGUAGCAAACCGUGGCAGAACAGUAACACUAGUGAUGUUAAUUUAUUAUUGUUUUAUAAAAUAUAAAUUUAAUUAGCUUUUAAUAUUAAUGAGUUUAGGAAAUACAAAUAAUUAAAAUUUUACAUAACUUGUUUUCCUAAAUAAGGUAUUCUAAAAAUUUCACAUCACCUAGUUUCUACCACCACCUAUCUUUUAUAAGAAGUUCAUGUAACCAUAUAGUCACCAAAAUAAUCUGCACUACCUAAUUUUUGAAACUUGUAUCAUCAAAACACUUUUUCCAAAAAAUCGGGAGAACCUCCCAUCGGCUAAAUGAAAAACUUAAUUUGAGUUUCAUUCUGCUCUGAAGAACAAAAAGUCCAAAGAAAAACUUUAUUUGACCUUUUUGUUAUUCAAUAAAUAAAAAUGACAAACAAUGUCUUCAACUAACAAACAUAAAAGAAGCUGUCCUGGCACCGUAUUACCCGACUCCUUAUUAAUCAAUCCAAAAUAAAAAUACAAGAGCCAUAGGGGCUAGCCAGACACAAGGCUAGAGUUCAACACUCCAUGCCAAGCUAGUGUCCAAAUCUGCAAGCCAAUCUAUCUUCUCCCAAAUGUCCUCACCGUUAAAAAUGUACCUUUUGACGUUGUUUACACCAUUAGAUGUAUACUCAGCCACAACUUGCUCUAUGCACUGCCGCCAGCAUGAUGUUAGAAAAUUGGUGGGUGAAGCAGGACCGCAGCUAAAAUGAAAUUAUAAGAAAAUAAAGAACAAGCACAAUAGAGGACACCAGAGAUUACGUGGUUCGGCUUUUAGCCUACAUCCACGGGCGAAAACAGAAGGAAAUAUUUUACUAGUGAAAAGGAGUUACAAGUAUUGUAGUAUUUUAACUCACUUCCCAAAACCCCAAUACACCCAAACUCUCAGAACACUAAUAACAAGAGCUUAUAAUUUCAAGCUCUCUAAACUCUCUCAAAAUGCUAAAUUGCUCUCUCUUAAUGGAAUGCAUAAGCUCUUCAUCUGCACUUCUAUUUAUAGCAAACUAGUGGCCAAGAAAAUCAACGAUUUUAGCCCACCAAUUAUGGCUUCAAUUUCGUCAAUCCGCAUGGCUUCCAUUUGUCAAUCUAGCUUUAUGAAUUUUCUUUGAUUUGCUGCAAGAUUCCUCUUCUUUGAAUGUUGACCAUCUAGAUGGAUGGCUGCUUUUGACAUUUCUCCCACUUGGAGAUUAGAUUGAGAAGCAAUCAAUCUCCACACCAUCCUUUCUGCUUCGCCAUAAUCAUGUUGCCUACGUUUCUGCUAGGCCACAAGAGGAUCUACUCCAGAUAAACUUAUCAGUAUUUAUCGGCUUGGUCAAAACAUCUGCUAGGUUCUCUUUGGUAUGGAUUUUCUGCAAAUCCACACUUCCAUCUUCCACUACUUCACGAACGAAGUGAUACUGGACUCCUAUGUGCUUUGUCCUGGAAUGAAAGGCUGGAUUCCUUGCAAUGUGCAAGGCACUCUGACUGUCACAAAACACAGGAAUUUUCUGUUGUUUGUACCCGAGUUCCUCCAAUAAUCUUUGUAUCCAAAUAGCUUCCUUACAAGCUUGUGUAGCUGCCAUGUAUUCUGCUUCUGUUGUAGAUAAAGCCACAACGGUCUGCAGUUUUGAAACCCAGCUUACAGCUGCUCCCACAAGUGUAAACACAUAACCAGUAGUGGAUUUUCUUUUAUCAAGAUCUCCUGCAAAAUCUGAAUCCACAUAGCCCCUGACAGUAAACUCUGAUCCUCCAUAACAUAAUGCAACAUCUGAGGUUCCUCUGAUGUAUCUCAGAAUCCUCUUCACAGCUAUCCAAUGCUCUCCACUAGGAUUCGCCAUGUAUCGACUGACUGCUCCCACUGCUUGUGCAAUGUCCGGUCUUGUGCAUAUCAUAGCGAACAUCAAACUUCAUACUGCUGAUGCAUACGGUACUCGAGACAUCUCCUUCCUCUCCGCUUCAUUGCUAGGACACAUACUUGAGGAUAAUUUGAAAUUAACAGGAAGUGUGGUAGAAAUUGACUUACAAUCUUGCAUGUUGAAGCGUCGCAAGAUUUUCUUCAAGUAAUUCUUCUGCGAAAGCCAAAUCUUCUUGUUAUUUCUGUCUCGGUGAAUUUGCAUCCCUAGAAUCUUGUUUGCUGGUCCCAAGUCCUUCAUUUCAAACUCCCUAGCCAACUGUGCCUUUAAUUCUUGGACUCGAUCUUUGUUGGGACCUGCUACCAACAUGUCAUCCACAUACAACAGCAAAAUGAUGAAAUCAUUAGCUUCAAACCUCUUGUAAUAUGCACAAUGGUCUGAAUUGAGUCUGUUGUACCCAAGGCUCAUAAUAAAGGAAUCAAAUCUCUUAUACCAACACCUCGGCGCCUGUUUGAGACCGUAUAGAGAUUUGUUCAACCUGCAAACCAAGUUCUCCUUUCCUGUUUCUGCAAAACCUUCUGGUUGGAGCAUAUAUAUUUCUUCUUCAAGUUCUCCAUGAAGAAAUGCAGUUUUCACAUCUAACUGCUCUAGAUGUAGGUCAAAUGUAGCAUACAUCGCCAAGACUAUUCUGACUGUUGUGAGUCGAACCACUGGAGAAAAUAUCUCGUUGAAGUCAAUACCUUCUUUCUGAGCAUAUCCUUUCACCACCAGUCUUGCACGAUACCGCUCCACUUGGUCAUUAUCAUCACGUUUGAUCUUGUAGACCCAUUUGUUUCCAAUGGCUUUUCUUCCACGUGGUAGUGGUACAAGUUCCCAUGUCUUGUUCUUGUGUAGAGCUUCAAUUUCUUCCUGCAUUGCUGUCAUCCACAAAGCAACAUCUAAGCUGUUUAAAGCUUCAUGGAAAGUUGAUGGCUCUCCAUCCUCCGUUAGAAGACAGUAUGCAACGUUGAUCUCUGUGACAUACUCCGAGUGCCAUGUUGGUGGUCGUCUCUCACGAGUUGACCGACGAACUUCUGGAACCUCGGACUCGACUGAUUCUUGUUUCUCGUGCUCUGGUGCUGCUUCAGAAGAAUCUAAAUCUUCUAGAUUAUUUUCCACAUAUACUGGCACGAUCUCUGACUUUUCUUUUGUAGUGCCAUCAUCCUUAUCUCUCCUUUGCAGUUGAUCUUCUACAAAAAUAACAUCUCUGCUGAUGACGAUCUUCUGGGCAGUGGGGUCCCACAGACGAUACCCCUUUACUCCAUCAGCAUACCCCAAGAAGAUACAUCUUCUAGAUUUUGCAUCCAGCUUUGUUCUUUCUUGGGCAUUGUACAUCACGUACACAGGACAUCCAAAUGCAUGUAGGUAGGAAUAAUCAGCUGGCUUUCCAGUCCACAUCUCCAUCGCCGUCUUCAACCCAAUUGCUGUAGAUGGCGACCGAUUUACUAUAUAACAGGCAGUUUUGGCUGCUUCUGCCCAGAAUGAAUUGGGUAGACCAGCAGUCUUCAACAUAGCUCUUAUUCUUUCUGUAAGAGUUCUGUUCAUCCGCUCCGCCACUCCAUUUUGUUGAGGAGUGUAUGCCACCGUGAACUGCCUCUGAAUACCUUCUUGCUUACAGAAAGCAAGAAACUCGCCGUCUAUAUAUUCUCCACCAUUAUCUGUCCUCAAGCACUUGAUCUUUUUACCAGAUUCAAGUUCCACCCGCGCUUUGUAUUCUUUAAACACAGGAAAUACAUCUGACUUUUUCUUAAUUGGAUACACCCAACAUCUUCUGGAAUAAUCAUCAAUGAAAGUCACCAUGUAUUUUGCACCUCCCAUGGAUAUAUCCGGUGAUUCCCAAACAUCAGAAUGAAUCAAGUCUAGAAUGCAUUUACUUCUAGCAAUAGAUCUACUGAAUUUUAAUCUAUGCUGCUUACUUGUAACACAAUGCUCGCAAAAUGGUAAACUUACCGAUUUGAGCCCCGGAAGUAAUUUUUGCUCAGAGAGAAUCUUCAAGCCUUGUUCUGACAUGUGGCCAAGUUUGAGAUGCCACAUCAUCGUUGACUCUUCUCCAUUUGAUGCGACACACGCAUCUGCCUCCUGUAGCGUUUCUCCUUUAAGCAUGUAUAGAUUAGCACCGAUCUUUUCUGCCUUCAUCAAUACAAGCGCACCUUUAACGAUCUUCAUAAUUCAAUUCUCCACAUGAGUUUUGUACCCAUGACUAUCCAUUUGUCCCAAAGACAAUAGAUUUUUCUUCAGGCCGUUGACAUGUCGUACCUCCCCAAUUGUGCGAAUUGUACCAUCAAACAUUUUUAUUUUGAUAGUACCAAUACCAGCGAUCUCCAAGGCAUGAUCGUUACCCAUAUAUACAGAUCCUCCUGAGAUAGGUUCAUAUGUGUGGAACCAUUCUCUUCUAGAGGUCAUGUGCCAGGUAGCUCCUGAGUCUAUAAGCCAGACAUCAGAAAGUCGUUUUCUGCCUUCUGAAAUAGUUGUUGCCUCGCUGUAAAGAAUUUCGCCAUCAUCCGAGGUACUUGCUACACACCCCUGAGCAUUUGAUGACUCAGGUUCUUUGCCCUCUCUUCUCUUCUGGUUACUCCAACACUCUUUCUUGACGUGCCAUUUCUUGCCACAGUUGUAGCAUUUAACAUUCUUCUUACUUCUGGAUUUUGAUCUACCCUGAUUUUGACUCCCACUGGGGCCACGUUCCGUUGAUCUCCCUCUCGUCACCUAUAGCGCUUCUGCUUGCUGCGAACUUGCUUGUCUGUUUUCCUUAUUUUUCCGCCUGCUCUCCUCAUUUAAUACGGAGGCUGCAACAUCGUCGAAAACUAGACUCUCCACUGGAUUGUUGUUCGUCAGGUUGAUGAUGAGUUGAUCAUAUGAAUCUGGUAGACUUUGAAGUAGAAGCUCUGCACGUUCAUUUUCCUCUAUAUUAUGACCCAACAUUGUGAGUUGUGAAAAUAGAGUCUUCAAUGUGUUGAUGUGGUCGGUCACCAUUGUAGAUUCCGCCAUUCGAAGAGUAUAGAGUUUUCUCUUCAAGAAAAUUUUGUUGUGUAGUGACUUGGCCUCAUACAAUUUUGUGAGAGUAUCCCAUAUUUCCUUCGCCGUAUUUUUCUCUGCCACACUGGAUAAUACUCCAUCCGCAAGUGCCAAGUGUAGAUCAGAAAUGGCAUUGCCGUCUACCUCGUUCCACUUGUCAUCAGUUAUCUCCAUGGGCCUUUCUCCAAUUGCUGCCAAACAAUUAUUUUUCCUCAAUACAGCUUUCAUCUUCAUUUUCCACAACGAAAAAUUAUUUCCGUUAAAUUUCUCAAUUUCAUACUUUGCCGCCAUUUUGUUGAUAAAUACUGCACACAAGUUAGUGUACCACCUUGAAUAGUUGUGAGUAUGUGUGAGAAUGCAUGAGAAUGCACACCAGGAAAGUUCCCAGGAAAGACUGGAGGGGUCACAAUGGUCUCACUUAAAACCCAGACUCCUUAAGCUCUUAUCGCCUUUGUGACAGAACUUUCCUAGACAUGUACAGAACCACACAGUUACUUUACUCACACCACUAUUCCCUGCUUUGCACCGCAAAAUUCUUAGAUGGCUUCCACCGUUUCACGUGAAUAGUACCGUAUACGUGAAUAGUGCCGUAUACGUGAAUAGUAUCGUACACCGUAUACAUGAAUAGUGUCGUACACCGUAUACGUGAAUAGUGCCGUACGCCGUAUACGUGAAUAGUCCCGUACGCCGUAUACGUGAACAAUUCCCGACUCCAAAAAAUACAACCAAUUGCUCUGAUACCACUGUUAGAAAAUUGGUGGGUGAAGCAGGACCGCAGCUAAAAUGAAAUUAUAAGAAAAUAAAGAACAAGCACAAUAGAUGACACCAGAGAUUACGUGGUUCGGCUUUUAGCCUACAUCCACGGGCGAAAACAGAAGGAAAUAUUUUACUAGUGAAAAGGAGUUACAAGUAUUGUAGUAUUUUAACUCACUUCCCAAAACCCCAAUACACCCAAACUCUCAGAACACUAAUAACAAGAGCUUAUAAUUUCAAGCUCUCUAAACUCUCUCAAAAUGCUAAAUUGCUCUCUCUUAAUGGAAUGCAUAAGCUCUUCAUCUGCACUUCUAUUUAUAGCAAACUAGUGGCCAAGAAAAUCAACGAUUUUAGCCCACCAAUUAUGGCUUCAAUUUCGUCAAUCCGCAUGGCUUCCAUUUGUCAAUCUAGCUUUAUGAAUUUUCUUUGAUUUGCUGUAAAAUUCCUCUUCUUUGAAUGUUGACCAUCUAGAUGGAUGGCUGCUUUUGACACAUGAGAUGGGACGGGAUUUGCAGCAUUGAGCAAUCCCUCCUUCAUAUACUGCCUGCUUCUUAUAAGAAAACUCAAACUAAAACAAAAGGACAAGGCAGUUAUAAGCAAAGCAGCGUUUGUUACAAGGCAGUUAUAAGCAAAUCUCUUUCUUUAUCUUCUUCGCAAACUCCACUCUACUCUCACGUCAACCUCCUCGACCAUUUUCUUUCCUAUUAUGAUACAUUAGACAAUGUAGCCACCCAUGAAAACCUAAUCAAGCUUCUCUUCUUAUCUUGGUGCAAUAGUCUUGAAAUCUCAUUCCUCUUUCUUGGCGAUCUCCACCCUUAUGUCUUCACCAACUUUGUUAGAUCAUUUUUUGAUGAAGAAAGCAAAGAAAAAGAAGAAAAAGAAGACGAUGAUGAUGAAUCUUUUGAUAAUAGGCCGUGGCAAGUGUUCAUGGCAUAGAGGAAUGUGUCCAAGAAUUUAUUGUCAUAGAUUGAGCAAAUUGAAGGUGGGUUGAGGUUGAUGGUGCCGGCGUUGAUUGGUAAAGUCAAGAAGGUGCAAAGUGAGGAUAGCAGAGGAUUUGGUAGCUUUUGAGGGAUAGAGUGAUGAGGAACUCAAAGGGGUUAUUGAGGAGGCAAUGAAAAAGGAGAUGGAUGAUAUGGUGAGUGUGUUUGUGGAUGCUAACAGGUUGAGAAAGAGUGUGAUUGCUGGAAUUGUUGGUGCCUUGAGUGUUCAUUCAAGCGGCUUUGUUUCUUGAAGGCUUAGCCCAAUUUCUUGUUGGCUUAAACGACCGAAAAGUAUUUGGCGAAUUCAAUCAAUGCAAGGUUCUGAUUAGUUGAUGGUUCUUGGGUUAAUUUCAGGUCUAUUUCAUUUGGUUGUCCUGGUAUCUUUGAUUGUUGACUAGGCAUUAUCUUCCAGGCAUGGUACUACCAAGUUCAUUAUCUUGGCGUAAUUAUUUGGAAAGGCUUGUAUGAACUUCUUCUAUGUUCUUAAAGCAGAUUUUCCUCUCAAGUUGUAGAAUCUGAUAUGUUUUAGGAUGUAUUGCAUGGAAUUGGUAUCUUAGUGAAUGAUGAAUCGAUUUCAAUUUCUGAAAUAAAUGAUACAGAGACGAAAAAACAUAGCGAAUGGUGUUGUUUUUAUGCCAAUUAAAACAAAAAAAAAAAUUCAUGAAACGGUGUCGUUUGCAUUAGUUUCGGGGUUUGACCCCGGGCAAACAUCAGCGCUGUUCUUGCUUUCCCUUUUUAAGAGUUUGAUGAAUACCAUUUACCUGUGGUAAAACUAAUUUACAUUAAUUAAAAUAAAUCCAUUAAUUUACAUUGGACUAGUCUUUAUUCUUAAUUAUCUAAAAAAAAUCAAUGAUAUCUUGUUUUGAUGCGCAAAGAAAGAGUUUAAUCCCAAAAAAAGUUACGAAUAAAAAUAAAUAAAGAUGAAAGCAUCUCACGACUUGUUGUAAGCCUUUAGAUGUACUCAAGAGUUUUAAUCUUUUCUUAUUGUGAAUUUUAAGUCUAUGAAAGUUAGACAAUAGACAAUCUACCAUAAAAAUAAUCAACCCCAAAAAGAUAUUAAUCGUUUUCUUUUUUAUAAGAUGCACGAUUAAUAUUAUCAACAAGGGAAACAUAGAAAGUUUUGUUUAGGUACCUAAAGAAAUUAAGAAAAAGAGAGAUCAUAAAUGGGGCUUCUUUAGAGGAAAGAGUGAAGUAGGGAAAAGAGGGCGUUAAUAGAAGUUGUUUGGUGUUUCAAAUUAUUUAAUAGGGUAUAUUUAGUAAAGGGGUUUUUAGAGGAUAACAAGAGAGUGUCUCACUAUUUUUUAAUUAAUAUUGUUAGUCAUUAUUACUAUGAUUAAACUAAACUCAAUUUAGGGGAUAAAUAUUAUUGUGUGACUCCAGAUUGAAAAUCACCAAAGGUUAAGAAGUCCAUUCCAAAUCAUGAACAAACCCACUUUAACAAAGGGAUGUUUGAAAUUUAAAUCAAAUCUUCCCAAAAAAUUAUAAUCUCGAGCAAAAACACCUUGCUAGCUGCAUUUGCAAUUCUUGCACGUACACAAUGUUUCAGAAUCCAAUGAUCCUACGUGCUGGUUCUUCAUUUGCUUCAAUCCUUUUUUAAUUAUCCAACAUUUUUCUUUCCGUACAAAUAUUAAAAUUUAAUAAUAUUCAAUUCAUUUUUCAGUUAACUUUAUUACCACGCGCAUCUUCUUUUUUGUUACUUUUGUUGUUUUGUUUGUGUCUUGUGAUCAACAUUCAAUAUAAUUGGUCAAGGCCUGUUGUCAUCAUAGCUUGGUAGGUGCAUGAAUUUAAUCUGGCUCUGAAUAGGAGAUAGCUCUGACCCCCUCGUACGUUGUGAAAGCUACCUGAGAUUUAUUGGAGUUAUGCAUGUGAAACUAAACUGCAUUAGUGGAGAGCCAUAGGAUGCAUGAAUUUAUCGGGUUGUGCUGUGCGUCGUCUUUGUAUAAAUUAAUGAGCACCUUGUCAUAUUUAUACUAGUAAUUAAUCGGAUCAAGCAGUUAUUAUAACAUCAUCAUCACCUAAGUCACAACUAAAUUAAGUUCUUGUAUUCAUGCAUGCAGCAUGUAUACAUGCAUUUUGUCUUUACUAAUUUAAUUUUAUCAAUUAUUCAGCACAUUUUGAGAAAUUUUUGUCUCUCUCUAAAUGCUUUUUUCAUUUCUCAUUUUCGUCCGAUUAAUUAGCCAUUCUCUAGAUUUUACAAAAACACUUAUACUAGCUAGUUAAAAAUGACAAUAAAUCAGGAAUUCUAAUGCCUUAUAUUUUUAAUUUUUAAUUUUUAAUUUUUUUGGUCGUUAUUAGUUAGGCAUCAGAAUGUUCAGGUGAGCAAAAAUGUGAAAGUGAAAAUUAUUACCCACUUAAUAAAUGAGUGCAAUAAUUUUCCCUUCUUCCCCACCAUUGAGGUUCCUCUUGUCGUUUCCUUCUUCUUGUUAAUUAAAAGUACGGUUGGGGGACCAUGCAUCCUUGACUCUCCAUUUUCAUGACUUGCGAGUACAAUUAUGCGCGAGCAUGCAUGGGCAUAGUGGAGUUGUCAGUAGUCACCUAGCUAGAUUACUUCUAUUACGAAUUUCUACUACAGCUGCAUAACUAUUCAACAAUAGUUUUCAAAAUCGAAUCUGGAUUAUUUCUAGACCGAGUUCAUUCGCCCCCGAGAUAAUUAUAUGGAAAUGAAGAGUAUUCUGUUCGUGAGCAUCUCAAGAAUUAAUUAACCAUUAUAUUACAUGCUUUGGACCAUGAAGCACCGAACUAGAUUUGUUUUACAUUUUUUUGUUAUAAUCUCAAAACAUAAAUUAUUUUGUACAAUGAUUAACGUAAGACGUUAUUAUCUUCAAUACGUUUUACUUUCGUCAAAUUUCAUCCAAAAAAAAAAAAAAAAUUGUCACCACCUUUUAUUUUUGUUUUAACUUUUAAUUUAAAUUGGGUUGUUUCGAGAAAUAAACUUUUAUUAAUUGAAGAUAGAAAAAUUUAUUUAGUGAUAUAUAAUUGGCUCAAGUGGGAAAAAAUUUUGAGUGAUGUAAAGUUUGAAUCUAGCUCACAUAAGAGUGGAUAUAUAUGAGAUAUAAAUUCUAACUGUAGUAAUAUGAUGAGGGGGAAAAAUAAUAAUAUAUCUAAAUUCAAUGUGCCUUGAGCUGCUAACUGUACUCUUUGUCGCUUUCCCUAUUUGUCAUCAAAAGUAAAGCAAAUUAUUGAAGCUUAUCUAGGAAUCACCACAUCCCAUAAGCUUGCUUACUAGAGAUUAAUAAUAACACGUAAAGUAGUUUAUAAUACAUAUACAAAACUAAACACAACAUAUUAACACGAUAAUAUAAAUACAGUCAGUCUCUAGACAAUCAACAUGCUAAGAACACAAAUUAAUUUACUCUCAUUACUGUUCGUGCAUCAUGGCAAUUCAACAAACCCUCCUCUGUACUUUUGAAAGAAGCCAUUGCUAAAUCUGCGAGCCUUGCAAGAUUCAAUUUCACAACAGUGCCCACAAACAACCUGGUGUCAUCGUCAGAAUUUCCCUCUGGUAUAUCUACAAUAUAAGACUCCAAAACAACACAAUAAACUUCACCUGUUUCCUCGCUAAUGAAAUCAUUAACCGAUGUGACUGAACGAUAAUUUUGAAGCCUAUGAUCACCACCAAGAACUCUAAAGCUCAAAAUAUGGUUCUCAUCAUCCAGCAUCUCCAAUCUUUCUGUGCUGGUUGUAGCCGGAGGCCCUGAAAUGAUGUUAACAUCUCUUACACUACCAACUUCUCCGGCGCCUACUUUCAUUGUACAACUUCUGAUGAAGUUCUUGUACUUGUCAGGGUUAGUGAAAUCGCGAACAAAAGGCCAAACAAAGCUGAGGGGAGUGUUUAUUUUUUGUGUUAUCAGGGAAGUGCACGUGUUUGGAGAUGGGGGGAAAGUGUGGUAGGUUUUGAUGGUGGUUUCAAGCUUGGAGAGUUCUUCAAGUGUGAGAGCAUCUGAUGAGGGAGUUUGGUUAGGGUUCAUGGGUGCAAUUGCUGCCAUGAUUAUCAUGGAUUUUAAUUAGCUAGCUUGUUGAAGAAUUUGGUUUAUAGAAGAAGAAUGAGAAGUAUUGGAGGAGGUGACAAAAGGAUUUAUUCUCCUAUUAAUUUGUUGAUGCACUUGUAUGCAUAUGAUAGGAUAAUAUAAAGGUAAGUAAAUUUCUUUUUCUUUUCUUUUUUUCAAUUUCGAAAAGAAUUAUAUUUAUUAUAGUCUAAGGAAGAUGUAUACUGUUCGAAGAAAAAUUGGAAUUGAGUUGACUCAGUACUUUCUUUUUGUCUUUUGAAUCUUACUAGAUUGAUGCUCAAACCAUAUUAGUUAUAAUGUUAAUUCCCUUGAAUUUGUUUAUCAAACACUAGUUUUAAAAAAACUUUUGUUUAUUCAACCAUCAAUAUGAUAUUUCAAAAUUCCAAACUAUCAAGUAAACUGUUUUCAAAUUAAAAUUGAAUCCCUAGGUGUAGGUGGAAGGGAACGUAAUCAUGGAACGUUAUUGCAAGUUGAAAUAAUUAUAUAUAAACAGAAGCCAUGCACCCUUUUGCAAGUUGCAUUUAAGAGAUUAAAGUUUGAAGGUAAUGGGGACUUUUAAACUAUCUUUUAAUUAUGUAUAUUAACUAUUUAUGGUUUAAAUUUAAUGCAAUGGUGGAUUAUGAAUAAUGGAGUAGACUUUCAACACAAUUCCCUUUUAUAAAAGAUGUCUUUGUGGAUGACUGAGGUGACGCACAUCAUAUUUUAGUUGGAUCGAAGAAAAAAUUAUCACUACUUGUGUUAUUAAUUUUUCUUUAAUGUAUAUGCUGAGACAAUCACUUCUUUUCAAACUUCGCCUUUUAGAUAGACUUUAGUGGAUGGCUAAUUUACAGUUAAUCUGUAAUUAGAUGAUAAUUAAUUCGAUUGACAAAAUCUAUUUGCUGUUUGCUGAUUAUUUAGAAACAAAAUCUCUAUUUGGAAGUAUAUGUGAUGACAUCAGGGGCAAAUGCGGAAAACUGCUGAGCCUGAUUUGACGAAGGGAUUCUAAUUGUCUGGCGUCAUGGUCAUGAGUUUUGAAAAUACUGGGUUCAUAGAGCAUAUUGUAAAAGAAUUUGGGGUAGAAAGAAAUUUACCCCAAAACCAAAAUAAGUCUAUUUUAUUCUUUAAAGCUUACUCUGCCUUUGUGUUUCCUGUUCGAGUUUUCCCAUGAGAAGUAGGCAGUAUACGAACGAGGGAUUGCUCAAUGCUGCAAAGCCCGUUCCGUCUCAUCUGUGUUUAAGUAUCCAUACUUCACAAAGGAAACAAUGUCGAAGGGUGUAAGGAUAUUACGGAGAAGAUGGAUUGCCUUGCAGAUUUGGACACUUACUGAAAAGCUCCAUUUGGAUUCUUUUCUUUUUCUUUUCCAACUGAAAGUUCGAAUAACCCCCAGACAUAUAGAGAUUUUUUUUUGUAUGUAACAUAUGAUAGAGCAGUUGCAAUCUUGCCAGGUUACAUUAUCUUUAAUACUAAGGCAAAGUUAACACAUUGUUCUGUUUAUUUCUCAUCCAAACAACUGAUGCGAGAAGCUUAGCUUGUCUCAAAAUCCACUUAUUCCGCCAAUACAUUUAAACCAAUUACCAAAAACACUAGCUGUAAACUUAUCUUGAAAUUUUGUUGGCUUAAUAGCAGAGUGAAAUGAAGUGCUAUGAUACUAUUAGUGGG